RNAcentral lists this long non-coding RNA (92182 nucleotides) under Zea mays. Its description in RNAcentral is "long non-coding RNA (ZMAY_LNC002145)". The record is from RNAcentral. Lineage: Eukaryota; Viridiplantae; Streptophyta; Magnoliopsida; Poales; Poaceae.
UUGAGACCAAUUAUCAACAUAGAAACUAGAAUAGAGUAGCAACAAUGACAACCAAGAUAUUUUCCCUCCUUAAGCUCCUUGCUCUUUCUGCAAGCGCUACUACCACGCCAUUUUCCUGCAAUGCUCACAAGCUCCUAUAGCUUCCCUUCUUCCCCCGUACCUUUCAUCAGUGAUGGCUUCAGUAUGUGAAAACCCAAUUCUUCAUCUCUAUAGGAUCCAACAGGCAAUUGCAGCAGGCAUCUUAACUUUAUCACCCUUGUUCCUCCAAUAACCGUCAGCCCUAUUACAACAGUUAUCUUUGGUGCAUUUGUUGGCACAAAGCAUCAGGGCACAAAAACUGCAUCAACUUGCGCUGGAAAACCUUACUGCCAACUCUCAGUAACAAAAGUUUAUUCCAUUCAACCAACUGGCUACAUUGAACUCUGUUGCUUAUUUGCAACAAUAACAACUACCAUUCAGCCAACUAGUUGUUGUGAGCCUGUUGCCUUCUUACAUAGCAGCAGUUGUUGCCGUUCUACCCGCACGAUGUGGCUAACACAACCACCCUCUUACAACUGCAACAAUUGCCGCCAUUCAACCAACUUGCGUUGACAAACCCAACAGCGUUCUACCUACAACCCAUCAUUGAUGGUGCCCUCUGUUAGAUUGCUUAUGAGUUAUAGUUCAAUAAUGAAGUUUUUUGGUUGAUGUUUGUGGCUUCCCAGAAAUAAUAAAGUACAUUUCUAGAUUCUCAUGUGCUACUUGUCUCCAAAUGUGGUUGAUAAUUAUUUUGCUCUAAGAUCGAGAGUAAUGAUGUAUAAAUCAUCGUUGUCGUGUGAUACUCGGUCAAUUGAGCAUUAGCACACACAAACAUGACGAGAAUGGUAUAAUCUCCAAAAAUAUGUACUUUGUAGGUGGGACCCUAUAGCCAUGCAAAAUAUGCUAUGUUAGGCAUGCCGAUGGAAACAUGUGAUGCAUAUGUUUCGUGAACCUGUUGAUAUUAUAUGUGAUUUAUAUUACGAUAUUUUACUAAAAUACUAAUAUUUAUUACUAGUAAGUUAUAACAUUCUAUCAAUCUUAAAAACCUAACCAUAAAUAUUCCAUCGUAACUAGGUUUACCAAACUAUACAAAUACACAAUAAAUACAAAAUUAACAAUACAAUAACCAAUAUUUAUGAGCUUAAUAAAUUUAAUUUUAGGGUUGGUCGAUGAUAAUCAUAUUGACUUCCCCUGACUCCUUGAUUGUAAAUAUGCCUAGACCAUGCCUCUUUCUACUAUACGGCAAACAGGGACCACUCUAGGAGACUAGGACGUUGCUUGAGACGAAGACGCCAUCAUUGAUGUAGACUAUCGACCAUCUGACUGCAGUCGAUAAAAAUUAACUAUUUCUGUGAGGCGUUUGACCAAAAAUGACAAAACUUUACUAGGUUCUGUUGGUUGAGUGAGGGCCGACAAAAGUUGAUAAAUUUUCGUGGGAUUAUUUCAAGCCGACAUAAAUUAUUUUGGCUAAUGGAAGUUUCUUUUUUCCUUAGUUGUGUGGUGCUAUACAUAUGCAUGUCUGAUUCACGUGAUAAACUAGGCUAGAAAAACAAUUAUUUGACAUGGAUUGUUGUGGAGGACCAUACCAACUGUGACUGCCAUCUCAAUCCAGCUGACAUCUAAGUGACCUUUGAAUAAAUUAUUAAGCUGACAAAACUUUGACACCAAGAAGAAAGUUUAAGUAUGUAAAUAUUUAUGUUCAUCAAGCUGCUAUUCCCUAUCAUUGGCAUGAACAUUGUCAUCAUUUAGUUCCUAAGAAUAUAAUAAAAACAAGAAGAGCCACCUCACGAGAAUCCUUUAACAUAGACUAAAUAGUAGUUUUUGUGGAACACAACAGAACUGUACACCAUUUUCAGCGGCCAAGGUUAUUUUCGGCGGCCAGGACUUAGCCGCCGAAAAUAAACCUAUUUUCGGCGGCUUCUGACACAGCCGCUGAAUAUACAUUUAUUUUUGGCGGCUACUAACACAACCGCCGAAAUAAGGUUUUUAAAACCGUCGGGCUCCUUCUCUAUUCUCUCUGUUUCUUCUCUUCUUCUCCUCGCUCGGUCGCCGCCGUACGCCGCCACGCCGCCCGCCCGUCGCCGCCGUGCCCGCCACAGCUACAUCCACGCCCCCGCCGAGGCGCCGCGCCACCCCGUGCAGCCAUGCCCCCGGCGGCUCCGUCUCGUCGUCUGCCGUCACCCUCGGCUCCCAUCGACCAAGAAAACUUGAAUACUCCUUAGCCAAAAAAUGGAUGAAUUUCACCUUCCUUAUCUUAAGCUCCUUGAUUUUUCUACUAAGUGUCGCUAUUCUAACCAUUAUCCCUUGGGUAAACCAUAUUUGAUUAUCCAGCCAAAGGACCCAGAAGAUAAAAACAAUUUUUAAUUGCUAUUUCGAGACAAAUGAAUUAGCGUGAUUCGAAAAGGAUUACGACCUUCCCCCUUGACCUUUGUCAUACUUCUUUAGUCUAAUCGAUAGAAUCAAGAAUAGAAAUCACUGAAGAAGUUGAUAAGCGAAGCUUCGACGAUAAUAGGAACAUGGUGACAAUAGGACGAACGAUGAUGCCUUUGUCUAAGAAUGUUAUCUAGAAGAAAUCUCAAUCAAUUGUCGGUACAACGAAAAGAUAGAAACAUGCACCCUUGAGUAUGAAACAUUUAUAUGUAAGAGGAAGGAGGAAUGUAAUUGCUCAUGCCUAAUCAUAUUAUUGAGAGUUUUAAGGCGAGACUUAUGGCAAAGGGUUAUACACAAAAAUAGGGGAAAGGUCAUUUCAAUACUUAAUCAAUUUUUGCCCUUCUAAUGACCAUACAUGUGUUACUUUUUUUGGCUGCCUCACAUGGUCUUAUCGUUCACCAGAUGAAUGUUACGUCUGUUUUCCUAAAUGGAGAGCUUAAUGAACAGAUCUACAAUGACUAGCCUGGUGGAUUUACACCAAUUGGUAAAGAGGAAAAGGUGUUUAAAUUAAAACAAAUUUAUGGUUUAAAACAAGAACCAAAGCACAUGAGAAAUUUGAUAAAGUUUUGACUUUGGCUAAAUUUGUUGCAAAUGAAGCUGAUAAAUGUGUCCAUUACCGGUUUGACAGGGGUGAAGGUAUAACAUUUUUUAUGUGGAUGAUAUAUUAAUCUUUUGUAAUGGUGUUAAUAUGAUCGAGGAAGUAAAGUAAUUUUUGUCUAGUAACUUUGAAAUAAACAAUCUGGGAGAGAUUAAUGUUGUUCUUAACAUAAAGAUGUUCAGAGGAGGAGGAAAUAUGGGGUUAUUCUUGUGCAAUCCUAUUAGGUUGAAAGGUCGAUGAGUUGCUUUGGAUAUAGUGACUACACGUCUGGUCCAACUACUUAUGACCCAAGUGUGCUAUUAAGGAAAAUCAUAUAAUCGCAUAUGAUCAAUUGAGAUAUUGUCAAAGCAUGGUCUUCUCAUGGAUUUGGCUAGUUCAACGAGGCCUGAUAUCUCGUUUGCUAUGAGCAAACUCAGUUGCUUUGUCUCCAAUCUUAGGGAUGAUCAUGACAUGCCCUAGAGAGGGUAUUGCGCUAUCUAAAAGGGACUAUGAGUAAUGUCAUUUACUAUACCACACACCUAAGGGUACCAGAGUGUUAUAGUGAUGCAAACAAAAUAUGUGAUGGUGAUUAGAUUUAAGCCACAAGUAGAUAUGUGUGCUUACUUGAAGGUGUGGUUGUUUCAUCGAAGUCUUGUAAGCAGACCAUCUUAACAAGGUCAACAAUAAAAGUAGAACUCACAACAUUAGAUAUUGCCAAAGUUGAUGCCGAGUGGCUUCGUGAACUCCUUAUGGAUUUACUAGUAGUUGAAAAUCGAAUACUGGUUAUCUAUAUGAGCUAUAAUGAUUAAACAUUGGUAAUCAAAGUGAACAAUUCUUAGGUUAACAUGAAUACUACAAAGCAUGUCAAAAAACGGUUGAAACUGUUAAAACACCAAGAAAUUCUAGAUUAAUUGUGUUGGACUAUGUCCAUACUUCUAAGAAUUUGGUAUGCGAGUUUAUAGAAGAUUUGUCACAUAAUGUGAUAGAUGGUGCAUCGAGGAAGAUGGGCUUGAGACCCACUUAAUGCCAUUCCAUAGUAGUAGCAUUUUCUAUGUGAUUGGAGAUCUCAUAGAGUAGAAUGGUGAAACAAGCUAGAGAAUGACUGAUGGAGAGACUCCUUAAAUAAAAUCUAGGUAAUUUCAUAUGCACAUUUCUCCUUUGAUGUACGAUAGGCUAACUAAAAUAUUAAUAUGAUUUGAGUGACUUAUCUAAGUAGGGAUGUUAUCUUACAGAACAUCCUAGAAGGAACACACCUAUAUGAGUUUCACUGCUAGUCACGAUCUAUGAUAUGUGGGCAAUAUUUAUAUACUCAUGAAAGGCCUCGAAGUUUGACUUAUAUGAUUCAAGCCAAGGGGAUUCUUGUAAUAGUCUAGUACGAGAUAAGAACUUUGGAGAAACUCACUUCAUGCAAAAUUGUCAAUUCAAGGUAUAGUCCAUUGUUCAGAUAUGAAUAUGUAAUCCCUGUUCUAGAUGGAUGGUCAACUUAACAGCCUCCACCAAAACCCUUAUAUAUCAAAGAGUAGUGGAUUUGAAUUUGUCUAAUUUGAAUUUGUCUAAUAUGUAGUUUAUGGGCUUGGCUCAUUUAAAGUAUUUAAUAAUUCUGAAAGACAAGAUUAAACUAACUAUGUAUGAUCCUUUAGCAUCGUGCAGAUGGUCAAUGGGACAGUUACAUGGUUUAUAUAGAUGGACCUAUCUAUAUUCCUUCAGUAGUUGAGAAAAAGGUAAAGGUGUGUCACACUCACACAUGCGCUGCCUCCACCGAGACAAGGCAUGGCGUUGCAAGGUGAGGCAUGGCAUGGUGCAACACGAUCGCAGUCAUGGUCGUGGCGCGGUGUAGCAUUGUUGUGGAUAGAUCGAUAAACUAUUGUUGUAGUUAGAGUACAUGAGUUUUUGAAUGCAACACUAGAAUUUUCUCAAUUUAACUUAAUUAAGAAAUUAUAUCUUGAUGACAUAGAGUUACCUGACCAUUGAUCUCACAUGCCCUUUUAGCUCUCUCGUUCUCUAGUCUCGCCUGACUAUUUAGGUCUCCUGACUCGCCAAUAGAAAGACCAUCCUAUCAUUUGCUCUCGAAUACUUCUGUGUCAUAACUUGAAAGUCGCCUAGAGCGGGAGGUGAAUAGGCGAAACCUAAAAUUUAUAAACUUAAACACACACAAAGGUCGGGGGUUAGAGUUAGAAUUAAAUUCUAGUCCAGAAGAAUAUCUCUGUUGCUAGGAGUUGCUCAAGGAUUGCAGAUGAUGUAUGUGAGCCAACUCAAAUUCACACUAGCAAGGAAAUGUUAGAGAGAGGAAAACAAAUCAAACAAGAAUCAAGGCGAGUGAACACGAUGAUUUGUUUUACCGAGGUUCGGUUCCAAAGAACCUAGUCCCCGUUGAUGAGGUCACAAAGACCGGGUCUAUUUCAACCAUUUCCCUCUCUCAAACGGUCACUUAGACCGAGUGAGCGUUUUCCUUAAUCUCUCGGGUCACUUAGACCCCGUAAGGACCACCACACACUUAGUUGUCUCUUGCUUCAAUUACAAGUCACUUGAGAAAUAGACGGGAAAAGAAAAAGGCCAAACCAAGCAACAAGAGCAACAAAGAACACAAGAUAUCCUCUCACAAGCCCUAAUGCACUAGAGUUGAUUUUGGGGCUUUGAGUGGAUUGAUUGCUUUGAUUGUGUCUUGGAGUGUUGGACUUUGCUCUUGCAAUGAAUGAGAGUUCAGAAAUGCUUGGAUGGUUAUGAAUGAGGUGGUUGGGGGUAUUUAUAGCCCCCAACCACUUCCAUAGCCGUUGGUGAAGGCUGCUAGCGAUGGGCGCACCGGACAGUCCGGUGCAUCACCGGAGAGCCACUGUGUACUGUCCGGUGCGCGCCACAUCAGCGCAACCGUUAGGGUUCGGAGCUGGUCAACCGUUGGAGUCUUUGUCGUCUUGUUGCACCGGACAGUCCGGUGCCCUCUGACUUCUGACAUCCACUGUUCAUCGCGACAGAGUCGACCGCUGGCGCAUAGAGCCGUUGCUCCGCUGGUACACCGGACAGUCCGAUGAAUUAUAGCGAAGCGCGCCCUAGAAUUCCUGAGAGUGGCUGGUUCAUCUGCUGUACGACCUGGUGCACCGGACCCUGUCCGGUGCGCCAUUUUUUAGCACACUCAAGUCCUUUUGCUCCAAUUAAAUUGUGUCCCUAACUUAAUUUCUUUCUUGGUUUGUGUUGAACCUUAUGCACCUAUAAUACAUGAAUUCUUGACAAACUAGUCAGUCCAUGUGUUUGUGUUGGUCGUCAACCACCAAAAUUAAUUAUAGGAAAUGGUUAACCCUAUUUCCCUUUAAAUCUCCCCCUUUUUGGUGGUUGAUGCCAACACAAACCAAAGCAAAUAAUAAAUGUAGAAAUAUAACUAGUUUGGAAUUGAGAUGAAUGUGCAUAGGUUACUUGGAAUUAAACCAAUAAAAUAUUUUCAACAUAUGAAUAAGAGUGAAUGGAUUGGCUUUCUUUUAUUUAAUAUUUUGGACCACAUUUGCACCACAUGUUUUAUUUUUGCAAAUCUUUUGGAAAUCUAUUCAAAAACUUCUGCAAAUAGUCAAAGGUAUAGGAAUAUGAUUGCAAGAAGCAUUUUUUAGGAUUUUGAAAUUCCUCCCCCUGUUUCAAAUGCUUUUCCUUUGACUACAUAAAAGCUCCCCCUAAAUGAAAUUCUCCCCUUAGCUUUCAAGAGGGUUUUGAAGUAGAUACCAAUUGAAAAAAUUUCUCUCACAUAUGAGUUGAAAGUUAGAUACCAAUUGAAAAUAUAUUAAUUGAAAUUCUUCCAUACUUAAUGUGAAGUUUUGAAGAUACCAAUUGAGAAAUUUUCUUCACAUACCAAUUGAAAAUUCAUUUUGAUCAAAUACCAAUUGAAAUAUACACCAGUUGAAGUUUACCAAUUAAAGAAAAUUUCAUUUUGAAUUUUUUUGAAAUGGUGGUGCGGUCCUUUUGCUUUGGGCUUAAUAUUUUCUCCCCCUUUGGCAUUAAGCGCAAAAAAUGGAGAAUUCGAGAGCCCUUUUUCUCCCUUUAUGGGGUCUAAUACUUUCUCACAAAUGGUAAAAUGAAUAUGAGUGAAUGAUUAUACCAAUUGAGAGUGUGGAGGAACAACGACAAAGGGUAUACCGUCAGAGUUGGAGUGGAAGCCUUGUCUUUGCGGAAAACUCCAUUUCUUUUUCAAUCUACGACUUAGUAUAGAAAUACACUUGAAAACACAUUAGUCAUAGUCUUGGCACAAGAAGAGUAAGAAAUAUGUAUUUGCACCAAAUGAAAGAGAUAUGAUCAAAUGUAUAUAAAUUAGCUAUGUGUGCAAAGUUUCAAUCAAAGUUCCGUGAAUCAAGUAUAUUUAGCUCAUUCCUAAGUUUGCUAAAUGUUUUCUCAUCUAGUGGCUUGGUAAAGAUAUCGGCUAAUUGGUUGUGGGUGCUCACAUAAGCAAUUUCGAUAUCCCAUUUUGUUGGUGAUCUCUCAAAAAGUGAUACCGGAUGUCUAUGUGCUUAGUGCGGCUAUGUUCAACGGGAUUAUCCGCCAUGCGGAUUGCACUCUCAUUAUCACAUAGGAGAGGGACUUUGCUCAAUUUGUAUCCAUAGUCCCUAAGGGUUUGCGUCAUCCAAAGUAAUUGCGCACAACAAUGACUUGUGACAAUGUACUCGGCUUUGGCGGUGGAAAGAGCUACAGAGUUUUGUUUCUUUGAAGCCCAUGACACCAGGGAUCUUCCUAAAAACUGACAAGUCCCUGAUGUGCUUUUCCUAUCAAUUUUACAUCCGGCAUAAUCGGCGUCGGAAUACCCAAUUAAAUCAAAGGUAGAUCCCUUGGGGUACCAAAGCCCAAACUUAGGAGUGUAAACUAAAUAUCGCAUGAUUCUUUUCACGGCCCUAAUGUGAACUUCCUUAGGAUUUGCCUGGAACCUUGCACACAUGCAUAGAGAGAGCAAAAUAUCCGGUCGAGAUGCACAUAAAUAGAGUAAAGAUCCUAUGAUCGACCGAUAUACCUUUUGAUCUACGGAUUUACCUCCCGUGUCGAGGUCGAGAUGCCCAUUGGUUCCCAUGGGUGUCUUGACGGGUUUGCCAUUCUUCAUCCCAAACUUCUUAAGUAUAUCUUGUAUGUAUUUUGUUUGGCUGAUGAAGGUGCCCUCUUGGAGUUACUUGAUUUGAAAUCCAAGGAAGUACUUCGACUCCCCCAUCAUAGACAUCUUGAAUUUCUGUAUCAUGAUCCUACUAAACUCUUCACAAGUUGACUUGUUAGUAGACCCAAAUAUAAUAUCGUCAACAUAAAUUUGACAUAUAAACAAGUAUUUUGCAACAGUUUUAGUAAAGAGAGUAGGAUCGGCUUUACCGACUUUGAAUCCACUAGUGAUAAGAAAAUCUCUCAGACAUUCAUACCAUGCUCUUGGGGCUUGCUUGAGCCCAUAAAGCGCCUUUGAGAGUUUGUAAACAUGGUUAGGGUACUCACUAUCUUCAAAGCCGGGAGGUUGCUCAACAUAGACCUCUUCCUUGAUGGGUCCAUUGAGGAAGGCACUUUUCACGUCCAUUUGAUAAAGCUUGAAGCCAUGGUAAGUAGCAUAGGCAAGUAAUAUACGAUUUGUCUCAAGCCUAGCUACAGGUGCAUAAGUUUCAUCAAAGUCCAAACCUUCGACUUGUGAAUAACCUUUGGCCUCAAGUCGGGCUUUGUUCCUUGUCACCACACCAUGCUCAUCUUGCUUGUUGCGGAAUACCCAUUUGGUACCUACAACAUUUUGAUUAGGACGUGGAACUAAAUGCCAUACCUCAUUCCUCGUGAAGUUGUUGAGCUCCUCUUGCAUUGCCACCACCCAAUCCGGAUCUCUUAGUGCAUCCUCUAUCCUGUAUGGCUCAAUAGAGGACACAAAAGAGUAAUGUUCACAAAAAUGUGCAACUCGAGAUCUAGUGGUUACCCCCUUGUGAAUGUCACCAAGAAUGGAGUUGACGGGGUGAUCUCGUUGAAUUGCUUGGUGGACUCUUGGGUGUGGCGGUCUUUGAUCUCUUAUUUCUUGAUCAUCUUCCUUGUCUUGGUUAUCAUCAUCUCCCCCUUGAUCCAUGUCCUCCUCUUGAGGUGGCUCAUCCUCUUGAUCUUCAUCUUCAUUAUCUUGAGCCUGAUCCUCGUCUUGAGUUGGUGGAGAUGCUUGCAUGGAAGAUGACAAUUGAUCUUGUGCUUGUGAAGGCUCUUCGAAUUCCUUGGGACACAUAUCUCCAAUGGACAUGUUCCUUAGUGCGACGCACGGAGCUUCUUCAUCAUCUAGUUCAUCAAGAUCAACUUGCUUCACUUGGGAGCCAUUAGUCUCAUCAAACACAAUGUCACAAGAUACUUCAACUAAUCCAGUGGAUUUGUUGAAGACUCUAUAUGCCCUUGUGUUUGAGUCAUACCCUAGUAAAAAGCCUUCUACAACCUUAGGAGCAAAUUUAGAACUUCUACCUCUUUUAAUAAGAAUAAAGCAUUUACUCCCAAAGACUCUAAAAUAUGAAACAUUGAGAUUUUUACCAGUGAGGAGUUCAUAUGAUGUUUUCUUGGGGAUUCAGUGAAGGUAGAGCUGGUUGAUGGAGUAGCAAGCGGUGUUGAUUGCUUCUGCCCAAAACCGUUCCGGAGUCUUGUAUUCAUCAAGCAUGGUUCUUGCCAUGUCCAAUAGAGUUCUAUUCUUCCUCUCCACUACACCAUUUUGUUGAGGUGUGUAGGGAGAAGAGAACUCAUGCUUGAUGCCGUCCUCCUCAAGAAAUCCUUCAAUUUGAGAGUUCUUGAACUCCGUCCCAUUAUCGCUUCUUAUCUUUUUGAUCCUUAAUCCAAACUCAUUUUGAGCACGUCUCAAGAAUCUCUUUAAGGUCUCUUGGGUUUGAUAUUUUUCCUGCAAAAAGAAUACCCAAGUGAAGCGAGAAUAAUCAUCCACAAUAACAAGACAUUACUUACUUCCGCCGAUGCUUAUAUAAGCAAUCAGACCGAAUAGAUCCAUGUAGAGUAGCUCAAGUGGCAUGUCCGCUGUCAUGAUGUUUUUGUGUGGAUGAUGGACUCCAACUUGCUUCCUUGCUUGACAUGCGCUACAAAUCAUGUCUUUCUCAAAAUGAACAUUUGUUAGUCCUAAAAUGUGCUCUCCCUUUAGAAGCUUAUGAAGAUUCUUCAUUCCAACAUGGGCAAGUCGGCGAUGCCAGAGCCAGCCCAUAUUAGUCUUAGCAAUUAAGCAAAUGUCUAGUUCAGCUUGGUUAUCAUUAAAAUCAACUAAGUAUAGCUGACCAUCUAAUACUCCCUUAAAUGCUACUGAAUCAUCACUUCUUCUAAAGACAGUAACACCUACAUCAGUAAAUAAAUAAUUGUAGCCCAUUUUGCAUAAUUGGGAAAUAGAAAGCAAAUUGUAAUGUAAAGAAUCUACAAGAAAAACAUUGGAAAUAGAAUGGUAAGAAAAUAUAGCUAUUUUUCCCAACCUUUGACCAAACCUUGAUUUCCAUUCCCGAAUGUAAUAGCUCUUUGGGGAUCUUCAUUUUUCUCAUAGGAGGAGAACAUCAUUUUCUCCCCUGUCAUGUGGUUUGUGCACCCGCUAUCGAUUAUCCAACUUGAUCCACUGGAUGCAUAAACCUGCAAAACAAUUUAGGCCUUGUUCUUACGUACCCAAACAGUCUUGAGUCAUUUGACGUUAGAAACAAGCACCUUGGGCACCCAAACACAAGUCUUGGGACUCUUGUGUUUGCCCCCAACAUAUUUGGCAACUAUCUUGCCUGAUUUGUUAGUUAAAACAUAUGAAGCAUCAAAAGUCUUAAAUGAAACAUUAUGUGCAUUUGAUGCAGUAGGAAUUUUUUUUCUAGGCAUUUUGACAUGAGUGGUAUGCCUAGAGCUAGACGCCUCAUUUUUGUACAUAAAUGCAUGGUGAGAAACAGAAUGAGGUUUCCUAGCAUGAAUCUUCAUAAUCUUAUGUUCAAGAUAGUUUGCAGGAUAUACAAUGUAACCCUCACUAUCCUAAACCAUGGGAGCCUUACCCUUAACAAAAUUAGACAAUCUUUUAGGGGUAUUAAGCUUGGUGUUGUUUUGAUUUCCUUGUUGGAAACCAAUACCAUCCUUAAUGUCAGGGCGUCUCCCAUUAUAGAGCAUGCUUCUAGCAAAUUUAAAAUUUUCAUUCUCUAACUCAUGCUCGGCAAUUUUAGUAGUUAAUUUAGCUAUAUGAUCAUUUUGUUGUUUAAUCAUGGCAAGGUGAUCAUCCAUAGCUUCAAUAUUAACAUCUCUACAUCUAGUGCAAAUAGUAACAUGAUCAACAGUAGAUGUAGAUGGUUUGCAGGUAUUUAAUUAUUCUAUCUUAGCACUUAAUCUAAUAUUCUCAUCUCUAAGACAGGAAAAAGGAUCAUUGCAAACAUUCAAUUUUUCAAUCUUAGAAACUAAACUAGCAUUUUCAGUUCUAAGACUUGAAAUUGAAUCAUGAUAAAUGCUAAUAUCCUUAGAUAAGUUUUCACAUUUUCUAUUUCCUGAGCAUAAGCAUUUUUUAAUUUAACAAUUUUAUUGUUCUAUUUAACGAGGAAGUCCUCUUGGCUUUCCAAGAGGUCAUCCUUCUCGUUAAUGGUUUCAAUUAGUUCAUUUAUUUUUUUCUUUUGUUCCAUGUUAAGGUUGGCAAAAAGAGCAAGUAAAUCAUCUUCAUUAUCGCUAGAGCUACCCUCAUCACUAGAUGUUGUAUAUUUGGGGUGGCUCACUAUACGACGGUUGAUCUUUAGCGACUCUUAUUAGGGACUGACGGUUGGUCGCUAAAAGUUAUGGACCGACGGUUGGUCGCUAAAUGCGUUUAUAGCGACGGUCUGUGGGUCGCUAAAAGUCUAGAAAUUUAACGACAUAUGGUUGGUCGCUAUAGAGGUAAGUGUGUGACUGAUGGUGGGUCGCUAUAGGGGUACGUGAUUUUUGUGUUUCUUAUUUACUCACCAAAGCCCAUCUAAAGGCCUACUAAACAAACGAAACCCUAUUUCACGCACCAAACCACAAGCGCAGCCGCCGUCACUUCUGCCCCAUCACGGCCCCAUCCUGCCGCUCGUCGACGACGCCACCCCGCCCCUCGGCCGCGGUCGCCGUCAGGCAGCCAGCCACCGCGACAUUGGCCAUGAUUUUUUGUGCCUGUUCUUGCUUAACUUUAUAACUGAUAAAGUUUCCAAUCACAAGAUUUACUUAAUUUAUACUAUUAUUAUCUUCUGUUGCAGUAUUUCCUUAUUAUUAAAGCAGCAAGGUUUGCCGCUUCCUCGUGUGUCCACGUCGGCAAAUUUUUUUGCCGUCCGAUCGUUCAUCAAUGGUGACAAUCUCACCCCUGCACAGUGUGUGUGGAUGGUUCUAGUUUCUUCUCUCACCAGCUCAUGCGUCUCCAAAGUAAAAAGGAUAAGAGAGACUCUGGGUUGCCGAGGUCCGCUUUCGUAACUACAGGAGGUAGGCAAAGGAGACGGCGACGACGAAGAACAUGUACUUCCUCCAUUACGUCCUCUAUUCCUAUCAUUGCCUUUCGUUUCUUUUCUUUUCUACAAUCGGCGUUACCUGCUGCAGUCGACGGCUCGGUCCCCUUGGUAUCUAAUGCCUUUGCGCGGCACCUGAGUUCUACACUUGCGACGAACUUGAGCAUUGCAUUCGUCGUUGUUCUUGUGUCCAUUCUUGUCUCUGACUCGGGCCGCCGCGAGUUCCUCCAUUCCCACUGCCAUGGAAUACGCCAGUGCGCUGAAUGACGCCUGCGUCUUCACGGAUCUCCUCCUCCUUUUGGCUAACAUGGCUCCUCAAAGAUGACCGCGUACGUUUGUCGAGCGGCGCUGGCAAGGGCCACGUGAACUGCGUUGGUCGACGCUUCCACACGCGCCGCUAAGCCUGCCCUGCCGCCCCCUAUGCGAUGCUGCUCCUCCCCUUUCUUCUCCGCCUAGGCUGGCGCUUGGAGGAGGAUGCCACCAAGGUUACCAACUACUUAAUGUACGCGUGCAAGAUGCUCGAUGAUACACCCCAACGGAAAGCAGUGUCGUGGACGAUGGUAGUCGUGGGGAACAUUGUAGACUCCACGCCGGUUGAGGAGGAAAAACUCCAUUGGCUCUUUUGUCACCUUAAGGGAUUUGCCUAACGUUUCCUUUUUUUUCUUUUAAAUAUGAUUUCCCCCAUACGUAUGCAGAUGCAGUUGCCAUAUUUUAAUGCUCAAUGCUGCCUACUUUAAUUUUAUGCUUAAUUUUUUUUAAUGCUCAAUGCUGCCUACUUUCCUUCACUGAUUUGGCUGCUCUUUUAUUUAGCUUAUAGCAACGGAAAAAAGUUAGCACAUUCCAAAAACUUCAAAGACUGCUGUGUACGACAUCCUAUAUUACCGGUAUGAGUACUUUUGAGAGCUUAAAUGUUGUUAGUCUUCUGUUUGCUAUUACGUGCUUUUGCUUUCCUGAAAAACUUCACACAGUUUCAGCUACGAAUUGACCAAUGACGAAAACAAGAUAUAUGAAGUGGCACAAUACUCAGUUUUACUUCUAAAAAUUGAAGAGAUUUAAAGAAGGAUUAUUCCAACAAUAAAUAUCUAUACUUUUGUUAGCAUACAUUUUCUUUUCUCAUGGCAUAUAUUUUCUUAAGGGCUAGUUUGAAAAUUUUAAAUCCUCUCCGGGAUUCCCGGAUAUUGAGAAGAAAAUGAGCUAAUUUCCCACUCAAUCCCUGAGAAUACCGGAGGAGAUUUUUAAGUUUCCAAAUUAGCCCUAAGUGUAGUAACUGAUUUUCACUUAAUUUUGCAGACUGCUUCUGUUUGAAUUGAACGGCAUCUUCAGAAUCUCGGCGACGCUAAUUUCUAACUCAUAUGGGAGAGGUCUAUUUCUAGAAUUUUUGUUUUUCUUUAAUAGAUUUGCCACCUACAUUGGCAUUUUUUCCCACUGCAAUCGAUUAUAAACUACAGUUUUGCAACCUUUCAGUGACAUGAACAUCUAACCAUAUUCAAGUUUGCCCUCAUCUCAAUAUCCAGAUAUCUCCACCUCAUCGACUCAAUAGUUAACCAUAUUCAAGUUUGCCCCUUUGAAACCAUCUGCUUGGAUUUUAUCGAUUCCAUUACCUAAAAAUAUGGUACAAUUUCAGUACGCCAGUACAUAUUAUGCAAAUGAAACACAAUUAAAAUCAGCAUUGUGAACUUUAUUGUUUGCCCAUUUUUUUGAUAAAUUACCCAUUUUAUGAUUCUACUGGGCCCUUUUCGCCUUUGCCCUACAAUUAUUCCUCCUCUUCGCUCUUUUGUUUCAUUGUUUGUUCUGCUUUGCACUUCUAUUCAUUGCAUUCUUCGUCGGUGAUUGUGCUCGUCCAGUUCGUCGGCCAUGUGUUCUAUCAUUUUCGUCAGAAAUCCUUUCUUAAGCCCUCCACUUUUCUCCUUUUUUGUUACCUUCGCACUUCGUUUUUAUUGUUCAUGUUCUCUGUCGUCGAGAUCUACUGUCUCAGGUUUAUUCUGGCUUUCAUAGUAAAUAAAUUGCUCUUCUUCCCCUCAUUUCUUGCUGGACGCAUAUUAUGCUUUUCCACUUUGCGACAACACUGUUUCCCUUAUUUGUGUUCGAGUAAAGUUCAGACUUUAUCCUCAGAGGUAAUUGUUACUUGCCUUAGCUUGCACUCUAUACACAUAAAGCGCUACUGUGCUGUUGCAUCAACUGUUUCGUUCCAUAGUUUUUGUUUUAUCCCACUUGGUUUAUGUCUUAUGUGCGCAUCAAACACUUCAAGCUAACAAUUACGCUUUCUAGUUUUGUAGACAUUAAAACAAAUGUUUCACUCCAAUGUAGGCCAAACAUAUUUAAGCGGUAUCGCAACAUGUGCAUGGUACUUUAAUGCAGACAUUUCUAAGGCACAUAUGUAGUAUAACAUGUACGGGAAAAUAGAUAAACAAAACACUAUCCAUUCUUGUAAUUACAUUUCCCCUUAAACCUGUUCUCCUUACAUGUCAUGUUGACAAUCAUCUACAUUAUCUAGCUGUCUGGUAGUAGCAUUUUUGUAAAACUAACAUACAAAUCUAGCAUUAACUUUUGCCCCAAAUUUCUAAAAUCUAUUAUGAACUACAAACAAGUUCCAAGUAUUCCUUUUCACAUGAAUAUGAGCACACUUUUUAAGCCAUCCAAUAACAUUUAAUCAACAUGUAUCGUCUACAUUAUCUAGCUGUCUGGUAGAAGCAUUUUUGUAAAAUUAACAUACCAAUCUAGCAUUAACUUUUUUCCCCAAAUUUCUGAAACAUAUUAUGAACUACAAAUAAGUUCCAAGUAUUCCUUUGCACAUGAAUAUGAGCACCCUUUUUUAAGCCAUCCAAUAACAUUUAAGCAACAUGUAUGCUUAAAUUCCACAAUACUGACCAAUUACACAAAUGUUUGCUACUAUUUCAAUUUUUGUUGUCACAUCAUUUAAAGGUUACAAAAUAUUGAACUUUAGUUGCUACGACCUACAAUACUUGAAGAAGAGAUCCAGGUUUCCCAGACACCUACUUUCGAGGACAAAACCAUCAAUGAAUUGGUUGAAAUUGAUCCAGAUAUAUUCCAUGUAAUCACUUUAACUUCCUAUUUUGUUGAACUCAUUCAUUACAUCAACUACAACUCCAUCUUAUUUAUAGUAAACUUUUUUCGCGAAAUGCAGCCACAAGGUUAUAGAUGUACUAAUCGCUAUAUCACGCCUCACACAGGAAGGUAGAUGGUGGUUCCCAUCUUGCACUAAAUGCAACAAGUCUUCAAUUCAGACCUCUACUAAAUAUCGCUGCAUACGUGUGAUUGGACAGAAACUAAAUUUAGGUAACCUUUCACACAAACAAUUACUUUGUCGUUAUUCGUCUGAGAUAAAACACUUCCUCUUACUUAUCAAAUCACUGCCACACAACAUUAACAGUUCAUAAUUCAAAGAUACAAACUCGGCUUCAUUGCUACUGAUGGAACAUUCGAAGCAGAAUUCUUUUGUUUUGACAAUAUAGCUAAACAAAUAGUAGAAAAACCUUGUGAAACCCUUGUUAGUAUCCUUCUCUAGAUUUAGUUGCCAUUGUCUCUCUCAGAUUCACCUUUGCAGAUACCAUUAAUAUGUUCGCGUUCUCCGUCACAAAUCGAGUCUUUUUUGUUCUCUCCGUGUUAACAAAUCAUGGAAGGAAAAGGUCAGCACCAUGUACCAUACAAAACUAUCAACAACAAGAAUUAGUGACACAAGAUGACAUAUUAGCCUCACAACCACAUAAAACUCUCCAACAACAUCGUUUGCAAAGCUAUCCACUUUUGGUGACCAUAAAAAUGUGGUGAGAAUUUUUUAGUGCAAACUACAACUAUUUCACAUGAACUUAUAUAUGUGCAUAGACUAAUGAAAUCUAUUUGACAGGCAUGUCACAGCCUUGCAUAUUCUAAUGCACUACAUGAUAUAGAGGUAAGUUUUUCUACCAUCACGUUUAGGCUCCAUAUGUACCCAAAAAUGACAUAAUUGUCUACCUCAAUUAUUUUGUGAUGGGAGAGAGUAUAUCUAUUCAUAAUUUGAAGACAGUGAUUUUUUUCCAUACAUAUCUAUGCAGGCAUAAAAUUACACACAAAAGAAAAAGAAUACUAUCUAUGCAAGAUGGACUCGAAAAUCCUUUCAACAUGUGGAUCAAUCUAAUUAUUUUAGAUUUUUUCUAAAUUUGCCUUUCAAUGGCUGAAGUCCCAUUUUGAUGCAAAUGAAAAAGCGAACAUCCUGUAGACUGCUGUUGCUGUGCAUCUCAACUGUUUUGGUCUUCCAAUCUUUUUGGAAGUAUUAUUAUUUUUACUUUCACUUACUCUUAUAAUUGCAUCAUGUUACACGAUGUUGACGUCAAUAUGGAUAUACACCCAAACAAUCUAAAUUCAAGGUCUUGUCAAAGCAAACUAAGGUUCUUUUUUUAAUACAAAGUCGUAUGGAUUCUGUUAGAUCUUGUAUUUUUUCCUACUAAUGUCAAUAUCAACCCGCAAGCGUCUCUUAAGUCACUCUUUUUAGGAUCAUUAUUUCACAUACUUUAAACCACAUAUGAAAUUUUGUUAGGCACACUAUUUGACAAUUCUUAUCCACUUACAGAAUGUUGACUAGCUUUCAGAACACCUUAACAAAAAAGAUCUUUUCUAAAUUUGCCUUUCAAUGGCCAAAAUCCCAUUUUUAUGCAAAUGAGAAAUGAACAGCCUACAAACUAUUUUUGUUGUGCAUCUCCACUGUUUUGGGCUUCCAAUCUUUUCUUGAGUAUUUUUUUACUUUCAAUUACCCCCUCUUAUAGUUUCAUCAUUAAAAAGUAUUGUUUUUUACUUUCAAUUACUCCCUCUUAUAAUUUCAUCGUGUUACACAAUGUUGAUGUCGAUAUAGAUAUACACCCAGACCAUCUAAAUGCGAGUUCUUAUCAAAGCAAACUUAGGUUCCUUUUUUUGAUACAAAGUCGUCUGGUUUCUCUUAAACCUAUCUAGUAUUUUGUUUCCUACUAAUGUCAAUACCGACCUGCAAGCCUCUCCUACCUCACUCUUUUCGGGAUCACUAUUUCACAUACUUUAAACCACAUAUGAAAUUAUGUUAUACAUUAGGCACACUAUUUGACGAUUCUUAUCCACUUACUUACAGGAUGUUGACUAGCUUUCAGACCACCUUGACAAAAAAAUCUGGCAUCCCCACCUAAGAAGUAUGUUUAAAAAAAAGAGGAGAGCAAAUGCAACCCGAGCAACAAGUUGCUUCCUUUUUUACACUAUGUACCAUAGUCCUUUCUAAGUUCUAACAUUGCAGAACACAUACAUGAUCAAAACUAGCAGGCUUCAAAAACAUCAAAAAGAUUUUACAGGCCCUGAAAGCGAUGUCCGGUAGAUCAACGUCAUUCUCAUCAAGGCGCGACAUAAUUUUACACCUCUUCUCUACACACAACUUCUAAUCAAUAUAAUUUGUGCAUUGUUCUUCACUCUCCUUUAUAACCUUUGCGCAAAAAUAGAAUAGCUCACAAACUCUUCAACGACAACUGAUCUGUCCUUUUUUCUGUACAGAUAAUUGCUUUGCGUAUCUACAACGACCAUCACUACUUUUGAAGCGCAAACGCUUUUAUGUACAUAUAACCAAACCGAUGAAACUUCUCUAGCUUAGUAUUUGUUUAUGCGAUCCUCAGCUCUGCUUUCUGUACCUAUGACGAUCAUCGUCACUUUUGCAAAGCAAAUGCUUUUGUGUACAUAUUACCAAGUUGAUGAAACCUUGCCAGUUUAGCGUCUGUUUAUUAUGAUCUUUAGCUCUUGGAACACACUGCUGAAAUACAAUGUAAUAUGUAUAGUCCUCUCAGUCUACUCUAGACUUGCUGUAACCGCUAUAAUUAUUAUCUUAGUACAACAAUUUAUGUAAGCACUGGGACCAGUUUAAAUUUGCUCUUAAACUGAUGACAGCAUGUGCUAUAUAACAAGUUCUGAGUGUACAUUAUCCCAAUGAAAUUGUGUCAUUAUCCUAACAAAAUUGAUCAUAAAAAUAGUUCAUAUUGCUGCAGGUACGCGCGCAUGGGCGCGCACGAUACACUAGUUGAUUAUACUUAAAAAUGUACAUCCCAAAUGUCGCUUAGUCCAAACCGUGUAUAUUUCACCCAAACCAACUCGAGUUUGUAUGUGUAUUUGCCUACUCGAGUUUGUAUGUGUAUUUGCCUUCGUAUUUUCGAGAAUGAAAUAAAAUUAAGUGGGAAAAUCCCAUUUUUCUUUAUCCUCCACCGCCGUAUUUUCUUUUUGCUCCCCGAAGCUGCAACCAUCGUUUCCUCCUCUCCUGAAGCACGACAGCCAGUCCAGCCACCAUUUGGGUGCUCAUCUCCCUCUGCUCGGCACCUAGCCCCAGCUCGCCCGAGCUCCCUGCGCCGACCUCAUCUUCCCCAUGGCGCGUCACCUUCUAGUCCUCUCCUUCCCACGGCACAGCAGCGCCCCUGCAGCUCCCCUUCUCCAGAUCCAUGGCACCCAACACCUUGAGCGCCCCUGCCGCUGCUCCUCCACCGGGAUCUCCUCCUCCACUAGGCGUCCAGGCUUGUCCCACCGUGGCUGCCCCUCCUCCAUCUCCUCCCUCCCCACCAGGUUACCCAGAUUCCAUGGCCGCCGCCGCCCCAGCCAUCUCCCUGGUGGCCGACCUCGCCCCUGCCCCAGCCACAGCUCCCCCUUCGGCCCUGCUGCUGCAAGCACUCAGCCUCUCCCAUGGCACACGGUACUCGUCCAGCCCCUUUCUACUGGUGGCUGAGCCAUCUCUCUGGUGCUCGAUGAAAUGACCAUGAGGAGUUUUGUGUUGUGUGCAGCCCCAUCUGCAACACCGUCGACCCCCGACGAGGUCCUUUCUCGCCUUGUCGUUUUAGUACUCGGCGUCGAUUAAGUAGAUGCUAACCGUGUGUAUAUUCGUGUGUUCUUGUGAGGAGAAAUCCCAUGAUUUGGGGGAAGACGAAGUCCAAGCACAACCCCCGCCAAUCGCUCGAUGAAAAAUCUAAACCAAAACCCUCAGCGUUUUCAAGGGUUCCGGAGGGAUUUUAUGUUGGUAAGGUAAUUUGUGUCCUAAUUAGUUCACUCAGUUAUUGAGUUGAAGAGAUUGUUAGUUGUAUGUGUCGAUGAUGCUAUUUUGAUUAGCAGGUGUUGUGCGGUGUGAUCUCCAAUUCCCUAUUGCUGUUUUCUUACUCCAUCAUGACCUUAGGGAAGGAUGUUUUCCUCUAAAUUACUCGUAAUAAUUAUGCUUGGUGUAUGUGUUGUUUUAGCUACUUGAUGAAAUGUUUUAGUUGUGUGCGAUAAUAUGGUUGCCGUUCGAGUGGAAAGUAGAUGUGUUGUAUGACCUGAGUUGGAGUUGAGGCAAGUAUGUGUGUCUCGUAUUACGAAACUAAUUAGAGAUAUGCAUGAUGUUUGUAGAUGGAUUAUGUGUAGAGUGUUUUAGUACAAGUAUUUUUUUUAGGUAUAGUUGAACCAGUUAUUGUAUAUGAAUUGUGCGAUAUCAAGGUAGUUCUAAUGUUCUUUUAACAUCUUGCUAAUAAGGUGUUAGAGUAUUCUAAAUGCCAAACAUAGGAUAAUUUUACAAGCCAAAUAGAAGUUAAAUUGAAGGUAUUGCUGUUUAGGGCUGUAGGUAUAGUUUUAGUUAUGCAGCUAGUCCAAUAAAGUAGAUCAUGUUUUCUGUAGAAGCGUUAUAUAUAAAACUUGUAGAUAAUCUUUUUAUCUUACUUGUGUAAAAAUUUCAUGACCAUAGGUGUAGUAGUUUAGGAGUUAUGAUUUUUCCAAGUCCAGUCUCAGAAUCUGUCCAAAUUCUGUACAGGUUUCGAAAAUUGGAUUGCUUGGCUAAGCUAAACUGAGAAUCAGCCCUUAGUAAUUAUAGAAGAAUUUUAGUACUUUUCUUAAGCUUUCCAACAAAUUUUGGAGCACCCUUUUUGGUGGUCUAGAUAUCAAGUUACAGCUGUUUGAACUAUAGAGUCUGAAUUUGUCCAAAUUUGGACAGCGAAGUCUGUUUGUAGUAACUGACUUUGAUAUGUAUUGAAUUAACCUGAGAUGUUUAUAAAUGAAUUGUAGACAAUUCUAUUAACUUUCUAAAAAGUCUAGGAUCACCUGAUUUGGAUUUCGGAAACUCCAGUUCUGGACUUUUGAAGUAAGUAGUCGAAUUCUGUCCAAAUCUGGACAUAAUUUAUGUUUAGCGCUGUUUGACCUUUGUAAAGGUCGAAUUUUGUUGUGAUGGUAAUACAAAAGUUAUAGAGGACUUUAUAAGCUUUCCAAAAAGUUCUAGUUUACUAUUAUUGGAUACAUAUUUUAUGAAUUGUGAGCUAAACAGAUAGUUGCUGACUUGCUGUUCUGCUGUCCAAACACAUGUCUACUGUCUGAAAAUAGCUCAUUUUGUAGUUACAUUUGCAUUAGGCUUUGAUGAUUGCUGUACAAGGAUGAUAUGGCCUCCCGCCCAAAGCUGUCUGGUAUUCAGAAGCAGGUUUUGGCGCUGUAUAGGGGAUUCCUUCGGACAGCACGCCUUAAGGCCCCUGAAGAACGCCGCAGGAUCGAGUCUGUUAUCUUGGCAGAGUUCCGUGACAACGCAAGGAGUGUUGACCUUAGGAACUUUGUACACAUAGAGUACUUGUUGAGGAGAGGGAAGAAGCAUCUUGAGCAGCUCAAGAAUCCUGAUAUUACUGGACUCGCUACCCUUGUAGUAAAGAAAUGAGGUACGUAGUUUUCAAAAACACUUAUUUGACUGUGCAUGGUCUUCGAAACAAGUUUUAGUUUUUAAGUUUGACCAAAUCUUGUCAUAAACAUCAAGUUUUUUUUUUAAACAACGGAAGUCGAUUAGUAUUUAAAAUCAGCAAGUAUCAUCCAUUAGUAUUUUAGGUCUUUAGAUUUAAAAAUUGUGGACUUGUCAAAACUCUAUGUUAUUUGAUAAGGCUCUACUUGUUAAAUUAAGUGGUGUGGUGCUUGAUUUAGUCGAUGUGCUAUGCCCGAUAAUCUAGAUUAGUAACUCUAAAAUCUAGUUAAAGUAUUUCUAUUCGUCACUUUAAGUUAUAGGUAUCCAUGGUUGUUGUGUCUAAGUAUCCGAUUUCUGAGCUCUGCCCCUGCUGUUUAGGAUAGCAUAUGGAGUUCUUUAUGUUCCACAAGCACAAUUGAUCUUAUGGAAUGGAAAUAGUAGAACAUUACCUGGUGAGAGCACACAAAUACCUUAUACAAAGCAGGUAUUGAGUCAAAUUGUUGUGUACCCAUUUGUGGUCUGGAUACACUGGUUUGGUGAAAAUGAAAUAUGCCCAAAGCAACAAAACCCAGUUCACAUGAACUGCUAUCCUGUAUUUACGAAUCUUGACUAGUCUAGUAAUAUAUGUAUGUGGAAAUAUGAAGGUUUCUUUAUUUCUCUUCUUAAACAGCAAGAGAAGAAGGAAGACUAGUCAGACAAAAUAGAAGACGAGAAGAACUGAUGUAGCCAUGUUCAUGCUUCCAUGUAAUAGUUCAUUAUUCCAUACAUAUUUCUGUCUAUCCAGAAUCUACUAUUGAAAUACAUAUCUAGCAUAGCUUGCUCAGCUCCUAUAUGUUGUUUCAACGUUGAUUUAAAAGAAGAGCUGGUAGUUGUGGGCUUUUGAACAAUAGCUGGAGUGAUAUGAAAUAUUAGUGAUGUAGUUGUGGGCUUUUAAACUGCUUCAAGCUGGAGUGAUGUCGCUGUGGUGCUUUUGUGACUGAUCAUCUCUAGAGCUUUUGUGAAUGAUCUAGCUAGCUAUCUGUAAAUGAUCUAGUUGUGAAUGAUAUUAUAAUUGUGAUGCUUUUGUGAAUAUAUAAUUGUGGUGCUUUUGUGUUUAUGUGAUGGAUCUAUGACUGUGGUAUACUGAUUAACUGUGUAUGUCUUUAUGAUUUGUGUAUAAAAAUCUGUGAUUUGUGGUGCUUAAUUAAAUGUAUAUUUUUAUUAAUAACAACUGUAAAAGGGCGACUUUUUGUUGGUUGCUAAAUGUAUAGUAUGACGACUUACAGUUGGUUGCUAAAUCUAUACUACAGCAACCCACGGUUGGUCGCUAAAUAUACAAUAUUAGCAAUAGACGUCGGUCGCUAAAAAGAUGUCGGUCGCUAAAGCCUUUAGCGACGGCACUUACAGCGACCAUCCUUAUGGGUCGCUAAAAGUUUUUAGCGACCAACCGUAGGUCGCUGAAGGCCGUUUUAGCAACCAACCGUAGGUCGCUGUAAGUGAACCGUCGUGUAGUGGCUCUAGAGUGUACCUUUUUCUUCUUGCCGUCCUUAGCCAUGAGACACUUGUGGCCGAUGUUGGGGAAGAGGAGGCCCUUGUUGACGGCAAUGUUGGCGGCGUCCUCGUUGGAGGAGGAGUCGGUGGAGCUCUCGUCGGAGUCCUAUUCCCGACAUAUGUGUGCAUCGCUGCCCUUCUUCUUGUAGUAUCUCUUCUUCUCCUUCUUCUUCCCCUUCUUGUCUUCGUCCCUGUCACUUUCACUAGAAAUUGGACAUUUAGCUAUGAAAUGAUCGGACUUACCACAACGGUAACACACCCUCUUGCAGCGGGACUUGUAGUCUUUCCCCCCUCCUUUGUUUGAGGAUUUGACGGAAGCUCUUGAUGAUGAGUACCAUCUCCUCAUUGUCGAGCUUGGAGGCGCCGAUUGAAAGUCUACUUGGUGUAGACUCCUCCUUCUUUUCUUCUGUCGCUUUGAAUGCGACGGGUUGCACCUCGGGUGUAGAGGUGGCACCUUGCUCCAAGUUGACAAUGUGUUUGGAGUCUUUGAUCAUUAGUUCAAAACUCACAAACUUGCCAAUAACCUCCUCGGGAGACAUUAGUUUAUAUCUAGGAUCCCCACGUAUUAAUUGAACUUGAGUAGGAUUGUGAAAUACGAGGGAUAUAAGAAUAACCUUGACCAUCUCAUGGUCAUCACAUUUGGUGCUCCCGAGGUUGCACACUUGGUUCACCAUGGUCUUGAGCCGAUUGUACAUCGCUUGCGGCUCUUCUCCUUUGUUGAGGACGAAUCGACCGAGUUCUCCUUCGAUCAUCUCGCGCUUGGUGAUCUUGGUCACCUCGCCCCCUUCAUGCGCGGUUUUGAGGAUGUCCCAAAUUUCUUUGGCACUCUUUAACCCUUGCACCUUAUUAUACUCCUCUCGACACAAGGAGGCGAUGAGUAUAGACGUGGCUUGGGAGUUAAAGUGCCUAAUUUGGGCGGCCUCGUCCGAGUCGUAGUACUUGUCCCCCACCUUUGGUACAUGCGCUCCAAACUCAACAAUAUCCCAAAUGCUUUCAUGGAGUGAGGUUAGAUGGUGCCUCACUUUAUUACUCCACAUACAAUAAUCUUCACCAUCAAAAUAUGAUGGUUUGCCUAGGGGUACAUAAAGUAAUGGAGCACGCUUUGAAAUACGAGGAUAACAUAGGGGCAUCUUUCUAUACUUCUUGCGCUCAUGGUGCUUAGAAGUAAUGGACAAUUCGGAGCUUGAUGUGGAGGGUGACGAAGAGUCGGUCUCGUAGUAGACCACCUUCUUCAUCAUCUUCUUCUUGUCACCUCUCCGAUGCGACUUGAUGGAGGAAGAGGAUUCCUCCUUGUGUUUGUUGCCGGACUCCCUUGAGAGAGUCCUCCCCAAGCUUGCGGCCUUUUUCGCUGGUCAUGAUCUCCCUCUUGGCGUGAUCUUCAGACAUCACUUCGAGUUGGUUAGACUCUUAAUGAAGCACUGGCUCCGAUACCAAUUGAAAAGUCGCCUAGAGGGGGGUUGAAUAGGCGAAACCUGAAAUUUAUAAACUUAAACACACACUAAGGUCGGGGGUUAGCGUUAGAAUUAAAUUCAAGUCCAAAAGAAUAUCUCUCUUGCUAGGAGUUGCUCAAGGAUUGCGGAUGACGUAUGGGAGCCAACUCAAAUUCACACUAGCAAGGAAAUGUUAGAGAGACGAAAACAAAUCAAACAAGAAUCAAGGCGAGUGAACACGAUGAUUUGUUUUACCGAGGUUCGGUUCCAAAGAACCUAGUCCCCAUUGAGGAGGUCACAAAGACCGGGUCUAUUUCAACCCUUUCCCUCUCUCAAACGGUCACUUAGACCGAGUGAGCCUUUUCCUUAAUCUCUCAGGUCACUUAAACCCCGCAAGGACCACCACACACUUUGGUGUCUCUUGCUUCGAUUACAAGUCACUUAAGAAAUAGACGGGAAAAGAAAAAUGCCAAACCAAGCAACAAGAGCAACAAAGAACACAUGAUAUCCUCUCACAAGCCCUAAUGCACUAGAAUUGAUUUUGGGGCUUUGAGUGGAUUGAUUGCUUUGAUUGUGUCUUGGAGUGUUGGGCUUUGCUCUUGCAAUGAAUGAGAGUUCAGAAAUGCUUGGAUGGUUAUGAAUGAGGUGGUUGGGGGGGGUAUUUAUAGCCCCCAACCACUUCCAUAGCUGUUGGUGAAGGCUGCUGGCGAUGGGCGCACCGGACAGUCCGGUGCGCCACCGGACAACCAUUGUGCAUUAUCCGGUGCGUGCCACGUCAGUGCAACCGUUAGGGUUCGAAGCUGGUCGACCGUUGGAGUCUUUGUUGUCUUGCUGCACCGGACAGUCCAGUGCCACAUCGGACAGUCUGGUGCUCUCUGACUUCUGCGCUCUGACUUCUGACAUCCACUGUUCAUCGCGACAGAGUCGACCGUUGGCGCAGAGAGUCAUUGCUCCGCUGGUACACCGGACAGUCCGGUGAAUUAUAGCGGAGCGCGCCCUGGAAUUCCUGAGAGUGGCUGGUUCAUCUGCUGUAUGGCCUGGUGCACCGGACACUGUCCGGUGCGCCAUUUUUCAGCACACUCAAGUCCUUUUGCUCCAAUAAAUUGUGUCCCUAACUUAAUUUCUUUCUUGGUUUGUGUUGAACCUUAUGCACCUGUAAUACAUGAAUUCUUGACAAACUAGUUAGUCCAUGUGUUUGUGUUGUUCGUCAACCACCAAAAUUAAUUAUAGGAAAUGGUUAACCCUAUUUCCCUUUCACAACUCAACUGUCAGAUGAGUACUCCAUUACAGCACUUACGUACACGAGUUCUAUGAGAGCAGACCUCCAAAAUGAAUAUCUGCUAAGUGUUUAUCUACUUAGAUGAAGGACGACAAUCACUUUCUUGGGAAAUAUUAGCGACACAACUCCUUACAUCCUCCGCUUCUUCCUAGUGUUUUUUGUUGUGAUUGAGUCGACACAGCAACAACACUGCACUAUUACAACCAGUACGACUAUAUCAACUAGCAAUGUCUUCCUUAUAUGUUACUAUUUAUUUUGCUAAUAUUCAUUAUGUUUAAAUCACAUGUGCACCUUUCUAUUGACAUCAAAAAAUUAGUGGGGAUCGAGUGAUUCUUUAAACCGAUUAUUACACAAGUUAACCACACUAAAAUUAACAUUGGUGAAUCGUGCCAUGAUUUUUUUCUAGUGCAAAAUAGCCAAACCAAGCAAAACAUAUGUGGCUAUCGUUACACAUGUGUAAAGGUAUUGCAUCACACCAUUGUCACCCAUGUAUUUGGACAAUACCGAGAGGAAAAACCACUUAUUUAUUGUAUUUUAUCAAGUUUAUCUUGCUUACGUAUAAAUUAUAACCCAACAAAGUAAUCACUAAAUGUCAAAACCAACUAGAUACCAUGUCAUCUCUACCUUAUCUUACUAAUAUUCUUUUUGCAAAAUCGAAAAUUAAUCUUGCACAAGCACAAGGACUGAGAUGUGUAUAAAUAUCUCUUAGAUUAGUAGAUAAUAUAUCGCACAUAUUAUUGAGACCAACUAGCAACAUAGAAAGCACAAUAUUGUACCAAUAAUGGCAGCCAAAAUAUUUUGCCUCAUUAUGCUCCUUGGUCUUUCUGCAAGUGCUGCUACGGCGAGCAUUUUCCCGCAAUGCUCACAAGCUCCUAUAGCUUCCCUUCUUCCCCCAUACCUCUCACCAGCGAUGUCUUCAGUAUGUGAAAAUCCAAUUCUUCUACCCUACAGGAUCCAACAGGCAAUCGCAGCAGGCAUCUUACCUUUAUCACCCUUGUUCCUCCAACAAUCAUCAGCCCUAUUACAGCAGUUACCUUUGGUGCAUUUAUUGGCACAAAACAUCAGGGCACAACAACUACAACAACUCGUGCUAGCAAACCUUGCUGCCUACUCUCAGCAACAGCAGUUACCUUUGGUGCAUUUGUUGGCACAAAACAUCAGGGCACAACAACUACAACAACUCGUGCUAGCAAACCUUGCUGCCUACUCUCAGCAACAACAGUUUCUGCCAUUCAACCAACUAGCUGCAUUGAACUCUGCUGCUUAUUUGCAGCAACAACAACUACUACCAUUCAGCCAGCUAGCUGCUGCCUACCCCCGGCAAUUUCUUCCAUUCAACCAACUGGCAGCAUUGAACUCUCAUGCUUAUGUACAACAACAACAACUACUACCAUUCAGCCAGCUAGCUGCUGUGAGCCCUGCUGCCUUCUUGACACAGCAACAUUUGUUGCCGUUCUACCUGCACACUGCGCCUAACGUUGGCACCCUCUUACAACUGCAACAAUUGCUGCCAUUCGACCAACUUGCUUUGACAAACCCAGCAGUGUUCUACCAACAACCCAUCAUUGGUGGUGCCCUCUUUUAGAUUGCUUAUGAGUUAUAGUUCAAUAAUAAAGUUUUUUUUGCUGAUAUUUGUGGCUUCCCAGAAAUAAGAAAGUACAUUUCUAGAUUCUUAUGUGCUUCUAGUCUCCAAAUGUGGUUGAUAGUUAUUUUGCUCUAAGAUCGGCAGUAAUGAGGUAUAAAUACUUGUUGUCGUGUGCUACUCGGUUAAUUGAGCAUUAACACACAUAAACAUUACAAGGAUGGUAUAAUCUCCUAAAAUGUGUACAUUGUUAGGUGUAACCCUAUAGCCAUGCAGAAUGUGCUAUGUUAGGCAUGCCGAUGGAAACGUGUGACACAUACGUUUUGUUAACCUAUUGAUAUUAUAUGUGCCUUUUAUAUUACCAUAUUUUAUUAAAAUACUAAUAUUUAUUACUAGUAAGAUAUAACAUUCUAUCUAGCUUAAAAACUAACCAUAAAUAUUCCAUCAUAACUAGAUUUACCAAACUAAUAUACUAAAUAUACAUAAUAAAUACAAAAUUAACAAUACAAUAUCAAUAUUUAUGAGCUUAAUAAAUUUAAACAUUAUGGUUGGCCGACGAUAAUCAUACUGACUUUCCGUAAUUGCUUGAUUGUAAAUAUACUUAGACUAAUGCCUCUUUGUUCUACAUGGCAAAUAGGGACCACUCUAGGAGACUAGGAUGUUGCUUGAGACGAAGAUGUUAUCAUUGGUGUAGACUAAUUUCUAUCAGCCGCUGACUUCACUAUUGUAACCAUUAUCUCUUGGGUAAAUCAUAUACGAUUAUCUAGCCAAAGGCCCAGAUGAUAAAAACAAUUUUUAAUUGCUAUUUCAGGACAAAUGAAUUAGCAUGGUUCGAAGGAUUGCGACCUUCCCCCCAUGACUUUUAUCGUAUUGUGUUAGUCUAAUCGACAAAACCAAGAUUAGAUAUCAUCGAAGAAGUUGAUAAGCGAAUCUGUGACCACUAUCAGAAUCAGCUGCUUUGCCGAGUGUCUAAAACACUCGACAAAGCCUGAAAAACACUCGGCAAAGGAUUUGCCGAGUGUAACACUCAGCAAAGAAAGCUCGGCGAAGUAUACAUCGGCAACGACUUCUUUGCCGAGUACUUUUUAUCGGGCACUUGGCAAAGAAGCGUCAUUGUCACGACGAUAGGUAAUGCCGACGGAGUCUGUGACGAGUGUCACAGAGUGACGCUCAGCAAAGGCUCACUCUUUGCUGAGUGACCACUGUACAGACACUCGGCAAAGAAGCCCCCGUGGGUCCCUUUAUCAGGGCCUUUGCCGAGCGUAUUAGGUGGCACUCGGCAAAGGCUCCAUCUUUGGUGACUGCCCGCCAGACUAGCAAUCGACAAAGGGAUCAACAGCGGAUCCCUUUGUCAGUUCUUUUGUCGAGUGCUCUAGGAGGCACUCAAUAAAGCUUGUGUUGGGGGCCUUCUUCUUCCGAAGGUCCUCAAAAACGUGACUAACCAUAGGUUUUCAGUAUGACAUAGACUAUUAUAGGAAGCUUUGGCUUUGGGAUGAAGGCGUGUGAUAUGAGGAUACAGCCCAAAGGCAACAUGGAUGGACGUCGAAGCUAUGGCUAAAGGAGUUUCGGCUUGGCAUGUUAGCGAAGAUGAAGGACGAAACCGACCUAAGGGAGAAAAGACUAGUUAGUCCUUGAUAGUUUGCAUUAUGAUUAAGAGCAGAUAUCAGGGGCAUGCAUGUAAUCUUAUCCGGGCUGCGUCCCGUGCCUAUGAAUAGAUGAAUAGUAACACCGUACUGUUCACGCUGGAUUAUAAUCGCUCCUACGUCACUCUCGCGUCUUCACCUUUUGGUAAGCUGAAGGUAUCAAUGUAAUACAAAUAUUGAUGAUGUUUAUUCAUGUUUAUGAAAUGAGAAUAUAAAUAGCUUGCUGAUUCGUAAUCAUUAUUUAUAUUCUUUUGUAUUUCAUGUACCCUUAUUUAGAUGUGUUCACUGAGAUGAUGAAGGUAUGCCCUUCAUGACCUUCGUUCGGAAACCAUUAUAUCCAAAAGGAGAUAAUGCUUCGAAGGACGAAGGUCUCUAAUUAUUGACAAUCAUGUUGUCUUGUUCUUGAUGUAUAGCAUUUGGGAACAAGGACCAACAUUGGCGCCCACCUCCCGUGAACUCAAUCGACCACCUUCGGCAAGCAUCGACUUUCGUAAUGCCGCCGAAGAAGACAAUAGUGCCAGGGGCUGCCCUGCAGCCACUGGACACUAAUCAGGAAACGCUGCGAGAAGCUAGGAUCUAGAAGAGGAAGGCUACUAGCCCAACACCUCAGGAGGAGGAGCUAGAUCAGGAGAUCAGAGAUUUGGAGGCUAUCACCAGCAGGUACAAAGAAAAAGGGAAAAGAUGCUUCAGCUCGUCGAACUUCAGAGAAAGAUCGACAAAGCUGCUGAAGAAAUGCGUCACCUUACCCAGGAUGACCAAGACCGAAGGCCCCAACAUAGGGAGCUUCAUCAAGAAAGCCCAAUUAAUGACGAUGAGUGGUAUGGUGACUUUCAUCGUGGCAAUUUUGCUUUUGAUGAUGCUUCUCCCUUGGCAGCAGAAUUGCAGGCUACCCCGUGGCCGCCAUCAUACAAGCCACCUCAGCUCCCCAUGUAUGACGAGCACUCAGACCCGAAGCAACCAUAUCCUCAUAUGGGGGCAAUACUGCGGUCAUGGCAAAGUCCUUCGUCAUGGCAGUUAGAAGCGUGGCUCAAACAUGGUGCUCUUCUCUUCGGCCAGGGACAAUUACGUCGUGGCAAAAGCUAAAAUACAUACUGGUCACUAGCUUCUAGGGUUUCCAAUCGAAACCAGUUACUGUCCAAACUCUGUUCCAGUGCACACAGGACCAAGAAGAAUACCUCCAAGCGUAUGUCCGAAGGUUCCUGCGAUUGAGAGUUCAGGCGCCUACAGUGCCCAAUGAGAUUGUCAUUGAGGCCAUGAUCAAGGGGUUCAGACCAGGACCAACGGCGCAAUACUUUGCAAGGAAGCCACCACAAACCCUAGAGAAGCCGACGAUGAUUUUCGGCAAAGAAGGCAAGAAGCCUACAGAUACUCUGAGAUGGCCAGGGGCUUCGGAGGAAGAUUUCACCCUAGGCAUGUCAGGUCAAUCCAUAAUACCAGCUCAAGUGACGACAAGGGAAACCAUACCCAAAGGCAGCAACACAGCUCUCAGUCGUCAGGAGCACAACAAAGCUCUUUGAGGCCACCGGCUCCAAGAGGUAGAGGGGGGAGAAGCUUCGGAGGAAGAUAUGGAGAUCAGCCCAGUAAACAGUUUUGUUUGUUCUGCGGUGAAGAUAAGGGGCAUACCACAAGAACGUGCCAAGUUAUGAUUCAGAAGCAGAAAGAAAUUGCUGAAGCUGAAGCACGUUCGAAUCAGCCGAAGCAGGUUCUGCAUACUGCUUCGUGCUACUCUCCCUACGUCCCGGAGUAUGUAGACAAUCAACAGCCUACGACCUUGGUCGCUUCGGCAAGCCAUUCUCAAGCUUCCUGGGCCCAGUUGCCACCACCACCACCGCUAGCACAUGCUCUGGUCCGCAAUCAAUAGCCAGAAGGGCACCACCAUGCUUAGUAAUAGCGCGACCUUCGGGAGGAGUCCGAAGCUCGCACAGUCAACAACAUUGUGCCUAAGUCGAAGCACAUCUAUUAAAGGUGCCACGGUGAUUCAAUUAAAGAAUAUCUUACCCUAAUGUAUCUUAGUUUUUCCGCCAUUUUAUUUUCUUGCAUGAAAAACAAUUCACGAAGGAUUAAUUUCCAAUUUGAUGUAAUAAUACCGUGGUCGCACCAUCGAGUGUGGAGCGCAUCGCCUUAACAAUACUUCCGAAGCUACAAAGACGUUCCUAAGGGAGCGCGGAGUAAGUUCUGAAGCUACAAAGUUGUUCAUAAGGGAGCGCAGAGUAAGUUCCGAAGCUCAAAAGUCGUUCUUAAGUGAAUGCAGAGCCAAGAUGCCACCAAAAUAAAAGGUGAAGAAGCUCAAAAGUCAUUCCUAAGGGGAUGCAGAGCUUAAAUGCCACCGAAAUAGAAGGUGAAGAAGUUCCAAAGUCGUUCCUAAGGGGAUGCAGAGCUUAGCUCCAAAGAUGUUCCUAAGGGGAUGCAGAGCUGAAAUAUAACCUAAGUAAAAAGUGAAGAGACUCAAAAGUCGUUCCUAAGGGGAUGCAGAGUCUGGAUGCAUUUUCGAGUGGGUGUGUUUCUUCGGCAUAAACAUCAUGCUGUAUCAUAUCAUCACAUCAUUUCUCAUAGCAUUACAUCAUACAUCACAUCACAUCAGCAACAGAACUGUGGAGAAGCAAAGAUGCUUCUUUCAAAAUAUUUGAUGAAUGGAACAAUGGGCUGAAGCAGAAAGUGUACCUUCAACAGCUAUAAUUUUACAUACCAAGAAAAAUCUUCGUCGACAAACAAUAUUAUAUAACAGCUACGACAUAAGAAGGGGUGAUUUUUUAUUUGUGAAGCAUGAAAAGAAGGGAAGGUGUUUUUUCACCAAAGGCUAAAAAACAGGUAAGUACAUACAUUUCAUGCAUCACAAAGAAAUAUAUUACAUUAAUAUACAAACAAAUGUUCGAUGUUCGACUCAUACACGAAUAUUACAUUUCUUAGUACACAAGAAUUUAGUCUUCUUUCAAUAUUUUCUCGGUAGCUUCAUGUAGGAGUUUGUUGACAGCUUCAUCAACGGCUUCUUCGGCAAUCCUUAUCGUUUCUAAUGCCCCCCUCAUGGCCGGAUCGGCCUCGGGAUCAUAUGGCUCAGGCGGUGGUGAAAAAUCAGCUGUAAUAAAGAACAAGUUGUUAAUAUCAAAGCCAGAAACAAAUACUGAAGCUAAAAUUCAGUAAUAAUACCUAUACGCCUUGCGCGCUCAGCAACCUCUUGGCUCGCUUAGCUUAUUCUCGAGCAUCAUGGGAUUCUUUUUCAUUUGUCUUUAUAGCUUCAUCGGCUAUCUCACGGCCACCUUUCAUCCAAACAUUGGAAUAAAACUUCUCGCCCAUCAAAGUAGCUUCGGCCGAAGGCUCCUUCAUGUCGUCUAUGGAGAAGACGGCUUCCGCCUGGGCUGCAGUUUUAACAUGUUCACAGCCAGUUUUCUCCAAAACUGCUGCAACCCCUCGGGCACCGGCGAAGGCACAAAAAUCCUCGCGUUCGCUAAGUAUUUCCUCAAAAGCUUCAACUUCUUCGCAAAUCCAUUGAACGACUCCUUUUGGAUCGCCUCGAAUAAAUUUUUGCUCCGAUGAGUAUGCACCCACCUUUGCAAAACUGUCUUUCAGUUUCUUUGCAUAGUCCAUGGAUACUUCGUAGCAUUUCUCUCUGGAACCCCGAAGUUCUUCAACAUUCUUCUCAAGCCUGGAGCUUGUCCAUUCACUUAUAUCUUACUUUGCCUUAGCAAGUUCAAUAUUUUCGCUCAUUUCGGCAAGUUUUUUGUGAAGGUCUUCGACUUCGGCUUGGUGAGCUUCGGAUUGUGCAUUAAGUUUUGCUUCGUUGCUCUUCAGUUUAUCCACCAAGGAAAGCAGUAUUUUAUCUUUUUCAAGCGCCUCGUUCCUUAAUGUAAUAACUUAUGACCGAAGGUUCCCAAGGGCUAUUUGGCAGCUUUCAUCUUCUGCAUUCUUUUGUGCCCUUAAAGCCUUGCUUAGGAUUAAUGCCUACAAAAAAUGAAGGAUCAGCACACAACAAUAAGAAAAGAUACAAAAAGUAAUCUGCUUAUAAGCUAAAAUGUCCUCACCAUCAGACUGUUAUAAGCAAGGAUGUCUGCAAGGUCAUCUUUCGACAUUGCAGACAACCCAAGCUCUAGCUUCGGGAAACCUAUAUUUUUUGCCAUCUCCCGACAAACAAAUAUUUUCUUGUUGUCUGGAAGGCAAUACAAAAAAUCAUCUUCGUCAGUGCCAUUAAACAUGAGGGAUCCUGGGGGAUACUUCAGAUCCUUAGCAAAUUGCCUAGCUUCGGCAACCUGCUCCUCUGAUAGUUUUUCCCUACCGCGUGACACACUAUAAAUUCCGAUCCCUCAGUAGAAGCUUCAACGGCAAGGAAUUCAGAUUCUUUGCUGGUUCUCUCUUUUCCUAACGGUAACGGAGCUUUUUCAGCAUCCAAAGGUCCUUUUUCAGCAUCCUUUUCAAUAAGCUCUGCAGGCCCUAUUUCUGCGGGAACUGAGGGCCCAGCUUCAGCUUCAACCCAAGUUAUGAUAGCUUCGGCAGUUUCCUUUGUACUUUUCUUACCCAUGCUAGGUACUUCUGUAGAGGCAGGAGUUAGUACUUUUGUCGAUUCCAUGACAGCAUCCAGUACACUAGCCAUUCUCCUCCUUUUUGGAGUUAUCAAAGUAGUUUUUUGAAUCUUCGGCAAUUCUGCCUCUGGCCGUGAAAAAGUUUUUGGCUGCUCCGCUGCUAUCUUCAGAAUUGGCUCUUCGGCUGAUCCCAAUAUGGCUUCGGCAGUAGCGAGAUGAUUUUGCUCAGCUGCAGAAGAAGACCCUUCAACAGGCUUUGACACUUUGGCCGUCUCAGAGUGCCUGGGCCGGUGUGUCAAGACUUUGCCAUUUUUCCCUUCGGCGUGGCAGAGAUUGCCGAAGCAGUAGCCUUCCUUUUCUUUCCCUGCUUUCGCGAGGGAUAACAAUAGUCUGGGUACACAAAACCAAUUACAUCAAAAACCCUAUUUAAUCUCUUCUUGCCUCGUCCUCCGAAGGCCAAUGUCAUGGCAUCGUCUUCGGCCCUUGUGUAGGCCCCAAGCAAUUCGUCACUAGUAGCCUCAAUGCAAUCCAACCAGUCAUCGUUCGGCUCAUCGAACUGAUCUCUGUAUCUGAAGGUGUAUUUCAGAUAAACUAAACUAACUUGACUGGACCCGGCCGCAGCUUCCUUCGACAUCUCCCAGCCACUUCCAAGAGGCCACACUCUGUAAGCAAUAUGCUCCUAGACUAAGUCCCUAGUGCCAAUAUAAGUACAUAAAGUGUUAAAGUCCGUAUGGCAUGCUUGAAUAUCAUGUCCAUGGACAGUGGUUGGCCUCCUAAUGCCGAAGCGAGACCAGAUAGGGCAUUGAAUGAUCCCCUUUAUAUCUUCUCUUUCAACUAAGUUGUUCUUCACAUAAAACCACUCUUGCAUCCAGGCUCCUGGCCACCUCUUCCAAAAUGUUGGGACGGGAUAGCUCACACCAGAGCGAGGCAUGAAGCCGUAACAACGAAAAUUAUUAUGAUAUUGUUCUAUGCCAGUAGCCUUUGUCUCAUAGGACAGGUCAUGCAUGUUGCAGAAGCAUUUUGCAUUCGGCUCUAAACCCUGGCCCAAAUGAAAACUCCCAUUCUGAUGAUAUCUUCGGGGGUAAUUUGAUGAAGGUAAAUUUCAAAAGUCUUCAAAACUUCAACUAAAAAUUUGUUCAGGGAGAAUCGAAGCCCUGCUUUCAUAGAACUCCUGUAGACAACAACUUCGUCUGCUUCGGGCAUAGGGGCACUGCUAUCUCCUCUGGCCCUCAUGAUAGAAAUAUCGCGGAAGUAUCUUCCUUUCAUUGCAUCAAUCUGACUCUGUUUGAUGGUUGAUUUAGCAAAGAUGGUAUGACUCGGUCGCCAGGGCUGAUCUUCGACAUCUUCGUUUCCACUUUCUAAGUCAAAACUUUCACUAUCGCUGGAAUCUUCAGACAACCCAACCAACAUCUCAUUGGUGAUCUUCUUCAUAUUUGUCUUCUCCAUAGCUUCAUAAAACCCGGCCAAUGCAGGGUCAGCAAUCUUCUUCUCUUUAGCCAUUUAGACAACGAUUGCACGAUUGUCGAAGCUUAAAACUCAAUCAAAACUCGACAGAGCAAGAGAAUUCAGAAUGUCUAAAAUAGCGCAAGCAACUGAAAUAGCACAGCAAAUGCUGCCAAUGCGAGUUUCUAUUUAUAUGCCUCACGAUUUGGUGGGCCAUACAUGUCAGUGGCUUUCGCUAUUCUAGCGAAGGGAAGGUGUUUUUUCGGAUCUUCGGUUAAAGGCCUUCGUUCACGUCACAGUCUAAAUUUGUUACAAAGAAACAAAUUAAUACUACGAGGGGCUACUGUUGGGGGCCUUCCUUUUCCGAAGGUCCUCAAAAACGUGGCUAACCAUAUGUUUUCAGUAUGACAUAGACUAUUAUAGGAAGCUUCGGCUUUGGGAUGAAGGCGUGUGAUAUGAGGAUACAACCCGAAUGCAACAUGGAUGGACGUCGAAGCUAUGGCUAAAGGAGCUUCAGCUUGGCAUGUUAGCGAAGAUGAAGGACGAAACCGACCUAAGGGAGAAAAGACUACUUAGUCCUUGAUAGUUUGCAUUAUGAUUAAGAGUAGAUGUCAGGGGCAUGAAUGUAAUCUUAUCCGGGCUAUGUCCCGUGCCUAUAAAUAGAUGAGAAGUAACACCGUACUGUUCACGCUGGAUUGUAAUCGCUCCUACAUCACUCUCGCAUCUUCACCUUUUGGCAAGCCGAAGGUAUCAAUGUAAUACAAAUAUUGAUUAUGUUUAUUCAUGCUUAUGAAAUGAGAAUAUAAAUAGCUUGCUGAUUCAUAACCAUUAUUUAUAUUCUUUUGUAUUUCAUGUACCCUUAUUUAUAUGUGUUCACUGAGAUGAUGAAGGUAUGCCCUUCAUGACCUUCGUCCGGAAACCAUUAUAUCCAAAAGGAGAUAAUGCUUCGAAGGACGAAGGUCUCUAAUUAUUGACAAUCGUGUUGUCUUGUUCUUGAUGUAUAGCAUUUGGGAAUAAGGACCAAUAGCUUGCUUCUUUGCCGAGUGCCAAGGCCACAGCACUCGGCAAAGAGUCUUUACCGGUGCGCAGGUGUGCCUUCUUUGCCGAGUGCUAUGACAUUGACACUCGGCAAAGUAUCUCUUUGUCGAGUGUAACACUCGACAAAGUGACCAGAUUAUCCCUUUUUAUUUGUUUUUGCUAUUCCAUCCAAACAAAUAAAAGAUAUAUCGCAUAAUCAUCACAUAUACAUCAUAGAUAUCACAUAAUCAUCGCAUACAUAAUAGAGACUGCAUAUUUCACAAAAAACACAAAUCUCACAAGUUUUUCUCAAACAUGUCCAUGUUCAUACCAAGAUUCACUAACAUAAGUAUCACACAACUCUAAAACAUAAGUUUUUCACAAACAUAAGUUUAGGACAAGUUUAUCACACAAGCUAAGAGAAGAUCAUGAGCGAGGUGGGCGGCUGGACUGGUGCGGCGACGGGCUGGGCGAUCCACGAGGGUUGUUGGAUGCCGCCCUAGAUUGUCCCUGCACAGAGAAGAGAUUGCCUGUGUUAUACUAGAUAAAUAUACAUCAUGCAGGACUAGAAUUUUGAUACUCAUAGGAGUAUGGAACUGAGCAGGGUCAACUGGAGGGAACAACGGAGGUGGUGGAGCAAAACCCUGUGCGGUGCCAAGGCUCUGCAUGUACUGGAACAUCUCUGCCAUCCUCUGUUGAUUUUCCAUGUGGGCCUCCCGCUCCGCCAUCAUCCUCGCCUCCAUAUCCUACCGUUCCCUCCUCUCUUCUUCUAGCUAGGCAUAUAAUAUUUCAACCCAGUGUUAUAAUAACUCAAAGAGAAGGUAUAUAACUCAAGGAAAGACGAGUUACAGAAGCACUAACCUGGAGUUGUUGUAUCUCAUGAUGUGAGUUGUCCUGUCGAGGUCGUAUGGCUGGGCUUGAGCUCGUGGUCCUUGCUCGCACCUGAGACAGAGUGGGAGUGGACAACGAGUCGAUUGUCCCGUCGGCAAUCCAGUACCUCCCAUGCCUCUUGCCUCCUCUGACCCUCAUGAGAACAUCUCCGUCGAUUUCCUUGGUCCUCGGAUCGUAAUCUGGCCCAUGGACCUCAUGUGACAUGGCAGUGUACUCACUUAGGCGGUUGUAGACGGCGGAGUUGCUAUAUGCCUCGGGCCCGUCAUCCGGGUUGUAGGUGACAUCGGACGUCGCCUUUCCCUUGUGGGCCAUAGCAUAAACCGAGAAGAUGGAGCAUGGCUGGCCACCAUGUAACACCAAAUGCAAUAAAAUCAAUGAGAUAGUUAGAAAUAAUAUCUAAACCAGUGCUAUAUACCUAAAUAAAAAGAGGGCGUACCCAUGCUUCUACAUAUUUCCAGAGGUUGCGACUGCCUUGGUGGUGGGAGGGACCUUACAUCAUCAAAUGUCGUUCCAUGCUAGCGUUGUGCGCCUCGUCCCACUUAGGCGAGCACCACCUAUCCACCAUCUGCUCCUAGCACUGAGGAUGCGCGGCGCACCAAUAAGGAAUCAUCUACAAACUAAAACAAGUACAUUGCAUAUCAGAAGAUAAAAUUAAGCAAUUUUUUUCACGAAUAUUAAAGUGAUGUAUUUACCUGCAAGUAUUGGUCCCUAGUCAACGACAUGGUUCGGGCCUCUUGUUUGGUCACCUUCUCUCUAAGGACGGAGCCAUGGUAGAUGAUGAUGACCUAGAUUCGUGCAUCGUAGUGCAUGUCCACGACGAGCUUCUUACAGCUUGUGGUGGCCACCACAUUUGCCCUGGCCUCGUAUCCAGCCUCGCAUCUGAAGAAAUCCUACAUACAAAGGCGAUAUAUCCAUACAUUAUUUCAAGUAUGUGCAACAAAUGCGACAUAUUUUACAAUAUAGUAAGACUUACUCAUAGCUUUUGCUUCACCCGCUCUGCCAUGUUGUUAAAUUCCCUAUCGUCCUAGUCUACUGCAUCAGGGGUGACGACGUAGUGGUCGAAGGUGUAGGCAGUAGGUUGGGCCCACCACUCCAGCGUACUCAACCAGUCCAGGGAAGUGUUCCCUACACAUAAGGCCAAGGAUGCCAUUGGGUUGUGGUCGUGACUCCCUGCAUUCUCCACAACCUUUCAAGACCUGUCCAAGUGAUAAAUAAAAAGUAUUAGUUUAUAUUAUGAAUUUGAACACAUAAUAUGAACAAACAGUGAGAACAUAAAAUUACAUGUCUCUCCCCAUCCUUCUGAAUCAGCGACCGCCUAUCUCGAAGUAUGGGACGCUGAGGGAGACUCGUGGGACCUCGCUGGUAGACGUUCCUCGAAUCUGAAGCACCAGAACCUGAGGCGUCUUGCUGAGCGUCGUCGUCGUCCUACUGUGUCGCAUCGAUAACGACCUGCUGCUGGACGUCGUCAUCCUGUUGUGCCUUCUUCGCCUUCCUACGGGUGCUCCUCCUCCCCCUCCUUGUCCUCAUCCCACCGCCCACCAUAUUUGUCCAACAACCUGUAAUUAAGGGUAAGCAAAUAAGCACAUAUAAAAAAGUUUAUUUACAAAUAGGCGUGAAAUAAAAAAAAUAGCAUUACAUCGUUUAAAAAAAUCUUCAUAUGUGUCGGGGUUAGCCAGAUCAUAAGUGUCAUCAUCACAAUCAACCAUUUCAUAGUCAACACCAUCUGAAGGCGCAAGUUCUUCAUUAAUGUCAUUGCCUUCAAGUAAUUCUAAGUCAUUCUCAUUUUGCACCUCAUCAACAACCAUUUCAAUAUCUACUUCCAUUCCGAUAGCUUCGGUUAAGUCUAUCUCAAAUCACCCUUCUAGCCCAUAUUCUUGGAAGAACUCUCCAUCAUAUGUAUCCGGGUCUAAGUUAUAAUCUUCAUCAUUUGGAACAGGUAAUUUACCGUGCAGUGAUACCUUAUACACAACAUCCCAACCCAUCCAUGCCUCAUAUAGGAGAUGAAGAAUCAAAUGCUGCAUUGGAUUGAAGAAGUCGAGUGGAAAUAUCUUCUCAAGCUUACACAAAAACACGGGUGUCAAUCUUUCCAAGUCUGCAAUCACGGACCAAGAUAACUCUUUCACACAAAGCUGGCAGAAUAAAUAGCUGAACUUUGUAAGCGCUAGCCAUACAUGCUCAGGGACAUAGCCUCGAACCAUCGUCGGAAGAAUCUGUUCAAUCCAUAAGUGGAAGUCAUGACUCUUCAUCCCUAAGACUCACAGAGUAGAUAAGUUCACCCCCCUACUUAGGUUAGCUGCAUACCCAUCAGGAAACAUCAACAUCUUGAUCCACUAAAGUACUUCCUUCCUCUGGGCCCUACUUAGGACGAAAUCGGCCUUAGACCUUCUCCAUGUCUUUCCACCACUAGGCGGCUUCAUUUCUUGGUUUGGUCUAUCACAUAACGCUGUCAGAUCCACUCUUGUCUUUACAUUAUCCUUUGACUUAUCAGGAAUGUCCAUAAUUGUUGCCCAAAGUGCCUCGGCGACAUUCUUUUCAGUGUACAUCAAGUCAAUGUUGUGUGGAAGGAGUGGGUCAUCAUAAUAGGGGAGCCGAGUCAAGCCCGACUUAUGUGUCCACAUAUGCUGCUCACCAUAUCCCACAAAUACACCUUCUGGAUUGGCCACGAGCCCAUCUAUUUGUUGACGAAUUUCGGCACCAGUCAUCAUUGCAGGUGGUUGGUCUGUCACUACAACACCUUUCGUAAAGUUAUUGAUGUCUAGGCGGAAUGGAUGGUUAGGAGGGAGAAAUUGUUGAUGUUUAUCGAACAACGAAUAUUUGCCACCCUUUUUCAACCAAAUGAACUUAAGAGCUUCCUUACAAACUAGGCAUGGGAACUUACUGUGAACACAAUAGACACAGAAUAGCCCAUACGCCGGUAAGUCAUGCAUGGCGUACUAGUACCAAACAUGCAUUUUGAAGUUUUUCUUCGUAGCUCGGUUAUACGUCCAUACCCCUUCCUCCCAAGCAUGUACGAUUCAUCAAUCAAAGGCUCCAUGUACACGCCCAUUUUAUUCCCCGGGUGUCCGAGAAUUAUCAACGACACAAAUAUGUUCUGCCUUUAAAAGCAUACACCGGGGGGAGAUUGAUUGGGAUAACAAACACGGGCCAACAUGUGUAUGGGGCAGCGCUCAUUCCAUAGGGAUUGAACCCAUCUGUGGCCAGCGCAACACGUACAUUAUGAGCCUCUUCAGCUUUCUCGCGGUAAAUGGCAUCAAAGUGUUUCCAUGCUUCACCAUCGGAUGUGUGCACCAUCUUAUCAUGAUUGUAUCGUUUGCCAUUUUUGUGCCAUGUCAUCUGUUUCGCGGAUUCCUCAGUCAUGUAUAGACGCUGGAUCCUCGGUGUGAACGGAAGGUGGUGUAGGAUUGUCACGGGGAUGUCGAGCUGCCUAUCAUGUCCAUCACCAAAGUCUACCUCCAUGAACCUAGACGAUUUACACUUCGGACAGUACUUUGCUUCCGUGUAUUCUUUCCUAAAUAGCACGCAGUCCUUCGGACAAGCAUGUAUCUGCUCAUAUGUCAUCUUGAGUGCACGGAGGAGUUUCUGUGUGUUGGGGACCUUCGGCAUCCGAAGGUCCUCAAAAACGGGAUUUAACAGUAUUUCUGGAAGUAUAAUGUGUGAGCAGGUACCUUCAGACUCAAGUCGGUAUCACGGCAGGAGAAGACCCGGAUAAUACGAAGGUCUUGAUACAACGCCGAAGAUGUUAGCAGGAAAGCUUCGGCAUGGUUGCAGAAAAUGAAACCGACUUAAAGAUGAAAAGGCUAUUCAGACCUCGAUAGAUUACUAUAGAAUUAUUAUCAAAUGUAAAGGGCAUGAAUGUAAUUUUGUAUGGGCUGUGUCCCGUGCCUAUAAAUAGGUGAACAGAACCCCCGUACUGUUCACGCUGACUUGGCAUUCGCUUUUUGCGUCACGCUUGUACUGUCAUCUCCUUCCGAUUGAAGGUACACUUGUAAUUCAACGAUAUUUCUGUUUAUGUCUGAUAAUAAUAUAUAAUUGUUCAUAUUGUCUUUUAUGUUCUUUACAUUUCAUUCUUCGUCAUUGCUUAAUGAAUUUAUGAAGGUACGUCCUUCAUAACCUUCGUCCGUAAACCAUUAUAUCCUAAGGGAAAUAAUGUUUCGGAGGGCGAAGGACUUUAACGAUUAACAUUUUCUAUGUUGCCUUGUUCUUAACUCAUAGCACUUGAGAACAAGUCCCCAACAUUGGCGCCCACCUCCGGUGAACUCACUUCCACUCUUUGAAGUUUUUUGAACACCUUCGGCGAUCAUAAAUCUUCGUUAUGGCGCCGAAGAAAGCUUCAGCGACUGGGGCUGCAGCUCUGCAACCACUGGACCACAAUCAGGAGACAGUUUCCCUGCGGGAGGCCCGAAGCCAGAAAAGGAAGGCUGUCAGUCCGACACCACCAGAGGACGAGAUAGAUCAAGAAAUCAGAGAUAUGGAGAUGCUUCAUCAACAAGUACAGAGGAAGAAAGAAAAGAUGGCCAGGCUAGCUGAACUGCAGAGGCAGAUAGACGAAGCCUCUGAAGAAGUUCGUCAUCUUGCUCAGGAUGAGCAACACCGAAGGCCUCAGCACCAAGACCUUCAUCAGGAGGGUUUUCCCAACGAAGAUGACUGGUAUGACAAUUUCCAUCAUGGGAAUUUUGUUUUUGAUGAUGCUUCUCCUCUGUCCGCUGAGCUGCAGGCUACACCUUGGCCUCCGUCCUACAAGCCGCCUCAGCUUCCCGUAUUCGAUGGUCACUCAGACCCGAAGCAGUUUUUGAUGAGCUACGAAGCAACAGUAUCUUCGUAUGGUGGCAAUGCUUCAGUCAUGGCCAAAUCUUUCGUUAUGGCUGUCAGAAGUGUUGCUCAAACCUGGUAUUCCUCCCUUCGACCAGGAACGAUCACUUCAUGGCAGAAGCUGAAGGACUUGUUGUUAACUAGCUUUCAAGGAUUUCAGACGAAGCCGGUCACUGCUCAGGCUCUGUUCCAGUGCACCCAGGAUCACGAAGAAUACCUUCAGGCGUAUGUCCGAAGGUUCUUGCGUUUGAGGGCACAGGCACCAACGGUGCCCAAUGAAAUUGUCAUCGAGGCCAUGAUCAAGGGGCUUCGGCCAGGACCGUCAGCUCAGUACUUCGCCAGGAAGCCUCCUCAAACUUUGGAGAAGCUGCUCCAGAAGAUGGACGAGUACAUUCGGGCCGAUAAUGAUUUUCGCCAAAGAAGGGAGGAGGCUUUCAGGUUUUCUGAAAUGACCAGGGGCUUCGGAGGGAGGUUCUACCCGAGGCACGUGAGAUCAAUUCAUAACUCUACACAAAAAUGAUGAUAGAGGAAGCCAACAGCAAAGGCCACAAUGCUCCUCACAGGCUUCGGGGCAACAGCAAAGCUCCUUCCGACCACCAGCUCCAAGAGGCAGAGGCGCCAGGGGCUUUGGAGGAAGAUUUGGAGAUCAACCGAGAAGAAUCUUUUGCUUAUUCUGCGGUGAGAACAAAGGCCAUACUACCAGGAUGUGCCAUGUUACUAUUCAGAAGCAAAAGGAAAUAGCUGAAGCCGCAGCACAACAAGCUCAGCCGAAGCAGGUCAUGCAUACAACUUCGUAUCAUUCGCCCUACAUCCCAGAAUAUGUGGGCAACCAUCCUGCAGUUUCUGUUGCUUCGGCAAGUCAGCCUCAAGCUUCCUGGCAACAGCCUCCGCCUCCACCUCCGUUGCAACAAGGCCAGCAACCAGAAGGGAGCCAGUAUGCUCCACACCAGAGGGACUUCAGAGAGCAGUCCGAAGCUCGUACAGUCAAUAGCACUGUGCCAGAGUCAAAGCACAUCUAUUGACGAAUAUCCUACCUUAAUAGCAAUCUUUUUCAUUCAGUUUUAUUUUCUGUAAUAAAGGACAUUGUUUAGGUUUCAUGUAAUUAGUUUCGUUGAUUCCUACAAGAAAAAUAUGUUUUCCUCACAGGCUUAAAUUGAUUGAAGUUCAAAGACUUGUGAUAAAAAAAAGGACCUUCGAACUAUCGAAAAUUCUUCGAAGCAACAAAAAGUCGUUCUAAGGAACGCAGAGUAAGUUUGCCGAAGUCACAAAAAGUCGUUCCAAAGGGAGCGCAGUGUAAGUUUUCUGCUCCAAAGUCGUUCCAAAGGGAAUGCAGAGCAUACAGCGAAAAGUCAACGCUGAUACCGCCUAAGUAAAAGGCGAAGCGCGAAAAGUCAACGCGAAUACCGCUGAAAGUAAAAGGCGAAGAAGCUCCUAAGGGAGGCUUACAGCGAAAAAUAAACGCUGAUUCCGCUGAAGUAAAAGGCGAAGAAGCUCCUAAGGGAGGCUUAUAAAAGAUGUGUUUUAUUGCAGGGAUGCGUAUGUAUCUUCGGAAUAAACGUCAUCUCACAUAACAUAACAUCAUCGCAUCAUUUCGCAUAGCAUAAGCAUCAUACAUCAUUUUGCACAUGGCACAAGAGGUGGACACAUUAUUAAUCUACAGAAGAACGCUUUGAAAAAAGGGAGAAAUCAAAGUCACAAAAAGAUACAUCAUUGAUCUUCGGAAGUGUAUCUUCGGAAGUGUAGCUUCGGAAAAUAUCUUCACGAAGCCUGGAUAUUAAUCAUCAGAACAUUGGAUAUUGUUGUGACAAAGAAAAAUUCUUCUUCACGAAGCAUGAAAAGAAGGGAAGGUGUUUUUUCGUCAAAGACUCAAAAGUGGUACGUGUAAAGUUUCAUGCAUCGUAAAGAAUUGACUAACAAAAAUAGGUAUAUUACAUUUGGGGUUACAAAAUGUUACAGUAUAUUACAUUUCAGAAAGUUUUCACAAAAAUACUUAAUCUUCUCUCAAAACGACUUCUGCAGCCUCGUUCAGGAGCCGAUUGACGACUUCGUCCAUAAUAUCUUCAGCCAUCUUUUUAAUUUCGUCGUCUCCUUUCGGCUGAGGGCCCGAAGACGCUUUAGCACGAUCUGAAGUAAGACAGCAUGCGGCUACAUUGCUAUUACAAAUCGCAAACAAAUCUUAAAGCCUAAGAUUACAACACGAUAAAAACUAUUAGUUAAUACCUAAUUGACCUUCGGCCUCUGCGCUCUUUUCAGCAGCCUCAGCCACUUCUCUAGCAUCGUGAAUGCCCUUUUCACUUCUUCGAAUAAUUUCUCCGGCCAUUUCUCAGCCACCAUUAUCCCAGAUAUCGGUAAAACAUUUUCCACCAAUUAUACUAGCUUCGGCCGAAGGAUCUCUUGCAUCUUCAAAGGGCAAAGCAGCUUCGGAUUGUGCUAAAAUUUUUACAUGUUCGCAGCCCUUCUUCUCUAAGAUGGUGGCAAUCCCUCUGGCACCAGAGAAGGCACAUAUAUCUCCUCGGCUAUUUAAAAUUUCUUCGAAGGCUUCAGCUUCGUGGUCGAUCCAUUCGAUGACACCUUCGGGAUUGCUUCUCGAAAAGUUUUCCUCACUUGAGAAUGCGCCGACCUUGGCGAAGCUAGCCUUUAGCUUCUUAACACAAUCUAUAGAUUUAUUAUAGCAUCUCUUUUUGGACGAACGAAGCUCUUCAACAGUCACUUCUAGGUGAUCUGCCCAUUGAUCGCUGAGUUCACGCUUUGUUUCUUCAAGUAUGCGUUCUUCCUUGGCUCUGGCCAGUUGUUUCCGAAGAUCUUCAAUUUCGCGCUUCUGAGCUUCAGCUUGACCUUUAAAAGCAGCUUCGUCUUCCUUUAUUUUAUUUAUCAAUGAGUAUAAUAUUUUAUCUUUUUCGAGACCUUCGUUCCUCAGUUCAAUUACUUCGGAACGAAGGUUGCUCAGGGCUAUAGUACACCCUUCGUCUUCAGCAUCUUUCUGUGCCCUGAGGGCAUUGCUAAGUAUCAGGCCCUGCAAAGAGAAAUAUGUGUGCGUCAAUAGGUUUAAACAAACGAAAAAUACAAGGAUUUCAUUUCUCGCACCUUUAAGCUAUUGUAAGCCAGGCUGUCGGCCAGAUCGUUCUUCGACAGCACCGAGAGCCCGUCUUCUAAAGUUGGGAAUCCGAAGCUCUUGCUCAUCUCCCGACAGACAGAAAUUUCCUUGCUAUCGGGGAGACAAUACAAGAAGUCUUCUUCUCCACUGCCAUUGAAUAUUAACGCCCCCUUUGGAUAUUUCAGUUUUUGGGCGUAGUGCUGGGCCUCUUGCUCUUCUUUUUCUGAUAGUUUUUUCCCCGAAGCAUGGCGAACAAUAUAAUCACGAACUUUGGGGGAUGCUUCGGGGGCAAUGGCACCGGUUUCUUCAACAAAAGUUGGCUUUGUUAUUUUUUCUGCCUCACUUUCCAAGGAUUUUAUCUUUGCAGGCUCUGAGGGCCCAGCUUCGGCUUUAGUCUCUUGCCCUGAAGCUUUAGAUCCAGAAAUUUCAGUUGUUUCAGGAAUGACAGCAGCCCUCUUCGGAGGUGUGCUUGAAGAUUUGAUCGUUUCCAGUACAUCUAGCACAUUAGCCAUUCUCUUUCUUUUCGGAGUCACUGCUGGCACUUUCACUAUCUCAAUGUUUGCUGCAGGACUCAAAACUUCUGAUGUUUUGGAUCCCUCAGUUGAUUCUUUUACCUUUUCCAUUUUUUCUGUGGACGGCGCUUCGGCUUUCUCUUUCGUUUCUGAUAACAAAAUUUUUGAUUGUUCCAAUUCUAUCUUUGUUGGCACUUCGGCCGUUUCUGCGACUUCUGGCAGCAAGGUUGGCUCGGUUGGUUUUUCAGCUUCGGUGGCCGAAGAAGUUUCUCCGGUAAACUCAGGCACCGAAGCUGGUUCAAUAUAGCGCGGCCGAUGCGUAAGGACCUUUAUCUUCUUUCUUUUCGGUUCUGGCUCGCUAGGAGCAGUUGCAGCUUCUUCUUUUGCAGAGGUUGUGUUUUUUCUCUUCUGCCUUCGAAUGGGAUAGCAAUAGUCAGGGUAGACAAACCCGAUUGCAUCAAAUACCCGAUUCAGCCUCUUCUUUUUUCGGCCUCCGAAGGCUGCUGACAUUGCAGUAUCUUCGGCCUUCGAAUAGGUCCCAAGCAGCUCAUCACUUAAAUUUUCAAUGCUUUUUAACCAGUCAUCAUCUGGUUCAACGAAUUUAUCUCCAAACUUAAAAGUGUACUUCAACCUGAUAAGUCCACCUUCGUCGGCCUCUUUUAUGGUUUCUUGUGGCAUUUCCCAUUUCUCCGCAAGUGGCCAUACCCUGAAGGCGAUAUGCUCUUGUACUAAGUCCCUCGUUCCAAUAAAAGAACAGAUAACACCGAAGGCCCUCUGGCAUUCUUCGGCAGCCUCACUCAUUUCAACCUUCGGCCUCCGAAGGCCGAAGCUUUGCCAAAUAGGGCGCAUAAUUAUACCUUUGAUAUCUUCUCGCGCUGUCAGAUCAUUCUUCACAUAAAACCAUUCUGUCAUCCAGUCGCCGGGCCAUCUCUUCCGAAAGGUCGGCACGGGACAGCUUGACCCGGACCGAGAAACGAAAUUGUAGCAGCCAAAAUUAUUGUGAUACUGUUCCUUACCCCAAGGUUUUGUUUCGUAUGAUAAUUCGUGUAUAUUGCAGAAACUUUUUGCAUCAGGCUUCAGACCUUGGCUUCUCACGGCCCACACGAAGAUAUUUAGCCUUAUAAUUGCCUCAGGGGUAAGUUGAUGGAGAUAGACUUCGAAUAUUUUCAGUACCUCCACAACGAAGCUGCUCAAGGGAAAUCGCAGUCCAGCUUUCAAAAAGCUUCGGUACACUACGACUUCAUUCUCUUCAGGGUGUGGGCAAGUUUUUUCCCCUUCGUCGGCCCUCACAAUGGACAAAUCCCGGAAAUACCUUCCUCUCAUGUUGACAAGAUGAUUCUCUUUGAUAGUUGAUUUACCAUAAACUGAAUGGCUUGGUCGCCAGGGACGAUCUUCGGAGUCCUCACCACCACUGUCCACAUCAUAGCUGUCACUGUCACCAGUAUCUUCAGACAAACCUUCCAGAAUCUCCUUGGUAAUUUUUUCUGUAUUGGUCUUUGACAUCGCUAUAAGAAACCCCAAGUUUUUCUCUUCGUCAAGGCUCAGCUUCAUCUCAGCAACAGUCUUCUUAUCUUCAGACAUCUUCGGAGACGCUAAAAAACUAUUUUCAAAGCCGAAGCUUCAAAACUAAAAGCUUAGCAAAUCGCAGUGCACAAGAGCUAAAAAUUGAGUGAGCGGGAGUAGUUGGCCAGAAAGCGUGUCAAAUGAGUUUGCGGUAUGGCCGUAUUUAUACGCCAAGAGCGUUGAAAAUUCAAAGACCCCGCUUGUCAGUGAAUGUUGCUAUUCUAGCAAAGGGAAGGUGUUUUUUCGGACCUUCGGCGUAAAGCCUUCGUCCAUGUCGCAAUCUAAAUUCGUUAUUUUAAAACAAAUUAAUAUUGCGAGGGGCUACUGUUGGGGACCUUCGGCAUCCGAAGGUCCUCAAAAACGGGAUUUAACAGUAUUUCUGGAAGUAUAAUGUGUGAGCAGGUACCUUCGGACUCAAGUCGGUAUCACGGCAGGAGAAGACCCGGAUAAUACGAAGGUCUUGAUACAACGCCGAAGAUGUUAGCAGGAAAGCUUCGGCAUGGUUGCAGAAAAUAAAACCGACUUAAAGAUGAAAAGGCUAUUCAGACCUCGAUAGAUUAUAUAGAAUUAUUAUCAAAUGUAAAGGGCAUGAAUGUAAUUUUGUAUGGGCUGUGUCCCGUGCCUAUAAAUAGGUGAACAGAACCCCCGUACUGUUCACGCUGACUUGGCAUUCGCUUUUUGCGUCACGCUUGUACUGUCAUCUCCUUCCGAUUGAAGGUACACUUGUAAUUCAACGAUAUUUCUAUUUAUGUCUGAUAAUAAUAUAUAAUUGUUCAUAUUGUCUUUUAUAUUCUUUACAUUUCAUUCUUCGUCAUUGCUUAAUGAAUUUAUGAAGGUACGUCCUUCAUAACCUUCGUCCGUAAACCAUUAUAUCCUAAGGGAAAUAAUGUUUCGGAGGGCGAAGGACUUUAACGAUUAACAUUUUCUAUGUUGCCUUGUUCUUAACUCAUAGCACUUGAGAACAAGUCCCCAACACUGUGCCUCAUACAUGCUCUUUGGUAGAACGUGAUCCUCCGGAAGCAGGCUACCAAUAACUGUCAACAAGCAAUCGAAUGCGUCUUGACUCAUGUUAUACUGCGACUUGAACGCUAUUACAUGCCCAAUGGCAUCCAGUUGAGAAACCUUUGUCUGGCUGUGAAGGGGCUUCUGUGCCACGUCAAACAUGUCGUAGAACGCCUUUGCAAUCGGCUCUAGCUCGUCCUCCAUACAUCCUCCGACGAACUAUGCCUCAUGAUAGUCGUUCAACAUAUCUGCUACCCCCGCAUCAGCAUCAUAAUCCUCGACGUGUUGUCUCUGAAAGGGAAAUAAGCUUACACCUUUUCCUAAAUGAUUUUGGUGGUUGAAUUGCCCAACACAAAUAAUUGGACUAACUAGUUUGCUCUAGGUUAUAAGUUCUAUAGGUGCCAAAGGUUCAACACAUACCAAUAAAAAGUCCAAGAAAGGGUUCAAAUAAAAAGAGCAAAAGACAACCGAAGGCUGCCCUGGUCUGGCGCACUGGACUGUCCGAUGUGCCACCGGACAGUGUCCGGUGCACCAGAGAGAUUCACUCCAAACUUGCCACCUUCGGGAAUUUGGGAAGCCACUCCGCUAUAAUUCACCGGACUGUCCGGUGUGCCAAGCGGAGCAACGGUCGCCAACGCAAUGGUCGAGUUCAACGGUCGGCUGACAACGCUACAGUGCGCGGACUACGCGCGUAGAAGUCAGAGAAGGCGCAGAUGGCGCACCGGACAGUGAAGAGGACCUGUCUGGUGCACCAUCGGACUGUCCGGUGGCCCACAUGUCAGAAACUCCAACGGUCGAACCCUAACGGUUGGGUGACGUGGCUGGCGCACCGGACAGUGUCCGGUGGCGCACCGGACUGUCCGGUGCGCCCAUCGACAGCAGAGUUCCCCAACGACCACUUUGGUGGUUGGGGCUAUAAAUACCCCCCAACCACCACACUUCGAUGCAUCCAAGUUUUCAGCCAUCAAACCUCAUACAAGAGCUCUAGACUUCAUUCCAAGACACAAACAAAGAGAUCAAAUCCUCUCCCAAGUCUGGAAUCACUCCAAACAAAUUAGUGACUAGAGAGAGAGAGACUUUUGUGUUCUUUUAAGCUCUUGUGCUUGGAUCGCUUUUCUUCUUCCUCCUUUCUUGUUCUCAACUCAAUUGUAAUCAAAGCAAGAGACACCAAGUUGUGGUGGUCCUUGUAGUGGACUAAGUGUCCCGUUUGAUUGAAGAGAAAAGCUCACUCGGUCUAGGUGACCGUUUGAGAGAGGGAAAGGGUUGAAAGAGACCCGAUCUUUGUGACCACCUCAACGGGGAGUAGGUUUGCAAGAACCGAACCUCGGUAAAACAAAUCACCGUGUUCAUCUGUUUUAUUUCUUUGUUGAUUUGUUUUCCCUUUCUUUCGGACUUGAUUAUAUUUCUAACGCUAACCCUUGCUUGUAGUUGUGCUUAAACUUUAUAAAUUUCAGAUUUGCCUAUUCACCCCCCUCUAGGCGACUUUCAAUUGGUAUCAGAGCCCGGUACUUCAUUAGAGCCUAACCACUCGAUGUCAUGUCGGGAGCUCACGCCAAGAAGGAGAUGGUGACCGGCGAGAAGCCCGCCACAAGCCACGGGAAGGCUCCAUCGGGAGAGUCCGGCAACAAAAGGGAGGAAUCACCUCCCCACGUCAAGUCGCACCGGAGUGGUGACCAGAAGAAGAAAAUGAAGAAAGUGUUCUACUGUGAGACCGAUUCUUCGUCGCCAUCCACCUCCACGUCCGACGCGCCGUCCGUCACUUCUAAGCGCCAUGAGCGCAAGAAGUUUAGUAAGAUCUCCUUACGCUAUCCUCGUAUUUCCAAAUGCACUCCUUUACUUUCCGUCCCACUAGGCAAACCACCGGUUUUUGACGGUGAACAUUAUUGUAUGUGGAGUGAUAAAAUGAGGCACCAUCUAACCUCACUCCACGCUAGUAUUUGGGACAUUGUUGAGUUUGGUGCGCAGGAACCAUCCGUGGGGGAUGAAGGCUAUGAUUCGGAUGAGGUAGCCCAAAUCCAGCACUUCAACUCCCAAGCCACCACUAUACUCCUCGCCUCUCUAAGUCGAGAGGAGUAUAAUAAGGUGCAAGGGUUGAAGAGCGCCAAAGAGAUUUGGGACGUACUAAAGACCACACACGAAGGAGACGAGGUGACCAAGAUCACCAAGAGCGAAACGAUCGAGGGGGAGCUCGGUCGCUUCAUGCUUCAUCAAGGGGAGGAGCCACAAGCAAUGUACAACCGGCUCUAGACCUUGGUGAACCAAGUGCGCAACCUCAGGAGCACCAAAUGGGAUGACCAUGAAAUGGUCAAGGUUAUUCUAAGAUCACUUAUAUUUCUUAAUCCUACACAAGUUCAAUUAAUUCGUGGUGAUCCUAGAUACAAGAUAAUGUCUCCCGAGGAGGUUAUAGGAAAAUUUGUGAGCUUUGAAUUGAUGAUCAAAGGCUCCAAGAAAAUCAUCGAGCAAGGCGCCUCCUCCACACCCGAAAUGCAACUCGUCGCAUUCAAGGCAACAGAGGAGAAGAAAGAAGAGUCUACUUCAAGUAGACUUCCCAUCGACGCCUCCAAGCUCGACAACGAGGAAAUGGCGCUCAUCAUCAGGAGCUUUCGCCAAAUCCUCAAGCAAAGGAGGGGGAAGGACUACAAGCCCCGCUCCAAGAAAGUUUGCUACAAGUGUGGUAAGCCCGGACAUUUCAUUGCUAAAUGUCCAUUAUCAAGUGAUAGUGACAGGGGCGAUGACAAGAAGGGGAGAAGGAAGGAGAAGAAGAAAUAUUACAAGAAGAAGGGCGGCGAUGCCCAUGUAUGCCACGAGUGGGACUCCGAUGAGAGCUCCACCGACUCCUCCUCCGACGAGAACGCCGCAAACAUCGCCAUCAACAAGGGUCUUCUCCUUCCCAACGUCGAUCACAAGUGCCUCAUGGCAAAGGACGACAAAAAGAAGAAGGUAAAAUCUAGAGCUUCCACUAAAUAUGCAACAUCUAGUGAUGAGGCUAGCUCUAGUGAUGAUGAGGAUGAUUUGAUCACCCUUUUUGCCAACUUAAACAUUCAACAAAAAGACAAAUUGAAUGAAUCGAUUAGUGUUAUUCAUGAGAAGGAUGAACUCUUGGAUAGCCAAGAGGACUUCCUUAUUAAAGAAAAUAAGAAGCAUGUUAAAGUUAAAAAUGCUUAUGCUCAGGAGAUAGAAAAAUGUGAAAAAUUAACUAGUGAUCUAAGCACUUGCCAUGACACUAUUUUCAACCUUAGAUUUGAAAAUGACAAAUUGAUUGCUAAGGUUGAGAAAUUAAAUGUUAGUGAUGAUUCUCUUGUCAACCUUAGAAAUGAUAAUGCUAAUUUGAUUGCUAAGGUUGACAAAUUGAAUGCAUCUCUCUCUAGCCUUAAAAUUGAGAAUGAAAAAUUAAUUGCUAAGGCUAAAGAUUUAAAUGUUUGCAAUGUUUCUAUUUCCAAUCUUAGAGAUGAGAACACUAUUUUACAUGCUAAGAUUGUUGAAUUAAAUACUUGCAAACCCUCAACAUCUACCGUUGAACAUGUUACUAUUUGCACUAGAUGUAGAGAUGUUAAUAUUGAUGCUAUUCAUGAUCACAUUGCUAUGAUUAAACAACAAAAUGAUCAUAUAGCAAAAUUAGAUGCUAAAAUUGCCGAGCAUGAAUUAGAGAAUGAAAAAUUUAAAUUUGCUCGUAAUAUGCUUUAUGGUGGGAGACGCCCUGGCAUUAAGGAUGGCAUUGGCUUCCAACAGGGAGGCGAUGUCAAACUCAAUGCCCCUAAGAAAUUGUCCAACUUUGUUAAGGGCAAGGCUCCCAUGGUUUAGGAUAACGAGGGUUACAUUUUAUACCCUGACGGUUAUCCCGAACAUAAAAUUAGGAGAAUUCACUCUAGGAAGUCUCACUCUGGCUCUCAUCAUGCUUUUAUGAAUAAGAGUGAGGCAUCUAGUUCUAGGAAAUCCACCCAUGCUAAAUUGCCUAAGAAGAAAACUCCUAUAGCAUCAAACGAACCUAAUUUUUCAUUUAAGACUUUUGAUGCUUCUUAUGUGCUCACUAACAAAUCAGGCAAAAUAGUUGCCAAAUAUGUUGGGGCUAAACACAAGGGAUCAAAGACUUGUGUUUGGGUACCCAAGGUGCUUGUUUCUAAUGUGAAAGGACCCAAGACCAUUUGGGUACCUAAGAACAAGGCCUAAACUUGUUUUGUAGGUUUAUGCAUGCGGGGGCUCAAGUUUGAUCAUCGAUAGCGGGUGCACAAACCACAUGACUGGGGAGAAAAUAAUGUUCUCCUCCUAUGAGAAAAAUCAUGAUCCCCAAAGAGCUAUCACAUUCGGGGAUGGAAAUCAAGGUUUGGUCAAAGGACUUGGUAAAAUUGCUAUAUCCCCUGACCAUUCUAUUUCCAAUGUUUUUCUUGUAGAUUCUUUAGAUUACAACUUGCUUUCUGUUUCUCAAUUAUGCAAAAUGGGUUACAACUGUCUUUUUACGGAUAUAGGUGUUACUGUCUUUAGAAGAAGUGAUGAUUCUGUAGCAUUUAAGGGAGUGUUAGAGGGUUAGCUAUACUUAGUUGAUUUUAAUAGAGCUGAACUCGACACUUGCUUAAUUGCUAAGACUAACAUGGGUUGGCUCUGGCAUCGCCGACUUGCCCACGUUUAAAUGAAGAAUCUCCACAAACUUCUAAAGGGAGAACACAUUUUGGGACUAACAAAUGUUCAUUUUGAGAAAGACAGGGUUUGUAGCGCAUGUCAAGCAGGGGAAGCAAGUUGGUGUUCAUCAUCCACACAAGAACAUAAUGACGACCGACAGACCGCUUGAGCUACUCCACAUGGACCUAUUCGGCCCGAUAGCUUAUAUAAGCAUCAACGGGAGUAAGUAUUGUCUUGUAAUUGUGGAUGAUUAUUCUCGCUUCACUUGGGUGUUAUUUUUGCAGGAAAAAUCUCAAACCCAAGAGACCUUAAAGGGAUUCUUGAGAUGGGCUCAAAAUGAGUUCGGCUUAAGGAUCAAAAAGAUAAGAAGCGACAACGGGACGGAGUUCAAGAACUCUCAAAUAGAAGGCUUCCUUGAGGAUGAGGGCAUCAAGCAUGAGUUCUCUUCUCCCUACACACCACAACAAAAUGGUGUAGUGGAGAGGAAGAAUAGAACUCUACUUGACAUGGCGAGGACCAUGCUUGAUGAGUACAAGACUUCGGACCGGUUUUGGGCGGAAGCAGUCAACACCGCUUGCUACGCCAUCAACCGUCUCUACCUUUGCCGAAUACUCAAGAAGACAUCGUAUGAACUACUCACCGGUAAAAAGCCCAAUGUUUCAUAUUUUAGAGUCUUUGGUAGCAAAUGCUUUAUUCUUGUUAAAAGAGGUAGAAAAUCUAAAUUUGCUCCUAAGGCUGUAGAAGGCUUUUUACUUGGUUAUGAUUCAAACACAAGGGCAUAUAGAGUCUUUAACAAGUCCUCUGGACUAGUUGAGGUUACUUGUGACAUUGUGUUUGAUGAGACUAACGGCUCUCAAGUAGAGCAAGUUGAUCUUGAUGAGCUAGAUGAUGAAGAGGCUCCAUGCGUCGCGCUAAGGAACAUGUCCAUUGGGGAUGUGUGUCCUAAGGAAUCCGAAGAGCCUCCACAAGCACAAGAUCAACCAUCUUCCUCCAUGCAAGCAUCUCCACCAACUCAAGAUGAGGAUCAAGCUCAAGAGGAUGAAAAUGAAGAUCAAGAAGAUGAGCCACCUCAAGAGGAGGGCAAUGAUCAAGGGGGAGAUGCCAAUGAUCAAGACAAGGAAGAUGACGACAGUCCAAGACCACCACACCCAAGAGUCCACCAAGCAAUACAAAGAGAUCACCCCGUGAACUCCAUCCUCGGCGAUAUUCAUAAGGGGGUAACCACUCGAUCUCGUGUUGCUCAUUUUUGUGAACAUUACACCUUUGUAUCUUCUAUUGAGCCAUAUAGGGUGGAAGACACAUUAAGGGAUUCAGAUUGGGUGUUGGCGAUGCAAGAGGAACUCAACAACUUCACGAGGAAUGAGGUAUGACAUUUAGUUCCACGCCCUAAUCAAAAUGUUGUAGGAACCAAGUGGGUCUUCCGCAACAAGCAAGAUGAGCAUGGUGUGGUGACAAGGAACAAAGCCCGACUUGUGGCCAAGGGAUAAUCACAAGUCGAAGGUUUGGAUUUCGGUGAAACCUAUGCACCCGUAGCUAGGCUUGAGUCAAUUUGUAUAUUACUUGCCUAUGCUACUUACCAUGGCUUCAAGCUUUAUCAAAUGGACGUGAAAAGUGCCUUCCUCAAUGGACCAAUCAAGGAAGAAGUCUAUGUUGAGCAACCUCCCGACUUUGAAGAUAGUGAGUACCCUAACCAUGUGUAUAAACUCUCUAAGGCGCUUUAUGGGCUCAAGCAAGCCCCAAGAUCAUGGUAUGAAUGCCUAAGAGAUUUUCUUAUCGCUAAUGGCUUCAAAGUCGGAAAAGCCGAUCCUACUCUCUUUACUAAAACAAUUGCAAAUGAUUUGUUUGUAUGCCAAAUUUAUGUUGAUGAUAUUAUAUUUGGGUCUACUAACAAAUCUACAUUUGAAGAGUUUAGUAGAUAAUGGUACAAAAAUUCGAGAUGUCUAUGAUGGGGGAGUUGAAGUAUUUCUUAGGAUUUCAAGUGAAGCAACUCCAAGAGGGCAUCUUCAUCAGUCAAACGAAGUACAUUCAAGACAUACUCACCAAGUUUGGGAUGAAGGAUGCCAAGCCUAUCAAGACACCCAUGGGAACCAAUGGGCAUCUUGACCUCGACACGAGAGGUAAAUCCAUAGAUCAAAAGGUAUACCGGUCGAUGAUAGGAUCUUUACUCUAUUUAUGUGCAUCUCGACCGGAUAUUAUGCUUUUCAUAUGCAUGUGUGCAAGAUUCCAAGCCGAUCCUAAGGAAGUUCACCUUAGGGUCGUGAAAUGAAUCUUGAGAUAUUUAGUUCAUACUCCUAAGUUUGGCCUUUGGUACCCCAGGGGAUCCACAUUUGAUUUAAUAGGAUAUUUAGAUGCUGAUUGGGCAGGGUGUAAAAUUGAUAGAAAGAGCACAUCAGGGACUUGUUAGUUCUUGGGAAGAUCCCUGGUGUCAUAGGCUUCAAAGAAGCAAAAUUUUGUAUCUCUUUCUACCACCGAAGCCGAGUACAUUACCGCAGGCCAUUGUUGCGCGCAAUUGCUUUGGAUGAGGCAAACCCUUAGGGACUAUGGUUACAAAUUAACCAAAGUUCCGCUCCUAUGUGAUAAUGAGAGUGCAAUCCACAUGGUGGAUAAUCCCGUUGAGCACAACCGCACUAAGCACAUAGCCAUUCGGUAUCACUUUUUGAGGGAUCACCAACAAAAGGGGGAUAUCGAGAUUGUUUAUAUUAACACCAAAGAACAAUUAGCCGAUAUCUUUACCAAUGUUGGGGACUUGUUCUCAAAUGCUAUGAGUUAAGAACAAGGCAACACAAGAAAUGUUAAACGUUAAUGCCCUUCGUCCUUCGAGACAUUAUUUCCCUUAGGAUAUAAUGAUCUUCAGACGAAGGUCAUGAAGGACAUACCUUCAUCAUUGCAAUAUACGAUAAUAAAAGGAGAAUCAUAUAGAAUGUAAGAGACAACAUGAAUAAGUAUGUAAUAUUAUCAGCACAUUUCUAUUUUAUUAUCAUGGACAAAUAGAAAUGAUAUCAAAUUACAAAUGUACCUUCAGCUUGAUGGAAGGUAAAAGUACAAGUGUGACGCACGAUCAAAUACAAGUCAGCGUGAACAGUACGGGAGCACUGUUCAUCUAUUUAUAGGCACGGGACACAGCCCAUGUAAAAUUACACCCAUGCCUUUUACAUUUGCUAAUGACUCUAUAGUGAUCCAUCGAGGUCUAAAUGACCUUUUCCCUUUUAAGUCGGUUCCCUUUUCCGCUGUUAUGCCAAAGCUCCCUUGCGCGUAGCUUCGGCGCUACGUCAACCUUCGUAUUCUUUGUGCUUCUCACACUGUGGUUCUGAUCCGAGUCCGAAGGUACCUGUUCAUGUAUCAUACUCCAGAAAUAAUGUUAAAUCAUGUUUUUGAAGACCUUCGGAAGACGAAGGCCCCCAACAGUAGCCCCUCGCAAUAUUAAUUUGUUAGAAUAACGAAUUCAAAUUGCGAUAUGGACGAAGGCCUUAAGCCAAAAUUCUGAAAAAACACCUUCCCUUUGCUAGAAUAGCAACAGUCGAUGACAGACGGGGCCCUCCAAUUUGGAACGCACUGGGCGUAUAAAUAGGAACUCACCCCGAGCACAUUUGGUACGCUAUCUGCCGCCUGCUUUGCUUGCUCAAUUUUUUAGCUCUUGCCUACCAACGCUUGCUUGGUUUUUUAGACUUUCUAAGCUUCGGCUUUAAGGACACAUUUUCGCCAUUUCCGAAGAGAAGAUGUCUCAAGACAAAAAAGUUGUUGCUGAGACGAAGCUGAGCGAAGAGGAGAAGCUCCAUGAGGAGAAGACUGCUGGAUUUGUUGAAUCAAUAGCAAAGAAAAAUACAGAAAAGAUUACUAAGGAGAUUCUAGAAGGCUUAUCUGAAGAUACUGAUGACAGCGACAGUUAUGAUGCGGAAAGCGGAGGCGAAGACUCCGAAGAUCGGCCCUGGCGACCAAGCAUGCAGUCUUCGGGAAAUCAACCAUCAAACAGAGUCAUCUUGAUAAUAUGAGAGGAAGGUAUUUUCGAUAUUAUUUUUUUGUUCUUAUAUUAACCCAUUCAUUCUUUUCAUAUAGGGUUUAAUACUUAGCAACGCCUUAAGGGCGCAAAAGAAUGUCGAAGACGAGAGUUGCACUAUUGCUCUCAACAACCUUCAAACAGAGGUUAUCAAGCUGAGGAACGAAGCUUUGGAAAAAGAAAAAAUUCUACUUACAUUGGUGGACAAAGUAAAGGGGGAUGAAGCUAACUUCAAGGCUCAAUCUGAAAUCCAAAGGAAUGAGAUUGAAAACCUUCAAAAACAACUGGCCGAAGCCAAAUUGAAAUGCGCUAUUGCCGAAGCUGACCGAGUUGCCAGUGAGUACUAGAAAAAUUAUCUUGAAAAACAGUUGCAGAGCUUCGCUCAUCAAAAGAAAGAUGUUUUGAAAAAUCUGUGGAAUGCGUGAAAAAGAUAAAAACUAGCUUUGCCAACGUUGGCGCAUAUUCAAGCGAAGAUAACUUCAUACGGGGCGACCCCGAAGGCGUAAUCGAGUGGAUCAGCGGUGAGGCCGAAGCCUUUGAAGAGAUUUUGAGUGACCGCGGGGACGUCUGUGCCUUCUCUGGUGCGAGAGGAAUUGCAGCUAUUUUGGAGAAAGCAGGGUGCGAACAUGUUAAAACUUUGGCCCAGGCCGAAGCUGCCUUCUCCACCGAUGAUAUAAAGGACCCCUCGGCCGAAGCAAACUCAAUAGGUGGAAAAAAUUUCACUGAUAUCUGGGAAAACGGUGGCCGAGGGAUGGCCCAUGAAAUUAUAAAGAAAAACGAAAAAGAUAUUCACGACACUCGAGAGUCAAUAAAAGAAGCUGAAAAGGCUGCGGAGCUUGAGAGACGAAUAUGUAUUACUUAAUGGUUUUUAACUUUGUUGUUUAUUUUUGUGACUUUGAACUGAUUUAUGUUUUCUACCUUAGCUGAACUAUCUCCUCCCCCAGCGCCCUUAGAGUCAUUGGCCGACCCAGAGGCAAAGGAAUCAACAGAACUUAUUAACAUGGCCGAAACUAUUGUAGACGAAGUCGUUACCCAACUGCUGACCGAAUUUGCACAUAAAGUUUUGAAGGAAGAAGAGUAGCUAUUGUAAAAACAUUGCUAGAAUAUUAAUGUAACAUUUGCCGGACUAUGCUUGUAAUAUUUGGUGCUCCUAGGUUUUGAAUGUAAUAUAUGAAUGGUUUUGUAAUUCAUUUCUUUGCGAUGCAUGAAACUUUUAUGUACAUACCGUUUUUGAGCCUUCGGCGAAAAAACACCUUCCCUUCUUUUCAUGUUCGUAAAGAAGAGCUUUUAUGCUUCGUAAAAAAUCCUCCAAUCGUCGCAAAAACAUUAAUGCUUCGUCAACAACAGAUUUUUCCUCCACAUCAGAGCUGAUGAAGCUGUAUUUCUUCAAAACUUAUUUUGUGCCUUAGCACAAUUUCACUUUUUUCGAAGCAUUCUUCGAAGGUCAACAUUGUAUCCCCUUCUUGUGCCAUUGAUGCAAUAUGAUGUAUGAUGUUAUGUUAUGUGAAAUGAUGUGAUGAUGUUAUGUUAUGCAAAAUGAUGUUUAUGCCGAAGACACACACUCACACCCCCAUAGUGGAAUACACAAUCUCUUUGCCGCUUAUUUUUCGGCUUCACCGCUUAUUUUUCGGUGUAUCAGCGCUGACUUUUCACUGUAAGUUCUGCAUUCCCUUAGGAACGUCUUUUGAACUUCUUCACCUUCUAUUUCGGCGGUAUUCGCGUUGACUUUUCGCGCUUCGCCUUAUAUUUCGGCGGUAUUUGGCUCUGCAUUCCCUUUGGAAUGACUUUUGAGCAGAAAACUUACACUGCGCUCCCUUAGGAACGACUUUUUGUAGCUUCGGCAAACUUACGCUGCGUUCCUUAGAACGACUUUUUUGUGGCUUCGGUGAUACUUGUAAUGUGAUUUUUAGCCCCGCGUUCCCUUAGGAACGACUUUUGUGCUUCAGUGACUUUUUGAACUUCGUGAGUCUGUGGAGAAGAUAUAUUUCACUAUGGCAAGAACGAAGUUAUUACAAGAAAUCAAGAGAGCUAGGUUUUCAAUAAUUGUUCCUUAUUAAAAAGGAAGUGAUAAUGAAUGUAAAAACUGCUUCAGGGGUAGGAUAUCUCUCAAUAGAUAUGCUUCGAUUCUAGCACAGUACUGUUGGCUGUGCGAGCUUCGGACUCCUCCCUGAAAUCUCGUUGCUGAUGGGUCUGUUGGCUCCCUUCUGGCUGCUGGCCUCGUGAAUAUGCAGGUUGUAGUGGUGGCAGAGGUGGAGGCUGUGGCCAAGAUGCAUGUGGCUGGCUAGCCGAAGCAACAGAAGCUGCAGGAUGGUUACCCACAUACUCUGGUAUGUAGGGUGAGUGAUACGAAGCAGUGUGCAUGACCUGCUUCGGCUGGUUCUGCUGAGCUGCGGCUUCUGCUAAUUCCUUUUGUUUCUGAAUGGUGACAUGGCACAUCCUUGUAGUAUGGCCCUUGUCCUCACCACAGAAUAAGCAAUUUUCCUAGGUUGAUCCCCAAACCUUCCUCCGAAGCCCCUGGCACCUCUGCCUCUUGGAGUUGGCGGCCGAAAAUAGGUUUGUUGCUGCCCCGAAACUUGCGAGGAAUAUUGUGGCUUCUGUUGCUGACUUCCUCUGUCGUCAUUCUGGGUGGAGUGGAUUGAUCUGACAUGCCUUGGGUGGAUUCUUCCUCCGAAGCCCCUGGUCAUCUCAGAGAACCUGUAGGCUUCCUCCCUUCUUUGGCGAAAGUCAUUGUCAGCCCGGAUGUAUUCAUCCAUCUUUUGAAGCAGCUUCUCCAAAGUCUGUGGAGGCUUUCUAGCAAAAUACUGGGCAGUAGGUCCUGGAUGAAGCCCCUUGAUCAUGGCCUCAAUGACAAUUUCAUUGGGCACAGUAGGCACUUGUGCUCUCAGACGCAAGAACCUUCAGACGUAUGCCUGGAGAUACUCCUCAUGAUCUUGCGUGCAUUGAAACAGAGCCUGAGCUGUGACUGGCUUCGUCUGAAAGCCCUGGAAACUUGUCACCAGCAUGUCCUUGAGCUUCUGCCAUGAAGUGAUGGUCCCUGGCCGAAGAGAAGAAUACCACGUUUGAGCCACAUUCUUAACUGCCAUGACGAAGGACUUGGCCAUGACAGCUGCAUUGCCUCCGUAUGAAGAUAUAGUUGCUUCAUAACUCAUCAAAAACUGCUUCGGGUCUGAAUGCCCAUCAUACAUUGGAAGCUGAGGUGGCUUGUAUGAUGGGGGCCACGGGAUAGCCUGCAGUUCUGCUGCCAAGGGAGAAGCAUCAUCAAAAGUAAAGGUAUCAUGAUUAAAAUCAUCAUACCAUCCAUCGUCGUUGAACAAGCCCUCUUGAUGAAGCUCCCUGUGUUGGGGCCUUCGAUCUUGCUCGUCUUGAGCAAGGUGGCGUACUUCUUCAGUGGCUUCGUCAAUCUGCCUUUGAAGGUCAGCUUGUCGGGCCAUCUUCUCCUUCUUCUUUUGCACUUGCUGAUGAAGCAUCUCCAUGUUUCUGAUUUCUUGGUCCAACUCGUCCACCUGGGGUGUUGGACUAGUGGCCUUCCUCUUCUGGCUUCGGGCCUCUCGAAGAGAAAGGGUCUCCUGAUUUGGGUCCAGUGGCUGCAGAGCGGCAGCCCCUAGCGCUGAAACUUUCUUCGGUGGCAUGACGAAGGUCAAUGCUUGCCGAAGGUGGUCGAAAAGAGUUCACCCCACGGUGGGCGCCAAUGUUGGGGACUUGUUCUCAAAUGCUAUGAGUUAGGAACAAGGCAACAUAAGAAAUGUUAAACGUUAAUGCCCUUCGUCCUUCGAGACAUUAUUUCCCUUAGGAUAUAAUGAUCUUCAGACGAAGGUCAUGAAGGACAUACCUUCAUCAUUGCAAUAUACGAUAAUAAAAGGAGAAUCAUAUAGAAUGUAAGAGACAACAUGAAUAAGUAUGUAAUAUUAUCAGCACAUUUCUAUUUUAUUAUCAUGGACAAAUAGAAAUGAUAUCAAAUUACAAAUGUACCUUCAGCUUGAUGGAAGGUAAAAGUACAAGUGUGACACACGAUCAAAUACAAGUCAGCGUGAACAGUACGGGAGCACUGUUCAUCUAUUUAUAGGCACGGGACACAGCCCAUGUAAAAUUACACCCAUGCCCUUUACAUUUGCUAAUGACUCUAUAGUGAUCCAUCGAGGUCUAAAUGGCCUUUUCCCUUUUAAGUCAGUUCCCUUUUCCGCUGUUAUGCCGAAGCUCCCUUGUGCGUAGCUUCAGCGCUACGUCAACCUUCGUAUUCUUUGUGCUUCUCACACUGUGGUUCUGAUCCGAGUCCGAAGGUACCUGUUCAUGUAUCAUACUCCAGAAACAUUGUUAAAUCAUGUUUUUGAGGACCUUCGGAAGACGAAGGCCCCCGACAACCAAGCCACUAGAUGAGAAAACUUUUACCAAUCUUAGGCAUGAGCUAAACAUUCUAGAUUCUAGGAAUUUUGAUUGAUAUUUUGCACACAUAGCUUAUUUCAAUACCUUUGAUCAUAUCUCUUUCAUGUGCUAUGACUAAUGUGGUUUUCAAGUAUAUUUCAUGCUAAGUCAUAGAUUGAAAGGAAAAUGGAGUCUUCGGCGAAGAAAAGGCUUCCACUCCAUCGAAUUAUUCAUCCUUCGCCGACACUCCACAUCGCUCUCCAAUUUGGUAUAAUCUUCACUCCUACAUUAUUUACCAAAGGGGGAGAAAGUUUGAAAAAGGGCUUAUAUUUUCACUCACAAGUAUCCGUUUUUGGCGAUUCAUGCCAAAGGGGGAGAAAGUAUUAGCCCAAAGCAAAAGGACCGCACCACCACCAAUUUCAAAAAUGAAGUCUUUUAAAUUUGUACUAAAAGAAGGUUUUUCAAUUGGUAUCUUAUUUUUGAUAGAAUUUUCAAAUUGGUAUAACCCAUUUCAAAAUUAAUAUCUAAAACUCUCUUGAACAAUAAGAGGAGAAUUUCAUUAAGGGGGAGUUUUGUUUAGUCAAAGGAAAAGCAUUUGAAACAGGGGGAGAAAAUUUCAAAUCUUAAAAAUGCUUCUCAAAAUCUUACUCAUUUACCUUUGACUACUUGCAAAAAGACUUUGAAAAGAAUUUCCAAAAGAGUUUGCAAAAACAAAACAAGUGCUGCAAGCGUGGUCCAAAAUGUUAAAAUAGAAGAAAGCAUCCAUGCAUAUCUUAUAAAAUGUAUAUUGGUUUAAUUCCAAGUAACCUUUGCACUUUCAUUAUGCAAACUAGUUCAAUUCUGCAAUUAUAUAUUUGCUUUGGUUUGUGUUGGCAUCAAUCAUCAAAAAGGGGGAGAUUGAAAGGGAAAUAGGCUUACACCUUUUCCUAAAUGGUUUUGGUGGUUGAAUUGCCCAACGCAAAUAAUUGGACUAACUAGUUUGCUCUAGAUUAUAAGUUCUACAUGUGCCAGAGGUUCAACACAAACCAAUAAAAAGUCCAAGAAAGGGUUCAAAUAAAAAGAGCAAAAGACAACCGAAUGCUGCCCUGGUCUGGCGCACCGGACAGUGUCCGGUGCACCAGGGAGAUUCACUCCAAACUUGCCACCUUUGGGAAUUUGGGAAGCCACUCCGCUAUAAUUCACCGGACUGUCCGGUGUAGCACCGGACUGUCCAGUGUGCCAAGCGGAGCAACGGUCGUUAGCGCAACGGUCGAGUUGAACGGUCGGCUCACAACGCUACAGUGCGCGUACUGCGCGCGCAGAAGUUAGAGCAGGUGCAGAUGGCGCAUCGGACAGUGAACAGGACCUGUCCGGUGCACCACCGGACUAUCCGGUGGCCCACAUGUCAGAAGCUCCAACGGUCGAACCCUAACGGUUGGGUGACGUGGCUGGCGCACCGGACAGUGGCCGGUGGCGCACCGGACUGUCCGGUGCGCCCAUCGACAGUAGAGUUCCCCAACGGCCACUUUGGUGGUUGGGGCUAUAAAUACCCCCCAACCACCACACUUCAAUGCAUCCAAGUUUUCAGCCAUCAAACCUCAUACAAGAGCUCUAUACUUCAUUCCAAGACACAAACAAAGAGAUCAAAUCCUCUCCCAAGUCCGGAAUCACUUCAAACAAAUUAGUGACUAGAGAGAGAGACUUUUGUGUUCUUUUGAGCUCUUGCGCUUGGAUCGCUUUUCUUCUUCCUCCUUUCUUGUUCUCAACUCAAUUGUAAUCAAAGCAAGAGACACCAAGUUGUGGUGGUCCUUGUAGUGGACUAAGUGUCCUGUUUGAUUGAAGAGAAAAGCUCACUCAGUCUAGGUGACCGUUUGAGAGAGGGAAAGGGUUGAAAGAGACCCGGUCUUUGUGACCACCUCAACGGGGAGUAGGUUUGCAAGAACCGAACCUCGGUAAAACAAAUCAUCGUGUUCAUUCGUUUUAUUUCUUUGUUGAUUUGUUUUCCCUCUCUUUCGGACUCGAUUAUAUUUUUAACGCUAACCCCGACUUGUUGUUGUGCUUAAACUUUAUAAAUUUCAGAUUUGCCUAUUCACCCCCCCUUUAGGUGACUUUUAGUCUCAACACCUCCUCUCUCGUACGAUGCGCUUUACCAUGGAAGAUCCACCGAGUAUAGUCUGGCGUAAAUCUGAUCUUCCAAAUAUGUUCUACCAUGGCCUUCUUUGAUUUUCUUUUCCGGUUGGCACAUUUGCUGCACGGGCAUGGGACUAGACUCGCUCCUUUAGCAGCUUUGCCAUAUGCCCGUUCCACAAAAGCAUCGGUCUUUCUAAUCCAUUCAGGGGUGACAUCAUUCCUACUUACACGGCAUGUGUACAUCCACUCACGGUCUUCCAUCCUCUAACAUAUGUAACCGAGUAUAGUUUAAUAUAAACAUGUAAUGCAUGUACGCUAUGUUCCUACCUUAUAAUAGGUGAGUAUAGUUCUUAAUCUCACUCGCGGUUGCGUAGACGAAGUUAGUUUCCAUGCUCUACUUCGAUCCAAGACAGAGUUCCGGCAGCACCUCCCCGUUGUUCUCCGGAUACACGCCCUAGCAGGUAGAAUGUACUGUCCGGAGAUCAACAUGGAGGUGAAACCGAAACUCUGUCUCGGACCGGAGUAGAGCAUGGAAACUAAUACCAGGGCGACGGUGGAGUAGGGAUAGCGGGGCUGUGGCGGGUCGGUGCAGUGGCGACGUGUCGCAGUGCAGGUUCUAGUGUGGCGGCAAGGAAUACCUCUGCAAAAAAAAAUUAACACAAGUUUAUCAACAAAAAAAUCGGCAGGACUUCCCCUGCACGAGGAGGUUGCAAAAAACCAGCAAAUAAAACUAACAGCACGAUGGCUGACAUCCACACAUAUACUAGCAAAAAAUAGACUUGCGUGUGUUAUUUACAAUUGUGUUAGUUACACACAAUCUAUUGAUGCCAUAUUUGUUGUGUACUAGCGAUUGGCAAGAAGAAUCAACUUUUAGGCACUAAAACAUCUAGUGGGUUCAAAUUAAAGAACUUCUUCUAUUAAUUACAGAACCACCCCAUCGGCCGACCAGGAUCCAAAUUAAAGAACUUCUUCUUCUAUUAAUUAUAGUAUAUUAUAAUUACCAAGUCUCUUCUUAUAUUUACAUGUUCAUUUGCUUGCUUCUUGCAUAACAUAACGGCGAUCGAUGAUGACCAUCGUUAGUUUUAGUCCUACGUGUAUUUGAUUCAAUCCCUCCAUGUUCAUAGUAUAAAUUCAACCAAACCUAAAUAAGUUUCAGUCAGCUUGAUCUUAAAAUUGCAUCAUACACACACAUACAUAGUCUUACUAGAAGUAAGCAAUUUCUUUUAAACUAAUUUCCAGCCAACAUUGAUGAAUGAACUAGAAUGUGGCUAUAACCGAGACCUGUGUGGGUGGUGCUGGAGAUGGGGACGUUGGGCCGAGGCUCACCGGCGUCGAGGCCUGUCCGAAGAUGGCCGACCGCCAGGCCGGGGACGGGGCUCGUUGGAGAUGGCCGGGUCGAGCGACGGUGGGGACGUCGGAGGCAGGGAGGAUGGCCGGCACGGUGUCCGGAGCCGGAGGGGAUGACCGGAGAGGAGGAUGGUCGGCGCUUGCUCCGAUGGCGUUGGCGGCGAGUGGCGUUGGCGGAGGGGACGACUGGUUAGGGCUAUGUACACAGACUUUGCCGAGUGCCAUAUCACGGGCACUCGGCAAAGAUUUUUUUUAAAUUUAAAAAUAAACUUUGCCGAGUGUCACAGAUCACUGACAGGCACUUGGCAAAGAUUGUUUUAAUUUUUUUAAAAAAACUUUACAGAGUGUCCCACGGCAGGCACUCGACAAAGAAUGCUUUACUGACUGCCUUAUUUUGACACUCGACAAAGAAUUCUUUGCCAAGUGCCCGAUAAAAAGCACUUGGCAAAGCACCGAGCACUCGGCAAAGAGCCGGAUUCCGGUGUGGUUGUUUCAUGGAAGUUGUAAGUAGACCAUCUUAACAAGGUCAACAAUAGAAGUACAACUCACAACAUUAGAUACUGCCAAAGUUAAUGUUGAGAGGCUUCGUGAACUCCUUAUGGAUUUACUAGUAGUUGAAAAACCAAUACUGGUUAUCUAUAUGAGCUAUAAUAAUUAAACAUUGGUAAUCAAAGUGAACAAUUCUUAGGUUAACAUGAAGACUACAAAGCAUGUCAAGAACGGUUGAAACUGUUAAAACACUAAGAAACUCUAGAUUAAUUGUGUUGGACUAUGUCCAUACUUCUAAGAAUUUGGUAUGCCAGUUUAUAGAAGAUUUGUCACAUAAUGUGAUAGAUGGUGCAUCGAGAAAGAUGGACUUGAGACCCACUUAAUGCCAUUCCAUAGUAGUAGCAUUUUCUAUGUGAUUGGAGAUCUCAUGAAGUAAAAUGGUGAAAUAAGCUAGAGAAUGACUGAUGGAGAGACUCCUUAAAUAAAAUCUAGGUAAUUUCAUAUGAACAUUUCUCCUUCGAUGUACGAUAGGCUAACUAAAAUCUUAAUAUGAUUUGAGUGACAUAUCUAAGCAGGGAUGUUAUCUUAUAGAACAUCCUAUAAGGAACACACCUAUAUGACUUUGACUACUAAUCACAGUCUAUGAUAUGUGGGAAAUAUUUUUUUACUCAUGAAAGGCCUCGAAGUUUGACUUAUAUGCUUCAAACCAAUGGAUAACUGAUUGAAUCUGUUUCAGACAGCAGCAUAGUUAACUUCAAAAUUCUAUAUCUCCCAAACUUCUCAACCAAAAAUUAUUAAAUUAUGCUGACAGUAAGAACUUUUAUCCCUCUACAAAAGUCUCCAUAGUUGGAAGAGCCAAUUCGGCCAUUUACUAGAUGAAACCUACCAGUUAACAGACCCGCUCAUUUUUGUCAGGCAAACAAGAACCCUUAUAUAUCAAAGAGUAGUGGAUUUGAAUUUGUCUAAUAUGAAGUUUAUGGGCUUGGAUCAUUUAAAGUAUUUUAUAAUUCUGAAAGACAAGAUUAAACUAACUAUGUAUGAUCCUUUAGCACCGUACAGAUGGUCGAUGGGACAGUUACAUGGUUUAUAUAGAUGGACCUAUCUAUAUUCCUUCAGUGGUUGAGAACAAGGUAAAGGUGUGUCACACUCACGCGUGCGCCGCCUCCGCCGAGACGAGGCAUGGCGUUGCAGGGUGAGGCAUGGCAUGGUGCAGCACGAUCGCAGUCAUGGUCGUGGCACAGUGUAGCACUGUUGUGGAUAGAUAGAUAAACUAUUGUUGUAGUUAGAGUGCAUGAGUUUUUGAAUGCAACACUAGAAUUUUCACAAUUUAACUUAAUUAAGAAGUUAUAUCUUGAUGACACAGAGUUACCUGACCAUUGAUCUCACAUGCCCUUUUAGCUCUCUCGUACUCUAGACUUACCCUGACUAUUUAGGUCUCCUGACUCGCCAAUAUAAACACCAUCCUAUCAUUUGCUGUCGAAUACUUCUGUGUCACAACUCAACUGUCAGAUGAGUACUCCAUUACAGCACUGAGCAGGCCUCCGAAAUGAAUAUCUACUCAGAUGAAGGACGACAAUCGUGUUCUAGGGAAAUAUCAGCGACACAACUCCUUACUUCCUCCGCUUCUUCCUAGUGUUUUUUGUUGUGAUUGAGUCGACAUAGCAACAACACUGCACUAUUACAACCAGUACGACUAUAUCAACUAGCAAUGUCUUCCUUAUAUGUUACUAUUUAUUUUGCUCAUAUUCAUUAUGUUUAAAUCACAUAGGCGCCUUUAUGUUGGCAUCAAAAAAUCAGUAUCAACUUUAUAGAUUAAAAUGAAACUAAAAGUACCUAAAUUUCUAUCGGUGGGGAUCGAGUGAUUCUUUAAACCGAUUAUUACACAAGUUAACCACACUAAAAUUAACAAUGGUGAAUCGUGCCAUGAUUUUUUUCUAGUGGAAAAUAGCCAAACCAAGCAACACAUAUGUGGCUAUCGUUACACAUGUGUAAAGGUAUUGCAUCACACCAUUGUCACCCAUGUAUGUGGACAAUACCGAGAGGAAAAACCACUUAUUUAUUGUAUUUUAUCAAGUUUGUCUUGCUUACGUAUAAAUUAUAACCCAACAAAGUAAUCACUAAAUGUCAAAACCAACUAGAUACCAUGUCAUCUCUACCUUAUCUUACUAAUAUUCUUUUUGCAAAAUCCAAAAUUAAUCUUGCACAAGCACAAGGACUGAGAUGUGUAUAAAUAUCUCUUAAAUUAGUAGCUAAUAUAUCGCACAUAUUAUUGAGACCAACUAGCAACAUAGAAAGCACAAUAGUGUACCAACAAUGGCAGCCAAAAUAUUUUGCCUCCUUAUGCUCCUUGGUCUUUCUGCAAGUGCUGCUACGGCGACCAUUUUCCCGCAAUGCUCGCAAGCUCCUAUAGCUUCCCUUCUUCCCCCGUACCUCUCACCAGCGGUGUCUUCGGUAUGUGAAAACCCAAUUCUUCAACCCUACAGGAUCCAACAGGCAAUCGCAGCUGGCAUCUUACCUUUAUCACCCUUGUUCCUCCAACAAUCAUCAGCCCUAUUACAACAGUUACCUUUGGUGCAUUUAUUGGCACAAAACAUCAGGGCACAACAACUACAACAACUUGUGCUAGCAAACCUUGCUGCCUACUCUCAGCAACAGCAGUUUCUUCCAUUCAACCAACUAGGUUCAUUGAACUCUGCUUCUUAUUUGCAACAACAACAACUACCAUUCAGCCAGCUACCUGCUGCCUACCCCCAGCAAUUUCUUCCAUUCAACCAACUAGCAGCAUUGAACUCUCCUGCUUAUUUACAGCAGCAACAACUACUACCAUUCAGCCAGCUAGCUGGUGUGAGCCCUGCUACCUUCUUGACACAACCACAGUUGUUGCCGUUCUACCAGCACGUUGCGCCUAACGCUGGCACCCUCUUACAACUGCAACAAUUGCUGCCAUUCAACCAACUUGCUUUGACAAACCCAGCAGUGUUCUACCAACAACCCAUCAUUGGUGGUGCCCUCUUUUAGAUUUCUUAUGAGUUAUAGUUCAAUAAUAAAGUUUUUUAUCUGAUGUUUGUGGCUUCCCAGAAAUAAGAAAGUACAUUUCUAGAUUCUUAUGUGCUUCUAGUCUUCAAAUGUGGUUGAUAGUUAUUGUUGGGGACUUGUUCUCAAAUGCUAAGAGUUAAGAACAAGGCAACAUAAAAAUGUUAAAUGCUAAAGUCCUUCGUCCUUCGAAGCAUUAUUUCCCUUAGGAUAUAAUGAAUUUCGGACGAAGGCUAUGAAGGACAUACCUUCAUAAGCACAACGAAUGAUGAAGAAGAAUUCAUAUAAAUUAUGAGAUAUAACAUAAACAUUUAAACAUUAUUAUUAACUCAUUUCUAUUGACUUGUCAGGGAAAAAUAGAAAUGAUAAUAAAUUACAAAUAUACCUUCGGCUUGAGAGAAGGUAAAGGUACAAGCGUGAGGCAAAAGCAAAUGCCAAGUCAGCGUGAACAGUACGGGAACACUGUUCAUCUAUUUAUAGGCACGGGACGCAGCCCAUGCAAAAUUACAUCCAGGCCCUUUGCUUUUGACAAUAACUCUAUAGUAAUCUAUCUGGGUCUAGAUAGUCUUUUCCUCUUUAAGUCGGUUUCCUCUUUUCUGCCAUCAUACCGAAGCUCCCUUGCGCACAGCUUCGGCUCUGCUCCAUCCUUCGUAUUGUUUCCGUGCUUCUUCAUACCGUGGGCUCUUGUUCGAAGAUCCCUAUCCACACAUUAUACUCCAGAGGCAUUGUUAAAUCAUGUUUUUGAGGACCUUCGGAAGUCGAAGGCCCCCAACAGUAGCCCCUCGCAAUAUUAAUUUAUUAGAAUGAUAAAUUUAGAUCGCGACAUGGACGAAGGCCUUAAGCCGAAGGUCCGAAAAAACACCUUCCCUUUGCUAGAAUAGCAACAAUCAAUGACAAGCGGGGCCCUUUCCCUUGCAACACACUAGGCGUAUAAAUAAGAGCAUACCGCGAGCGGAUUUGGCACGCUUUUUGCCAUCUGCUCUUGCUCACCCAACUUUUAGCCCUUGCACACCAACACCUGCUUGGCCUUUUUUUAAAAAAAUUUAAGCUUCGGUUUCGAGAGCACUUUCUCAGCAUUUUCGAAGAUGUCUGAAGAUAAGAAAGUUGUCGCUGAGUCGAAGCUGAGACUUUCUGAGGAGAUGAAUCUCGGCUUUCUUGAAUCAAUAGCGAAGACAAAUACAGAGAAGAUUACUAGGGAGAUUUUAGAAGGUUUAUCUGAAGACACUGGUGACAGUGACAGUUAUGAUGUGGAAAGUGGUGGUGAAGAUUCCGAAGAUCGACCCUGGUGACCAAGCCAUGCAGUUUUUGGAAAAUCAAGCAUUAAACUAAGCCAUCUUGUUAAUAUGAGGGGCAGAUAUUUUCGGGAUUUAUCUAUUGUGAGGGCUGAUGAAGGAGAAAAAACUUGUCCUACUCCUGAGGAAAAUGAAGUCGUGAUAUUCCGAAGCUUCUUCAAGGCUGGGCUUCGGUUUCCUUUAAGCGGUUUCGUGGUUGAAGUUUUGAAGAUUUUUGAAAUCUACCUCCAUCAAAUUACUCCUGAAGCAAUCAUAAGGAUGGGAAUCUUCGUAUGGGCUGUGAAGAGCCAAGGUUUGGAGCCGAAUGCAAAAAGUUUCUGCAAUAUGCAUGAGCUAUUAUACGAGACGAAACCUUGGGGUAAAGAGAAAUAUCAUAACAAUUUUGGCUGCUACAGCUUCGGCGCCCGCUCUGGGUCAAGCUGUCCCGUGCCAACUUUUUGGAAGAGAUGGCCCGGGGACUCGAUGAAGGAAUGGUGUUAUGUAAAAAACGACUUGAAAACGCGAGAAGGUAUUAAAGAUAUCAUCAUGCGCCCCAUCUGGCAGCGUUUCGGCCUUCGGAAACCGAAGGUGGAUAUUGACGAAGCAACCGAAGAAUGCCAGAGGGCCUUCGGCGUAGUUUGCUCUUUCAUCGGGACAAGGGAUUUGAUCCAGGAACAUAUUUCCUUCAGAGUAUGGCCACUUGUAGAAAAGUGGGAAAUGCCGAAGGAAACCAUCAGCAAACCUGAUGAAGUGGACUAGUUAGGUUAAAAUAUACCUUCAGAUAUGGAGAUAAGUUUGUGGAGCCAGAUGAUGACUGGCUGAAAUGUAUUGAGGCCACAAGCGAUGAACUGCUUGGGCCAUAUUCGAAGACAGAAGAUACUGCACUGUCCGCGGCCUUCGGAGGUCGGAAGAAGAGACUCAACCGAGUGUUUGAUGCCAUUGGGUUCGUCUAUCCUGACUACCGUUACCCAACACAGGGUCAGAAAGGGAAAGAUACGACUUCUGUGAAGAAAGUUGCUUCAGCCGCUCCUAGUGAGCCGGCGCCGAAGAGGAAAAAGAUGAAGGUUCUUACGCACCGGCCACGCUAUAUUGAACCGGCCACAGUGCCUGAGUUUGUCGGUGAGACCUCUUCGGCCACCGAAGCCAAGGAGCCGACUCUCCUGCCGAAUAUUGAAGAGCCGGCCAAAAUGCCGGCAAUGGAAAAAAUAGAAGAACCGAGGGCUGAAGAGACAAAGACAUCGGAAAAGAAUGGUUAACGUGCUAAUGCCGAAUAUUGAAGUCCUUCAGCAAGAAUCGAGGUGCUAAUGCCAAUGCCGAUGGCACAAAAAGACCUUACGACAACCCCCAAGAGGAAAAGAAUGGUUAACGUGCUAGAUGUACUGGAAACGAUAAAAUCUUCAAGCUCUACUCCGAAGAUAGCUACUGAAGUUCCAAAGACACAAACUGAGGCCAAAGCUGCCAAAAGUCAAGCGGAAACUGAAACUGGGCUUUCAGAGCCUACCAAGAGGGAAUUCUUGGAAAUUGAAAAAGAAACGGAAAAAGAAUCUGCAGAAGAAACUUUUUCUGAGAAAAUCGUCACACAUAUUCCCGAAGCAUCUUCUGAAGCUUCUGACUAUGUAUUACGUCAUGCUUCGGGUAAAAAUCUGAGCGAAAAAGAAAAAAGAGAAGCUCAAUUCUAUGCGCAAAAAUUGAAAUAUCCAAAAGGGGCGCUGAUAUUCAACGGCAGCGGAGAAGAAGACUUCUUGUAUUGUCUCCCUCAUAGCAAGGAGAUUUCUGUCUGUCGGGAGAUGAGCAAAAGCUUCGGAUUCCCAACAUUAGAAGACGGGCUCUUGGUGUUGUCAAAGGACGAGCUAGCCGACAGCUUAGCGUAUAAUAGUUUAAAGGUGAAGAAAAUGAGAUCUUUGUAUUAUUUCUUGAAACCAAAAUUUUUCAUUUGCUUAAACUUAUUAACGCAUUUUUUUACAGGGUCUUAUACUUAGCAAUGCCCUCAGGGCACAAAAGAAUGACGAAGACGAAGGGUGCGCCAUAGCCCUGAGCAACCUUCGUUCCGAAGUAAUUGAUCUAAGGAACGAAGGUCUCGAAAAAGAUAAAAUAUUACAUUCGUUGGUGAAUAAAAUAAAAGAAGAUGAAGCUACUUUCAAAGCUCAAGCUGAGGCUCAGAAGCACGAAAUUGAGAAUCUUCGGAAACAACUAGCCAGAGCUACAGAAGAAUACACAAUUGAAGAAACAAAACGAGAAAUUAGUGAACAAUGGGCAAAUCAUUUAGAAAAAAACGUUGAAGAGCUUCGUGCGUCCAAGAAAAGGUGUUAUGAAAAAUCUAUAGAAUGUGUUAAGAAAAUAAGAACCAGCUUCACCAACGUUGGCGCGUUUUCAAGUGAAGAAAAUUUCAUGAGGGGUGACCCCGAAAGCCCAAUUGGAUGGAUCAGCCACGAAGCUGAAGCUUUUGAAUAGCCGUGGAGACAUAUGUGCCUUCUCGGGUGCCAGGGGGAUUGCCGCUGUUUUGGAGAAGAAAGGUUGCGAUCACGUGAAAUCCCUGGCACAGACCGAAGCCGUUUUAUCCUCUGAAGACAUAAAAGACCCUUCGGCCGAGGCGAGUUUGGUUGGUGGGAAAUUUUUCACCGACAUCUGGGAAAACGGUGGCCGGGAGAUGGCUCAAGAAAUUAUACGGAGAAGCGAGAAUGGUAUACAUGACGCUAGAAAAGUAGCAGAGGCCGCUGAGAAAAGUGUGGAUCUCGAAGGGCGAAUAGGUAUUAACUAGUAAUUUUUGGCUUUUUGUUGUAACCUUUUGAUUUUGAACUUGUUUACACUUUGUAACAUGGUCGCACCUUCUCCUCCCUCAGAGCCUGCCGAGCCAUCGACAGACCCCCACGUAAAGGGGGAUGACGAGAUUAGAAGAAUGGCUGAAGCUAUCAUGGACAAAGUUGUUGAUCAAUUACUAAACGAAGCUGCAGAAAUAGUUCUAAGGGAAGAUUAGAUGUUAUUGUAAAAACAUUUGGAAUGUAAUAUUUGUUGAACAAUAUGUGUAAUAUUUUGUAACUUUGAAUGUAAUAUAUAAUCUAUUUGUGGUUCAAUUCUUUACGAUGCAUGAAACUUUACAUACAUACCGUUUUUGAGCCUUCGGCGAAAAAACACCUUCCCUUCUUUUCAUGCUUCGUAAAUAAUAUCCGUAUAUCAUAAAAACAUCCAAUUUUCGUAAAAUCAGUAACCAAUAGAUCUUUUUAUUUCAUAAAAACAUCCAAUCUUCGUAAAAUCAGUAACCAAUCUUCGUAAAGGCAUGCUUCUUCAAUAAUUAUUUUUGUGCCUUGGCACUGUUUCUUCGAAACAAUCUCCGAAUAUCAACAUUGAAACCCCCUUCUUGCGUCAUUGAUGCAAUAUGAUGUAUGAUGUUAUGCUAUGCAAAUGAUGUGAUGAUGUGAUGUUAUGCAAAAUGAUAUUUGCCGAAGAUCAACGUUUAUUUUUCACUGCAAGCCUCCCUUAGGAGCUUCUUCGCCUUUUACUUCAGCGGAAUCAGCAUUUAUUUUUCGCUGUAAGCCUCCCUUAGGAGCUUCUUCGCCUUUUACUUUCAGCGGAAUCAGCGUUUAUUUUUUGCUGUAAGCCUCCCUUAGGAGCUUCUUCGCCUUUUACUUUCAGCGGAAUCAGCGUUUAUUUUUCGCUGUAAGCUCUGCAUUCCCUUCGGAACGACUUUUGAGCAGAAAACUUACGCUGCGCUCCCUUAGGAACGACUUUUUGUUAUUUCGGAGAUUCUCCUUGUAACCAUAAAUUCUUAUGCUUCGGCAACUCUGUUAUUUUGUGGAGAAGGUAUAUUUUUACUGUGGCGAAAACGAAGCUAUUACAAGAAAUUGAAAACGACAAAAAGCACUUAGGCUUUCAAUAAUUGUUCCUUAUUAAAAAGAAAAUGAUACUGAAUGUAAAAACUACUGCCGAGGUAGGAUAUUUGUUAGUAAAUAUGCUUCGAUUCUGGCACAGUACUAUUGACUGUGCGAGCUUCGGACUCUUCUCUAAAGUCCCGUUGAAGGUGGAUAUGCUGACUCCCUUCUGGCUGCUGGCUUUGUUGCAUUGGUGGUGGAGGUGGAGGCUGCUGCCAAGAUGCCUGAGGUUGGCUUGCCGAAGCAACAGAAGCUGCAGGGUGGUUGCCUACAUACUCUGGAAUGUAAGGCGAAUGGUAUGAAGCAGUGUGCAUAACUUGCUUCGGCUGGCUCUGUUGGGCUGCAGCUUCUGCUAUCUCCUUUUGUUUCUGGAUGGUAACAUGGCACAUCCUGGUGGUAUGGCCCUUGUCCUCUCCACAGAAUAGGCAAUAGAUCUUCCUGGGCUGAUCCCCAAAUCUUCCUCCGAAGCCCCUGGCACCUCUACCCCUUGGAGCUGGAGGCCGAGGAUAGCUCUGCUGCUGCCCCGAAGCCUGGGAGGAAUAUUGCGGCCUCUGCUGCUGGCUUCCCCUGUCAUCAUUCUGAGUGUUAUGAAUCGAUCUGACAUGUCUAGGGUGAACUCUCCCUCCGAAGCCACUGGCUAUUUUGGAGAACCUGUAAGCUUCCUCCCUUCUCUAUCGGAAGUCGUUGUCAGCGCGGAUGUAUUCGUCCAUCUUCUGAAGCAGUUUCUCCAGAGUCUGAGGGGGCUUCCUGGCAAAGUACUGGGCUGAAGGUCCUGGCCGAAGCCCCUUAAUCAUGGCCUCAAUGACAAUUUCAUUGGGCACUGUUGGUGCUUGUGCCCUCAGGCGUAAGAACCUUCGGACAUACGCCUGAAGAUAUUCUCCGUGGUCUUGGGUGCACUGGAAUAAGUCUUGAGCGGUGACCGGCUUCGUUUGAAACCCUUAGAAACUGGUGAUCAGCAUAUCCUUCAGCUUCUGCCAUGAUGUGAUUGUUCCUGGCCGAAGGGAGGAGUACCAGGUUUGUGCAACAUUCUUGACGGCCAUGACGAAAGACUUCGCCAUGACUGCAAUAUUGCCACCAUAGGAAGAUAUCGUUGCUUCGUAGCUCAUCAGAAACUGCUUCAGAUCUGAGUGUCCGUUGUACAUGGGGAGUUGAGGUGGCUUGUAAGACGGAGGCCAAGGUGUAGCCUGCAGUUCUGGUGAUAGAGGAGAAGCAUCGUCAAAAGCAAAAUUUCCAUGAUGGAAAUCCUCAUACCAGUCAUCCUCGUUGACGAAGCCCUCUUGGUGGAGCUCUCUGUACUGGGGCCUCCGGUUCUAUUCAUCUUGCGUAAGAUGACGAACCUCUUUAGAGGCUUUGUCUAUCUGCCUUUGUAGGUCAGCUAGCCGGGCCAUCUUUUCUUUCUUCUUUUGCACUUGUUGAUGCAGCAUUUCCAUGUUCCUGAUUUCUUGGUCCAAAUCGUCCUCCUGAGGCGUUGGACUGGUGGCCUUCCUCUUCUGGCUUCGGGCUUCCCGAAGAGAGAGAGUCUCCUGGUUCGUGUCCAGCGGCUGCAGAGCCGCAGCCCCUGUUGCUGAAGCUUUCUUUGGCGGCAUGACAAAGGUCGAUGCUUGCCGAAGGUGUUCGAAACUCAAAAAGUGGAAGUGAGUUCACCGGAGGUGGGCACUAAUGUUGGGGACUUGUUCUCAAAUGCUAAGAGUUAAGAACAAGGAAACAUAAAAAUGUUAAAUGCUAAAGUCCUUAGUCCUUCGAAGCAUUAUUUCCCUUAGGAUAUAAUGAAUUUCGGACGAAGGUUAUGAAGGACAUACCUUCAUAAGCACAACGAAUGAUGAAGAAGAAUUCAUAUAAAUUAUGAGAUAUAACAUAAACAUUUAAACAUUAUUAUUAACUCAUUUCUAUUGACUUGUCAGGGAAAAAUAGAAAUGAUAAUAAAUUACAAAUAUACCUUCGGCUUGAGAGAAGGUAAAGGUACAAGCGUGAGGCAAAAGCAAAUGCCAAGUCAGCGUGAAUAGUACGGGAACACUGUUCAUCUAUUUAUAGGCACGGGACGCAGCCCAUGCAAAAUUACAUCCAGGCCCUUUGCUUUUGACAAUAACUCUAUAGUAAUCUAUCUGGGUCUAGAUAGUCUUUUCCUCUUUAAGUCGGUUUCCUCUUUUCUGCCAUCAUGCCGAAGCUCCCUUGCGCACAACUUCUGCUCUGCUCCAUCCUUCGUAUUGUUUCCGUGCUUCUUCAUACCAUGGGCUCUUGUUCGAAGAUCCCUGUCCACACAUUAUACUCCAGAGGCAUUGCUAAAUCAUGUUUUUGAGGACCUUCGGAAGCCGAAGGCCCCCAACAGUUAUUUUGCUCUAAGAUCGGCAGUAAUGAAGUAUAAAUCAUCGUUGUGGUGUGCUACUCGGUUAAUUGAGCAUUAACACACACAAACAUGACGAGGAUGGUAUAAUCUCCAAAAAUGUGUACUUUGUUAGGUGGGACCCUAUAGCCUUGCAGAAUGUGCUAUGUUAGGCAUGCCUGGAAACGUGUGACGCAUACGUUUUGUGAACCUGUUCAUAUUAUAUGUGCUUUUAUAUUAUCGUAUUUUAUUAAAAUACUAAUAUUUAUUACUAGUAAGAUAUAACAUUCUAUCUAGCUUAAAAACUAACCAUAAAUAUUCCAUAAUAACUAGAUUUACCAAACUAAUAUACUAAAUAUACAUAAUAAAUACAAAAUUAACAAGACAAUAAUCAAUAUUUAUGAGCUUAAUAUAUUUAGACAUUAUGGUUGGUCGACGAUAAUCAUGCUAACUUUCCGUAAUUGCUUGAUUGUAAAUAUGCUUAGAAUAAUGCCUCUUUGUUCUACAUGGCAAAUAGGGACCAUUAUGGUGUAACACCCUGGGAUCCACAAACACCCUGAAAUGCUACUAAACUACACAACUAACCUUCAUAUAUUAAAUUUCGACAGCAUCUCCUUUGAAAAUUUGUAUAAACGUGGAAGCAACAGAGUAUAAACAGAUAUGAUGAUAAGGAAACAUAAUAGACAUUAAUAAUCUGCUAGAAAUGGGAAGAUAACCAUAACGACAUAAACUGAAUUAACUAGUGUGCACGGCAUGUUAAAAACAAACAUCGUUGACAAGAAGUUUCUAAUUAAAUCAUGGCUGUGCCUAGGCAGCGUUAUUAUAUGAGUGAAGGUGGACGUGAUGCUACUUCCCUCAUUCCCAACAUGAAUCAAGUACCUGUAUUGAGUAAUGCAAGAGUGAGAUGAAAACAUCUCAGCAAGUAAAUUGUUUUGACGAGAUAUUUAAACCAAAAAAAUUUGAUUUAAUCAACAUUUUAAAGGGAUCACAAUUGAGAUCAGACAUACUUGUAGAUAUAAAACUCAAUAGUCCCAAAAUAACCAAUGCCAUCUCAUUUCCACAAACAACCACAAUAGGUUGUAUAACACUUCCCUGCGUCAUCAAUACCUGCAAAUAUCACUUCAAUGUAUGCAUAGGAAUGCAAUGUUUAAGUCCUCUGCAUUCAUACUUCUUAGAGUAUAAAACCACACCAUCUGCAAAUAUCACUUCAAUGAAUGCAUAUGAAUGCAAUGCAUAUGUCCUCUGCCUUCAUACCUCUAAGGGUAUGAAGACGCAUCGUACCCCUCCUCGGGCAACGUACGAUGCUAAGUUGUACCGGUACGGUCGGACCAUAGGUCACGACAAAACUUCAGAUGCAAGUGAAUCAUGACAUGUAUAUGGCAUGCUGCAUUUAUCAAUAUACUACACUUCCUUCACAUACAAUACAAACCUCAAAUAAUACUUCGUUUACCUUCAGAUACAAUACAAACCUCAAAUAAUACUUCAUUCACCUUCAGGGGUGUUUAUUAAUCUCGUGGGUCAUACUCAAAUCAUCAUCAUCAUCAAUGAUGUUUAAGCAUCAGUAUAAUACAAUCAAGUAAAGCAUCACCAUAGAGUUCAAUUAUGAAAGAAUUCGAUGAUUCUGAAUAUUAGAGUGUAUGCGAUGAAACAACAAAGUCAAAACGGUAGCAACCACCGCUACAUUCACUUGCCUUCAUCGAAGAAGAAAAAGGUACUAGGCAUGAUUCGGAGUGUAGACACCUGCUGUGGGGCUUAAAACUUAGUACAAAUAUUCCACAAACAUUUGCCAACAACUAACAAAUCGCUCCUACACUUGUAACCAAGACCCGGUGGAAUGACUCCCACCCUGAACCACAUGUCAAACAGCAGGAGUGCUGUUUGUUAAUUUUGUAUCUUUAAAAUUAUAACAGUGGUGAUAUCAAACAAAUACUCUAGAAGUUUCUACACAAAAUACUCUACAACUUCGGUAUUCAAUGGAUAAUUAAAUUUUGCCAUCUAUAAGUUCUAAAACAUCUGACAAGAUAACUGACAGAAUCUGUUUCAGACAGCAGCAUAGUUAACUUCAAAAUUCGAUAUCUCCCAAACUCCUCAACCAAAAUUUAUGAAAUUAUGUUGACAGUAAGAACUUUUAUCCCUCUACAAAAGUCUCCAUAGUUGGAAGAGCCAAUUCGGCCAUUUACUAGAUGAAACCUACCAUUUAACAGACCCGCUCAUUUUUGUCAGGCAAACAAGAACCCUUAUAUAUCAAAGAGUAGUGGAUUUGAAUUUGUCUAAUAUGAAGUUUAUGGGCUUGGAUCAUUUAAAGUAUUUUAUAAUUCUGAAAGACAAGAUUAAACUAACUAUGUAUGAUCCUUUAGCACCGUACAGAUGGUCGAUGGGACAGUUACAUGGUUUAUAUAGAUGGACAUAUCUAUAUUCCUUCAGUGGUUGAGAAAAAGGUAAAGGUGUGUCACACUCACGCGUGCACUGCCUCCGCCGAGACGAGGCAUGGCGUUGCAAGGUGAGGCAUGGCAUGGUGCAGCACGAUCGUAUACAUGGUCGUGGCACAGUGUAGCACUGUUGUGGAUAGAUAGAUAAACUUUUGUUGUAGUUAGAGUGCAUGAGUUUUUGAAUGCAACACAAGAAUUUUCACAAUUUAACUUAAUUAAGAAGUUAUAUCUUGAUGACACAGAGUUACCUGACCAUUGAUCUCACAUGCCCUUUUAGCUCUCUCGUUCUCUAGACUCACCCUGACUAUUUAGGUCUCCUGACUCGCCAAUAUAAACACCAUCCUAUCAUUUGCUCUCGAAUACUUCUGUGUCACAACUCAACUGUCAGAUGAGUACUCCAUUACAGCACUGAGCAGGCCUCCGAAAUGAAUAUCUACUCAGAUGAAGGACGACAAUCGUGUUCUAGGGAAAUAUCAGCGACACAACUCCUUACUUCCUCCGCUUCUUCCUAGUGUUUUUUGUUGUGAUUGAGUCGACAUAGCAACAACACUGCACUAUUACAACCAGUACGACUAUAUCAACUAGCAAUGUCUUCCUUAUAUGUUACUAUUUAUUUUGCUCAUAUUCAUUAUGUUUAAAUCACAUAGGCGCCUUUAUGUUGGCAUCAAAAAAUCAGUAUCAACUUUAUAGAUUAAAAUGAAACUAAAAGUACCUAAAUUUCUAUCGGUGGGGAUCGAGUGAUUCUUUAAACCGAUUAUUACACAAGUUAACCACACUAAAAUUAACAAUGGUGAAUCGUGCCAUGAUUUUUUUCUAGUGGAAAAUAGCCAAACCAAGCAACACAUAUGUGGCUAUCGUUACACAUGUGUAAAGGUAUUGCAUCACACCAUUGUCACCCAUGUAUUUGGACAAUACCGAGAGGAAAAACCACUUAUUUAUUGUAUUAUAUCAAGUUUGUCUUGCUUACGUAUAAAUUAUAACCCAACAAAGUAAUCACUAAAUGUCAAAACCAACUAGAUACCAUGUCAUCUCUACCUUAUCUUACUAAUAUUCUUUUUGCAAAAUCCAAAAUUAAUCUUGCACAAGCACAAGGACUGAGAUGUGUAUAAAUAUCUCUUAAAUUAGUAGCUAAUAUAUCGCACAUAUUAUUGAGACCAACUAGCAACAUAGAAAGCACAAUAGUGUACCAACAAUGGCAGCCAAAAUAUUUUGCCUCCUUAUGCUCCUUGGUCUUUCUGCAAGUGCUGCUACGGCGACCAUUUUCCCGCAAUGCUCGCAAGCUCCUAUAGCUUCCCUUCUUCCCCCGUACCUCUCACCAGCGGUGUCUUCGGUAUGUGAAAACCCAAUUCUUCAACCCUACAGGAUCCAACAGGCAAUCACAGCUGGCAUCUUACCUUUAUCACCCUUGUUCCUCCAACAAUCAUCAGCCCUAUUACAUCAGUUACCUUUGGUGCAUUUAUUGGCACAAAACAUCAGGGCACAACAACUACAACAACUUGUGCUAGCAAACCUUGCUGCCUACUCUCAGCAACAGCAGUUUCUUCCAUUCAACCAACUAGCUGCAUUGAACUCUGCUUCUUAUUUGCAACAACAACAACUACCAUUCAGCCAGCUACCUGCUGCCUACCCCCAGCAAUUUCUUCCAUUCAACCAACUGGCAGCAUUGAACUCUCCUGCUUAUUUACAGCAGCAACAACUACUACCAUUCAGCCAGCUAGCUGGUGUGAGCCCUGCUACCUUCUUGAUACAACCACAGUUGUUGCCGUUCUACCAGCACGCUGCGCCUAACGCUGGCACCCUCUUACAACUGCAACAAUUGCUGCCAUUCAACCAACUUGCUUUGACAAACCCAGCAGCGUUCUACCAACAACCCAUCAUUGGUGGUGCCCUCUUUUAGAUUUCUUAUGAGUUAUAGUUCAAUAAUAAAGUUUUUUGUCUGAUGUUUGUGGCUUCCCAGAAAUAAGAAAGUACAUUUCUAGAUUCUUAUGUGCUUCUAGUCUCCAAAUGUGGUUGAUAGUUAUUUUGCUCUAAGAUCGACAGUAAUGAAGUAUAAAUCAUCGUUGUGGUGUGCUACUCGGUUAAUUGAGCAUUAACACACACAAACAUGACGAGGAUGGUAUAAUCUCCAAAAAUAUGUACUUUGUUAGGUGGGACCCUAUAGCCUUGCAUAAUGUGCUAUGUUAGGCAUGCCUGGAAACGUGUGACGCAUAUGUUUUGUGAACCUGUUGAUAUUAUAUGUGCUUUUAUAUUACCAUAUUUUAUUAAAAUACUAAUAUUUAUUACUAGUAAGAUAUAACAUUCUAUCUAGCUUAAAAACUAACCAUAAAUAUUCCAUAAUAACUAGAUUUACCAAACUAAUAUACUAAAUAUACAUAAUAAAUACAAAAUUAACAAGACAAUAAUCAAUAUUUAUGAGCUUAAUAUAUUUAGACAUUAUGGUUGGUCGACCAUAAUCAUGCUAACUUUUCGUACUUGCUUGAUUGUAAAUAUGCUUAGAAUAAUGCCUCUUUGUUCUACAUGGCAAAUAGGGACCAUUAUGGUGUAACACCCUGGGAACCACAAACACCCCGAAAUGCUACUAAACUACACAACUAACCUUCAUAUAUAAAAUUUCGACAGCAUCUCCUUUGAAAAUUUGCAUAAACGUGGAAGCAACAGAGUAUAAACAGAUAUCAUGAUAAGGAAACAUACUAGACAUUAAUAAUCUGCUAGAAAUGGGAAGAUAACCAUAACGACAUAAACUGAAUUAACUAGUGUGCACAACUUGUUUAAAACAAACAUCAUUGACAAGAAGUUUCUAAUUAAAUCAUGGCUGUGCCUGGGUAGCGUUAUUAUGAGAGUGAAGGUGGACGUGAUGCUACUUCCCUCAUUCCCAACAUGAAUCAAGUACCUGCAUUGAGUAAUGCAAGAGUGAGAUGAAAACAUCUCAGCAAGUAAAUUGUUUUGACGAGAUAUUUAAAGCAAAAAAAUUUGAUUUACUCAACAUUUUAAAGGGAUCACAAUUGAGAUCAGAAAUACUUGUAGAUAUAGAACUCAAUAGUCCCAAAAUAACCAGUGCCAUCUCAUUUCCUCAAACAACCACAAUAGGUUGUAUAACACUUCCCUGCGUCAUCAAUACCUGCAAAUAUCACUUCAAUGUAUGCAUAGGAAUGCAAUGUUUAAGUCCUCUGCAUUCAUACUUCUUAGAGUAUAAAACCACACCAUCUGCAAAUAUCACUUCAAUGAAUGCAUAUGAAUGCAAUGCAUAUGUCCUCUGCCUUCAUACCUCUAAGGGUAUGAAGCCGAAUCGUACCCCUCCUCGGGCAACGUACGAUGCUAAGUUGUACCGUUACGGUCGGACCAUAGGUCACGACAAAACUUCAUAUGCAAGUGAAUCAUGACAUGUAUAUGGCUUGCUGCAUUUAUCAAUAUACUUCACUUCCUUCAUAUACAAUACAAACCUCAAAUAAUACUUCGUUUACCUUCAGAUACAAUACAAACCUCAAAUAAUACUUCAUUCACCUUCAGGGGUGUUUAUUAAUCUCGUGGGUCAUACUCGAAUCAUCAUCAUCAUCAAUGAUGAUUAAGCAUCAGUAUAAUACAAUCAAGUAAAGCAUCACCAUAGAGUUCAAUUAUGAAAGAAUUCGAUGAUUCUGAAUAUUAGAGUGUAUGCGAUGAAACAACAACGUCAAAACGGUAGCAACCACCGCUACAUUCACUUGCCUUCAUCGAAGAAGAAAAACAUACUAGGCAUGAUUCAGAGUGUAGACACCUGCUGUGGGGCUUAAAACUUAGUACAAAUAUUCCACAAACAUUUGCCAACAAUUAACAAAUCGCUCCUACACUUGAAACCAAGACCCGGUGGAAUGACUCCCACCCUGAACCACAUGCCAAACAAUAGUAGUGUUGUUUGUUAAUUUUGUAUCUUUAAAAUUAUAACAGUGGUGAUAUCAAACAAAUACUCCAGAAGUUUCUACACAAAAUACUCUACAACUUUGGUAUUCAAUGGAUAAUUAAAUUUUGCCAUCUAUAAGUUCUAAAACAUCUGAUAAGAUAACUGACUGAAUUUGUUUCAGACAACAGCAUAGUUAACUUCAAAAUUCGAUAUCUCCCAAACUCCUCAACCAAAAAUUAUGAAAUUAUUCUGACAGUAAGAACUUUUUUCCCUCUACAAAAGUAUCUAUAGUUGGAAGAGCCAAUUCGGCCAUUUACUAGAUGAAACCUACCAGUUAACAGACCCGCUCAUUUUUGUCAGGCAAACAAGAACCCUUAUAUAUCAAAGAGUAGUGGAUUUGAAUUUGUCUAAUAUGAAGUUUAUGGGCUUGGAUCAUUUAAAGUAUUUUAUAAUUCUGAAAGACAAGAUUAAACUAACUAUGUAUGAUCCUUUAGCACUGUACAGAUGGUCGAUGGGACAGUUACAUGGUUUAUAUAGAUGGACCUAUCUAUAUUCCUUCAGUGGUUGAGAAAAAGGUAAAGGUGUGUCACACUCACGUGUGCGCCGCCUCUACCGAGAUGAGGCAUGGCGUUGCAAGGUGAGGCAUGGCAUGGUGCAGCACGAUCGUAUACAUGGUCGUGGCACAGUGUAGCACUGUUGUGGAUAGAUAGAUAAACUUUUGUUGUAGUUAGAGUGCAUGAGUUUUUGAAUGCAACACAAGAAUUUUCACAAUUUAACUUAAUUAAGAAGUUAUAUCUUGAUGACACAGAGUUACCUGACCAUUGAUCUCACAUGCCCUUUUAGCUCUCUCGUUCUCUAGACUCACCCUGACUAUUUAGGUCUCCUGACUCGCCAAUAUAAACACCAUCCUAUCAUUUGCUCUCGAAUACUUCUGUGUCACAACUCAACUGUCAGAUGAGUACUCCAUUACAGCACUGAGCAGGCCUCCGAAAUGAAUAUCUACUCAGAUGAAGGACGACAAUCGUGUUCUAGGGAAAUAUCGGUGACACAACUCCUUACUUCCUCCGCUUCUUCCUAGUGUUUUUUGUUGUGAUUGAGUCGACACAGCAACAACACUGCACUAUUACAACCAGUACGACUAUAUUAACUAGCAAUGUCUUCCUUAUAUGUUACUAUUUAUUUUGCUCAUAUUCAUUAUGUUUAAAUCACAUAGGCACCUUUUUGUUGGCAUCAAAAAAUUAGUAUCAACUUUCUAGAUUAAAGUGAAACUAAAAGUACCUAAAUUUCUAUCGGUGGGGAUCGAGUGAUUCUUUAAACCAAUUAUUACGCAAGUUAACCACACUAAAAUUAACAUUGGUGAACCGUGCCAUGAUUUUUUCUAAUGGAAAAUAGCCAAACCAAGCAACACAUAUGUGGCUAUCGUUACACAUGUGUAAAGGUAUUGCAUCACACCAUUGUCACCCAUGUAUUUGGACAAUACCGAGAGGAAAAACCACUUAUUUAUUGUAUUUUAUCAAGUUUGUCUUGCUUACGUAUAAAUUAUAACCCAACAAAGUAAUCACUAAAUGUCAAAACCAACUAGAUACCAUGUCAUCUCUACCUUAUCUUACUAAUAUUCUUUUUGCAAAAUCCAAAAUUAAUCUUGCACAAGCACAAGGACUGAGAUGUGUAUAAAUAUCUCUUAAAUUAGUAGCUAAUAUAUCACACAUAUUAUUGAGACCAACUAGCAACAUAGAAAGCACAAUAGUGUACCAACAAUGGCAGCUAAAAUAUUUUGCCUCCUUAUGCUCCUUGGUCUUUCUGCAAGUGCUGCUACGGCGACCAUUUUCCCACAAUGCUCACAAGCUCCUAUAGCUUCCCUUCUUCCCCCGUACCUCUCACCAACGGUGUCUUCGGUAUGUGAAAACCCAAUUCUUCAACCCUACAGGAUCCAACAGGCAAUCGCAGCUGGCAUCUUACCUUUAUCACCCUUGUUCCUCCAACAAUCAUCAGCCCUAUUACAGCAGUUACCUUUGGUGCAUUUAUUGGCACAAAACAUCAGGGCACAACAACUACAACAACUUGUGCUAGCAAACCUUGCUGCCUACUCUCAGCAACAGCAGUUUCUUCCAUUCAACCAACUAGCUGCAUUGAACUCUGCUUCUUAUUUGCAACAACAACAACUACCAUUCAGCCAGCUAUCUGCUGCCUACCCCCAGCAAUUUCUUCCAUUCAACCAACUGACAGCAUUGAACUCUCCUGCUUAUUUACAGCAGCAACAACUACUACCAUUCAGCCAGCUAGCUGGUGUGAGCCCUGCUACCUUCUUGACACAACCACAGUUGUUGCCGUUCUACCAGCACGCUGCGCCUAACGCUGGCACCCUCUUACAACUGCAACAAUUGCUGCCAUUCAACCAACUUGCUUUGACAAACCCAGCAGCAUUCUACCAACAACCCAUCAUUGGUGGUGCCCUCUUUUAGAUUUCUUAUGAGUUAUAGUUCAAUAAUAAAGUUUUUUGUCUGAUGUUUGUGGCUUCCCAGAAAUAAGAAAGUACAUUUCUAGAUUCUUAUGUGCUUCUAGUCUCCAAAUGUGGUUGAUAGUUAUUUUGCUCUAAGAUCAACAGUAAUGAAGUAUAAAUCAUCGUUGUGGUGUGCUACUCGGUUAAUUGAGCAUUAACACACACAAACAUGACGAGGAUGGUAUAAUCUCCAAAAAUGUGUACUUUGUUAGGUGGGACCCUAUAGCCUUGAUUAAUGUGCUAUGUUAGGCAUGCCUGGAAACGUGUGACGCAUAUGUUUUGUGAACCUGUUGAUAUUAUAUGUGCUUUUAUAUUACCAUAUUUUAUUAAAAUACUAAUAUUUAUUACUAGUAAGAUAUAACAUUCUAUCUAGCUUAAAAACUAACCAUAAAUAUUCCAUAAUAACUAGAUUUACCAAACUAAUAUACUAAAUAUACAUAAUAAAUACAAAAUUAACAAGACAAUAAUCAAUAUUUAUGAGCUUAAUAUAUUUAGACAUUAUGGUUGGUCGACGAUAAUCAUGCUAACUUUUCGUAAUUGCUUGAUUGUAAAUAUGCUUAGAAUAAUGCCUCUUUGUUCUACAUGGCAAAUAGGGACCAUUAUGGUGUAACACCCUGGGAACCACAAACACCCCGAAAUGCUACUAAACUACACAACUAACCUUCAUAUAUAAAAUUUCGACAGCAUCUCCUUUGAAAAUUUGCAUAGACGUGGAAGCAACAGAGUAUAAACAGAUAUCAUGAUAAGAAAACAUACUAGACAUUAAUAAUCUGCUAGAAAUGGGAAGAUAACCAUAACGACAUAAACUGAAUUAACUAGUGUGCACAACUUGUUAAAAACAAACAUCGUUGACAAGAAGUUUCUAAUUAAAUCAUGGUUGUGCCUGGGCAGCGUUAUUAUGAGAGUGAAGGUGGACGUGAUGCUACUUCCCUCAUUCCCAACAUGAAUCAAGUACCUGCAUUGAGCAAUGCAAGAGUGAGAUGAAAACAUCUCAGCAAGUAAAUUGUUUUGACGAGAUAUUUAAACCAAAAAAAUUUGAUUUACUCAACAUUUUAAAGGGAUCACAAUUGAGAUCAGAAAUACUUGUAGAUAUAGAACUCAAUAGUCCCAAAAUAACCAGUGCCAUCUCAUUUCCUCAAACAACCACAAUAGGUUGUAUAACACUUCCCUGCGUCAUCAAUACCUGCAAAUAUCACUUCAAUGUAUGCAUAGGAAUGCAAUGUUUAAGUCCUCUGCAUUCAUACUUCUUAGAGUAUAAAACCACACCAUCUGCAAAUAUCACUUCAAUGAAUGCAUAUGAAUGCAAUGCAUAUGUCCUCUGCCUUCAUACCUCUAAGGGUAUGAAGCCGAAUCGUACCCCUCCUCGGGCAACGUACGAUGCUAAGUUGUACCGGUACGGUCGGACCAUAGGUCACGACAAAACUUCAUAUGCAAGUGAAUCAUGACAUGUAUAUGGCUUGCUGCAUUUAUCAAUAUACUUCACUUCCUUCAUAUACAAUACAAACCUCAAAUAAUACUUCGUUUACCUUCAGAUACAAUACAAACCUCAAAUAAUACUUCAUUCACCUUCAGGGGUGUUUAUUAAUCUCGUGGGUCAUACUCGAAUCAUCAUCAUCAUCAAUGAUGAUUAAGCAUCAGUAUAAUACAAUCAAGUAAAGCAUCACCAUAGAGUUCAAUUAUGAAAGAAUUCGAUGAUUCUGAAUAUUAGAGUGUAUGCGAUGAAACAACAACGUCAAAACGGUAGCAACCACCGCUACAUUCAUUUGCCUUCAUCGAAGAAGAAAAAUGUACUAGGCAUGAUUCAGAGUGUAGACACCUGCUGUGGGGCUUAAAACUUAGUACAAAUAUUCCACAAACAUUUGCCAACAAUUAACAAAUCGCUCCUACACUUGAAACCAAGACCCGGUGGAAUGACUCCCACCCUGAACCACAUGCCAAACAAUAGUAGUGCUGUUUGUUAAUUUUGUAUCUUUAAAAUUAUAACAGUGGUGAUAUCAAACAAAUACUCUAGAAGUUUCUACACAAAAUACUCUACAACUUCGGUAUUCAAUGGAUAAUUAAAUUUUGCCAUCUAUAAGUUCUAAAACAUCUGAUAAGAUAACUGACUGAAUUUGUUUCAGACAGCAGCAUAGUUAACUUCAAAAUUCGAUAUCUCCCAAACUCCUCAACCAAAAAUUAUGAAAUUAUGCUGACAGUAAGAACUUUUUGUCCCUCUACAAAAGUAUCUAUAGUUGGAAGAGCCAAUUCGGCCAUUUACUAGAUGAAACCUACCAGUUAACAGACCCGCUCAUUUUUGUCAGGCAAACAAGAACCCUUAUAUAUCAAAGAGUAGUGGAUUUGAAUUUGUCUAAUAUGAAGUUUAUGGGCUUGGAUCAUUUAAAGUAUUUUAUAAUUCUGAAAGACAAGAUUAAACUAACUAUGUAUGAUCCUUUAGCACCGUACAGAUGGUCGAUGGGACAGUUACAUGGUUUAUAUAGAUGGACCUAUCUAUAUUCCUUCAGUGGUUGAGAAAAAGGUAAAGGUGUGUCACACUCACGUGUGCGCCGCCUCUGCCGAGAUGAGGCAUGGCGUUGCAAGGUGAGGCAUGGCAUGGUGCAGCACGAUCGCAGUCAUGGUCGUGGCACAGUGUAGCACUGUUGUGGAUAGAUAGAUAAACUAUUGUUGUAGUUAGAGUGCAUGAGUUUUUGAAUGCAACACUAGGAUUUUCACAAUUUAACUUAAUUAAGAAGUUAUAUCUUGAUGACACAGAGUUACCUGACCAUUGAUCUCACAUGCCCUUUUAGCUCUCUUGUUCUCUAGACUCACCCUGACUAUUGAGGUCUCUUGACUCGCCAAUAUAAACACCAUCCUAUCAUUUGCUCUCGAAUACUUUUGUGUCACAACUCAACUGUCAGAUGAGUACUCCAUUACAGCACUGAGCAGGCCUCCGAAAUGAAUAUCUACUCAGAUGAAGGACGACAAUCGUGUUCUAGGGAAAUAUCAGUGACACAACUCCUUACUUCCUCUGCUUCUUCCUAGUGUUUUUUGUUGUGAUUGAGUCGACACAGCAACAACACUGCACUAUUACAACCAGUACGACUAUAUUAACUAGCAAUGUCUUCCUUAUAUGUUACUAUUUAUUUUGCUCAUAUUCAUUAUGUUUAAAUCACAUAGGCACCUUUUUGUUGGCAUCAAAAAAUUAGUAUCAACUUUCUAGAUUAAAGUGAAACUAAAAGUACCUAAAUUUCUAUCGGUGGGGAUCGAGUGAUUCUUUAAACCGAUUAUUACACAAGUGAACCACACUAAAAUUAACAUUGGUGAAUCGUGCCAUGAUUUUUUCUAGUGGAAAAUAGCCAAACCAAGCAACACAUAUGUGGCUAUCGUUACACAUGUGUAAAGGUAUUGCAUCACACCAUUGUCACCCAUGUAUUUGGACAAUACCGAGAGGAAAAACCACUUAUUUAUUGUAUUUUAUCAAGUUUGUCUUGCUUACGUAUAAAUUAUAACCCAACAAAGUAAUCACUAAAUGUCAAAACCAACUAGAUACCAUGUCAUCUCUACCUUAUCUUACUAAUAUUCUUUUUGCAAAAUCCAAAAUUAAUCUUGCACAAGCACAAGGACUGAGAUGUGUAUAAAUAUCUCUUAAAUUAGUAGCUAAUAUAUCACACAUAUUAUUGAGACCAACUAGCAACAUAGAAAGCACAAUAGUGUACCAACAAUGGCAGCCAAAAUAUUUUGCCUCCUUAUGCUCCUUGGUCUUUCUGCAAGUGCUGCUACGGCGACCAUUUUCCCACAAUGCUCACAAGCUCCUAUAGCUUCCCUUCUUCCCCCGUACCUCUCACCAGCGGUGUCUUCGGUAUGUGAAAACCCAAUUCUUCAACCCUAUAGGAUCCAACAGGCAAUCGCAGCUGGCAUCUUACCUUUAUCACCCUUGUUCCUCCAACAAUCAUCAGCCCUAUUACAGCAGUUACCUUUGGUGCAUUUAUUGGCACAAAACAUCAGGGCACAACAACUACAACAACUUGUGCUAGCAAACCUUGCUGCCUACUCUCAGCAACAACAGUUUCUUCCAUUCAACCAACUAGCUGCAUUGAACUCUGCUUCUUAUUUGCAACAACAACAACUACCAUUCAGCCAGCUAUCUGCUGCCUACCCCCAGCAAUUUCUUCCAUUCAACCAACUGACAGCUUUGAACUCUCCUGCUUAUUUACAGCAGCAACAACUACUACCAUUCAGCCAGCUAGCUGGUGUGAGCCCUGCUACCUUCUUGACACAACCACAAUUGUUGCCGUUCUACCAGCACGCUGCGCCUAACGCUGGCACCCUCUUACAACUGCAACAAUUGCUGCCAUUCAACCAACUUGCUUUGACAAACCCAACAGCAUUCUACCAACAACCCAUCAUUGGUGGUGCCCUCUUUUAGAUUUCUUAUGAGUUAUAGUUCAAUAAUAAAGUUUUUUGUCUGAUGUUUGUGGCUUCCCAGAAAUAAGAAAGUACAUUUCUAGAUUCUUAUGUGCUUCUAGUCUCCAAAUGUGGUUGAUAGUUAUUUUGCUCUAAGAUUAGCAGUAAUGAAGUAUAAAUCAUCGUUGUGGUGUGCUACUCGGUUAAUUGAGCAUUAACACACACAAACAUGACGAGGAUGGUAUAAUCUCCAAAAAUGUGUACUUUGUUAGGUGGGACCCUAUAGCCUUGCAGAAUGUGCUACGUUAGGCAUGCCAAUGGAAACGUGUGACACAUACGUUUUGUGAAUCUGUUGAUAUUAUAUGUGCUUUUAUAUUACCAUAUUUUAUUAAAAUACUAAUAUUUAUUACUAGUAAGAUAUAACAUUCUAUCUAGCUUAAAAACUAACCAUAAAUAUUCCAUAAUAACUAGAUUUACCAAACUAAUAUACUAAAUAUACAUAAUAAAUAUAAAAUUAACAAGACAAUAAUUAAUAUUUAUGAGCUUAAUUUAUUUAGACAUUAUGGUUGGUCGACGAUAAUCAUGCUAACUUUCCGUAAUUGCUUGAUUGUAAAUAUGCUUAGAAUAAUGCCUCUUUGUUCUACAUGGCAAAUAGGGACCAUUAUGGUGUAACACCCCGGGAUCCACAAACACCCCGAAAUGCUACUAAACUACACAACUAACCUUCAUAUAUAAAAUUUCGACAGCAUCUCCUUUGAAAAUUUGCAUAAACGUGGAAGCAACAGAGUAUAAACAGAUAUCAUGAUAAGGAAACAUACUAGACAUUAAUAAUCUGCUAGAAAUGGGAAGAUAACCAUAACGACAUAAACUGAAUUAACUAGUGUGCACAACUUGUUAAAAACAAACAUCGUUGACAAGAAGUUUCUAAUUAAAUCAUGGUUGUGCCUGGGCAGCGUUAUUAUGAGAGUGAAGGUGGACGUGAUGCUACUUCCCUCAUUCCCAACAUGAAUCAAGUACCUGCAUUGAGUAAUGCAAGAGUGAGAUGAAAACAUCUCAGCAAGUAAAUUGUUUUGACGAGAUAUUUAAACCAAAAAAAUUGAUUUAAUCAACAUUUUAAAGGGAUCACAAUUGAGAUCAGAAAUACUUGUAGAUAUAGAACUCAAUAGUCCCAAAAUAACCAAUGCCAUCUCAUUUCCUCAAACAACCACAAUAGGUUGUAUAACACUUCCCUGCGUCAUCAAUACCUGCAAAUAUCACUUCAAUGUAUGCAUAGGAAUGCAAUGUUUAAGUCCUCUGCAUUCAUACUUCUUAGAGUAUAAAACCACACCAUCUGCAAAUAUCACUUCAAUGAAUGCAUAUGAAUGCAAUGCAUAUGUCCUCUGCCUUCAUACCUCUAAGGGUAUGAAGCCGCAUCGUACCCCUCCUCGGGCAACGUACGAUGCUAAGUUGUACCGGUACGGUCGGACCAUAGGUCACGACAAAACUUCAGAUGCAAGUGAAUCAUGACAUGUAUAUGGCAUGCUGCAUUUAUCAAUAUACUUCACUUCCUUCAUAUACAAUACAAACCUAAAAUAAUACUUCGUUUACCUUCAGAUACAAUACAAACCUCAAAUAAUACUUCAUUCACCUUCAGGGGUGUUUAUUAAUCUCGUGGGUCAUACUCAAAUCAUCAUCAUCAUCAAUGAUGUUUAAGCAUCAGUAUAAUACAAUCAAGUAAAGCAUCACCAUAGAGUUCAAUUAUGAAAGAAUUCGAUGAUUCUGAAUAUUAGAGUGUAUGCGAUGAAACAACAAAGUCAAAACGGUAGCAACCACCUCUACAUUCACUUGCCUUCAUCGAAGAAGAAAAAGGUACUAGGCAUGAUUCGGAGUGUAGACACCUGCUGUGGGGCUUAAAACUUAGUACAAAUAUUCCAUAAACAUUUGCCAACAAUUAACAAAUCGCUCCUACACUUGAAACCAAGACCCGGUGGAAUGACUCCCACCCUGAACCACAUGCCAAACAACAAUAGUGUUGUUUGUUAAUUUCUAUCUUUAAAAUUAUAACAGUGGUGAUAUCAAACAAAUACUCUAUACGUUUCUACACAAAAUACUCUACAACUUCGGUAUUCAAUGGAUAAUUAAAUUUUGCCAUCUAUAAGUUCUAAAACAUCUGACAAGAUAACUGACUGAAUCUGUUUCAGACAACAGCAUAGUUAACUUCAAAAUUCGAUAUCUCCCUAACUCCUCAACAAAAAAUUAUGAAAUUAUGCUGACAGUAAGAACUUUUAUCCCUCUACAAAAGUCUCCAUAGUUGAAAGAGCCAAUUCGGCCAUUUACUAGAUGAAACCUACCAGUUAACGGACCCGCUCAUUUUUGUCAAGCAAACAAGAACCCUUAUAUAUCAAAGAGUAGUGGAUUUGAAUUUGUCUAAUAUGAAGUUUACGGGCUUGGCUCAUUUAAAGUAUUUAAUAAUUCUGAAAGACAAGAUUAAACUAACUAUGUAUGAUCCUUUAGCACCGUACAGAUGGUCGAUGGGACAGUUACAUGGUUUAUAUAGAUGGACCUAUCUAUAUUCCUUCAGUGGUUGAGAAAAAAGUAAAGGUGUGUCACACUCACGUGUGCGCCGCCUCCGCCGAGACGAGGCAUGGCGUUGCAAGGUGAGGCAUGGCAUGGUGUAGCACGAUAGCAGUCAUGGUCGUGGCACAGUGUAGCACUGUUGUGGAUAGAUAGGUAAACUAUUGUUGUAGUUAGAGUGCAUGAGUUUUUGAAUGCAACACUAGAAUUUUCACAAUUUAACUUAAUUAAGAAGUUAUAUCUUGAUGACACAGAGUUACCUGACCAUUGAUCUCACAUGCCCUUUUAGCUCUCUCGUUCUCUAGACUCACCCUGACUAUUUAAGUCUCUUGACUCGCCAAUAUAAACACCAUCCUAUCAUUUGCUCUAGAAUACUUCUGUGUCACAACUCAACUGUCAGAUGAGUACUCCAUUACAGCACUUACGUACACGAGUUCUAUGAGAGCAGGCCUCCAAAAUGAAUAUCUACUUAGAUGAAGGACGACAAUCGUGUUCUAGGGAAAUAUCAGCGACACAACUCCUUACUUCCUUCGCUUCUUCCUAGUGUUUUUUGUUGUGAUUGAGUCGACACAGCAACAACACUGCACUAUUACAACCAGUACGACUAUAUCAACUAGCAAUGUCUUCCUUAUAUGUUACUAUUUAUUUUGCACAUAUUCAUUAUGUUUAAAUCACAUAGGCACCUUUCUAUUGGCAUCAAAAAAUUAGUAUCAACUUUCUAGAUUAAAAUGAAACUAAAAGUACAUAAAUUUCUAUCGGUGGGGAUCGAGUGAUUCUUUAAACCGAUUAUUACACAAGUUAACCACACUAAAAUUAACAUUGGUGAAUCGUGCCAUGAUUUUUUUUCUAGUGGAAAAUAGCCAAACCAAGCAACACAUAUGUGGCUAUCGUUACACAUGUGUAAAGGUAUUGCAUCACACUAUUGUCACCCAUGUAUUUGGACAAUACCGAGAGGAAAAACCACUUAUUUAUUGUAUUUUAUCAAGUUUGUCUUGCUUACGUAUAAAAUUAUAACCCAACAAAGUAAUCACUAAACGUCAAAACCAACUAGAUAUCAUGUCAUCUCUACCUUAUCUUACUAAUAUUCUUUUUGCAAAAUCCAAAAUUAAUCUUGCACAAGCACAAGGACUGAGAUGUGUAUAAAUAUCUCUUAAAUUAGUAGCUAAUAUAUCGCACAUAUUAUUUAGACCAACUAGCAACAUAGAAAGCACAAUAGUGUACCAACAAUGGCAGCCAAAAUAUUUUGCCUCCUUAUGCUCCUUGGUAUUUCUGCAAGUGCUGCUACGGCGACCAUUUUCCCGCAAUGCUCACAAGCUCCUAUAGCUUCCCUUCUUCCCCCGUACCUCUCACCAGCGGUGUCUUCGGUAUGUGAAAACCCAAUUCUUCAACCCUACAGGAUCCAACAGGCAAUCGCAGCUGGCAUCUUACCUUUAUCACCCUUGUUCCUCCAACAAUCAUCAGCCCUAUUACAGCAGUUACCUUUGGUGCAUUUAUUGGCACAAAACAUCAGGGCACAACAACUACAACAACUUGUGCUAGCAAACCUUGCUGCCUACUCUCAGCAACAGCAGUUUCUUCCAUUCAACCAACUAGCUGCAUUGAACUCUGCUUCUUAUUUGCAACAACAACAACUACCAUUCAGCCAGCUAC